UGGCCACAUCUCCAUCUCUCUCCCCCUCACCACUUCUUCCACCACCGGCCGUCGCCGCGGCCAUGCCGGCGUGGCGGCGCGCCAGCAGCUCCACCACGCGCAGCACCACCGCGCCAUAGCACCACCCAUAAUCUCCAUCCAUCUGCGCCUCCCAGCCACCCAUCAUUCCCUCCAUCCACAGCGCCGCCAGAACCCAUCCACCAUCACCUCCAGCCGGUGCCGCCGCCUCGCCUACAGCCAUCUCCCUGCUGUCCGCUGCUCUCCUCUUCUUUCCAUCCUUCUUCUCCUCACCAUGCUGCUGCUCCUCCCUCUCAAUCUCUACUGCUGCUCUUCCUUGCGCCCCCGUGCUGCUGCCUCUCCUUCCCUUCGUUGCUGCUGCUUCUCCUUUGAUCCCUUUGCUACUGCUCCUCUUCUUCGUGCCCAACCUCCGCUGCUGCUCCUCUUUCCUGCUGCAUCCCUGCUGCUGCUACUCCCUCUCACCACGCCUCUGCUGCUCUCUUUCCCCUCCUGCUGCUGCUCUCCUCACCAUGCUGCUUCUCCUUUCUGCUUCUCCUCUUGCUGCUGCUGCCCGCCCCCGACCUCCUGCUGCUAUCUCUCUCUACUUCCCCUGCUACCUUUCUUCUCUGAACCUACCUACUGCUUCUCUCUCUCUCUCUGAAAUUGUUGUAGUACUAAGAUUUGUAAGACAGUGUACUACAACCUGUUAAUUGUUCAGUUCAGAUUUUUGCUUGUUUAGUAUUAUUCUGUUGAUCUGUCCUAAUCUUGUGGCUAGUAUAAUUUCGUUUCUGUUGUUACUUGUGUAACCUGAACCGAGGUUAGUAUCCUAUUUGCAUAUGUGUGUUUUGUGUGUUCUGUAGUCCCUGUAUUAGUUACGUACCUGUGAUAUAUAAAUGUGUGUGUGCGUGUGUGUGUGUGUGUGUGUGUGUAAUUCAUCAAAAUAUAUUGUUGUGUGAUGAUGAUAUAUGUUCAGUCUAGAGACACGUUGUUUUUCUUGCUUUGUAGAUCGAUGUGAACUAGUACUCUUGUGUGUUUCUGUUGUCACUAGUUAAAUUGAUCACCUAUGUACUACUUGUUGUAGAAACUUGUUACAUUAGUCCUUGUGCUAGCUAUGCACCUGUGAUAAAUAUGUGUGUGAUGUGAAACAUUUCUGUUCUGUCCUAUAAUAUUGUUUCCUCCCUCUUUUGCUUGUCAUUAUGCUAUAUGUGUUCAUGUCCUAAUGUUUCCCUUUAUGUUAGUUUCUAAUUUCUCAUGCCUAAUAAAAAUACCAAAAGAGAGCAAGUAAGAUCUGAUCCUCCCUUUGCUAUUUUGCCUUUUCUUUGUGGAUCAUCUUCGGGAGCAACCUUGUUUAGUUUAGGUUUAUUUUCUUGCAGCCAUAAUCUCAAUUGUGUUACCUAGAUUUAGCUGAGCAUAGUCGCCGUCGCCUAGUCCCUGAGGGGAACACGACACUCGCGAUUUGGGCGAAAUAUCCCACCGCAUUUACAAACGAUCAUUUUGGCGCCGUUGCCGGGGACUAGCAUCGAGUGACAGUGUUAGGCUAUAGACUAGGUUUUUCUUGUUUUCAUUUUGUGCCAUAUAUUUGUGAUAUAUCUCUAGCCACUAACCCCUGUUCUAGGUAGUAUCUUUUUGUCUUCUUUUCCUUUUUUGCAGGUUGGAUUAUCCUCUCGGAAAUGGCAUUCUAUUCGGAUCAUCAGGCUUAUGCGAGCAACACUACAAACAACAUGAAAAGAAUUCAAGAACUGAUAAGUAAGAUUUCCCAUCGAUUAGAUGAUUUAGCUCGGCAGCGAGAAGUAGUUUUUGUGGAUAGUCCUAGCUCUUAUGAUCCUUAUUCUGGAGGCCAUCCUUAUGUUGCUCCUACUUGCCAUAUUUGUGGAUUUCAGGGCCAUUCGCUCGCUGAAUGUCAGCGUGGUUACUCUCGCCCUCCAGAUUGUUUUGGCAUGAGCUUUGCUCAAGAGCAUAGCUCAUACCAAAACAAUUACUCACAUGGGUGGCCUGAGAACCCGAAUAUGUCAUUUAGGAGCAACAACCCUGAGAUCUUAUCAUUUGCCUCUAGUAAUCCAAUGCAGGGAUUUAGGUAUGAAGAGGAGAGCCACAACUAUGCUCCACAACAGUUUUAUUCACCUCCUACUCAUAUACCGCAGCACCAGGAGAUGUGUCCAAUGGAGUUAAAUGGUCCUCCGUUUGGUCAACCAACAACUUCAGCACCUAAUGAGUCGGUAGAGCAAUCUCAUGUGCAGGGAUUUAGGUAUGAAGAGGAGAGCCACAACUAUGCUCCACAACAGUUUUAUUCACCUCCUACUCAUAUACCGCAGCACCAGGAGAUGUGUCCAAUGGAGUUAAAUGGUCCUCCAUUUGGUCAACCAACAACUUCAGCACCUAAUGAGUCGGUAGAGCAAUCUCAUGUGCAAGUGCCCACACAAGAUGAGUUCGAUGACAUAGACAAACUCACACUUUUGAGUCUCGAGUUCACUUGGAGUGCCGAGGAUGAUCCUAUUAGGAAGGUUAUACUAGAGGAAAUGAAGAGGAUCAAGAGUGGAAAAGAGCUAGUGGAAGAAGUAAGGAAGAUUGAGAAGAGCAUCAAUGCUGGCAGCACUAUUUCUUCACAACUAGAGCUGAGUAUUUCUGGGAUAUCCUUUGAUACAUGUGAGGCUCCAACACCGUCACAUCCAGCUGAGCAAGAUAGAAAAAGUCCAGAGGAAGAGAGACCUUAGAUUGAAGUUGAACUCAAGGAACAAGAUGAUCAAGAGCUACAAUUUCCAAGUGAUCAAGUUGAAGACUCAUCAUCUACUACUCCUAAAGAAGUACAAGAAGCUGUUGUAGAUGAAGAUGAAGAACCUGAGAUUCAUUGGCCUAUUGUCAUACAUGAACCUGAUAUGUCAGGUUUACCCAAUCCUCUUGAUGACAUGCUGCCUUGUGAUUUCUUUGCUUCUAACUUGCAUUGCAUGAUGCCAUCACUUAAGGUAGAUUUGAAAAACUAUUUGCUUGGACAUGAUCAUACACACCCUGUUAGUGGCAUUGCUCAUAUCUCUGUUCAUGAUACUUAUGUUCCUGAUGCUAUACACAUGCUUAAUGAAACGUGUGAUUCUAAUACUAGCAUUGAGCUUACUGAAUUGUACCAUCCUAAACAUGUGCUUUAUAGCUAUGCUUAUGUAAUUGGGUACUCUAUUGAUGAUUUAGAGGGCAUUACCCUUGUCACUUGUAUCGCCUCCUUGGUUGAGUGCUCUUUCAGCUUGUUGCUUGUGCACGAUCCACUACAUGCUGGCCAAGUUCGAGAUGACAUUCCUUGGGACCCCGGUGGACCCAUGGCAUGGGGAUGAGGAGAAGCAAGGAGCACACAUGAAGAGAGAAGCUGUGCCGGCAUGAGGAUAGGGAAGCAAAAGGAGAGGAGUCACAAUGCAAGAGGAUGUGAGAUGAUCGAGCGAGUGCUACAUCAAAGCCCGGUGAGCUGUUUCAUGACCCAUUCCGAGUAUAUCAUCCAUUGAUGCUUGCUGAAUUAAAUUGCUAUUUGGGUUGCUUGUGCCAUUUCUUAAAUGUUGUCCCACAGAUUUUUCACCUUUGACAUAUGGUGCUUGAUGAGAAUAUGUGAACUGAUUGUUGAAUGCCUUGUAAACUAGUGAUCUACAUCCUGUUUGCUUUGCUGAAAGUAGUGAAAGCUAUUAGUUUUGAGUGCUCAAAUCCCUAGUGCACUAGUAAACUUAAUCAUUUUCUGCUUUUACCUUGAUACACCUAAAUCAUUAAGUGUCGGAUGCUGAGUUUGUGCCUAAUGUGUUCCCAUUGAGAGCAAUCACUUACCAUUAUGGAUUAGCAUGCUAUGUUCUCUGGAUCAGUAGCAUGUGAAGUAGACAUGGAUGAGUGAUGAUUCUUGAUUUUGUUCAUUUAAAAAAUGAAAAAUAUAUAUCUUAUAAUGAAUAAAUAAGUCUGACUACCUACAGUAGCAUGUCAUGUUCCCUAGAUCGGUGGCAUGUGGAAUCGGGUUAGCUUGGGCAGUAAUUAAUAAUAAAAAUGUAAUUGUCGAACCAGGUGUAUACCAUAUUCUUGGGAUCGGUGGUAUGUUCCUUUGGGGAGACAAACAAAAAAAACUAAUAAUUGGUCGAGCCGGGUGUAUACCAUGUUCUCGGGAUCGGUGGUAUGUUCCUUUGGUGAGAUCAAUAAAAUAUUAUCAUUACUUUCUUCAAAUUCAAUAAGUGCUUUCAACUGCAAUGUUGUGUUCCUGGUAAUAAGUGAUCUGAUCUCAAGUUUAAGUUUUUUUUGUUUUUGGGAUCAGGCUCUCUUUAGGAACCUUUUGGCACAAUCAGCAUUUGAACUUACUAAUCUUCUUUUAUCAUUGUAAAAGUUUAAAAUGGCCAAGUCUACUAGUAUCCUACUGCUUUGUAGCACUCUAACCAUUAAUUUUCACUAACUAAGUCUGAAGCAUGCACUGUUUAGAGAUCUACUUCACUGGGACAUUCUCCAGUCAGCUCACUGUUCAUUAUCUAGCUCUUGUCAUAUUCCUUUACUUGAGGACAAGCAAAAGUUUAAGUGUGGGGGAACUUGAUAAGCACAUUUCUUAUAUAGAAUUUUGGAACACAAAUUCAUCAUUUAUUGAGAUAUAUUGUCGGUGACGGUUGCAGGGGCGCGGGGUUGCGAGAAGAGCAGGGCUAGUAGACAGCACAAAGAUCGUUUAUCCAGGUUCGGGCCGCGAGGAUGCGUAAAACCCUAGUCCUGGUUUGGUGGGUGUAUUUCAGAGAGUUCUUGAGCUCUCGGACUAGAUGUGGUCAGUGCAUGGUUCAAAAGAGCCGAAUCCUUCUCCAGUAUGUCAUGGGCCUCCUUUUAUAGUCGGAAGGGGCUGCCACAGUGGCACACAGGAGGUGGAAAGGCGUACAGUGCCCUGAGCUUAUCGCUCGUAUUACAGGUGAUAGAGGCGAGGGUGUCCCGAUCUUUCGAUGAGAUGAUAACUAUCGAUUAGGUGGAGUCGACUUUGACGAUCCGACUACAAACGUGCACGACGUUGCGCCUUAGCAAUCGCUAAACCAACUUCGAGAGGUUAUUGACCUCGCCGGAGCACGAUCAACCUGACCACGAAGGUCUAUUCCUGCAUGCAAUCAAAGAACAAGCAAGAAUAUGAUAAUGCAAUCUGAAUAUUGCGAAUAUAGAUGAAGUAUUGAUAAAGAUAGGGAUCCAUAAGCGGUCUUGGUCUGGUCGUUGGACACAAACGAAGUACACGAAGUUGCAAUGGCUAACUUUUAACUAAACAAAUCCCAAGCAAAAAGCUACUAGAUGGAUCUACUUAUAUAGGAGCAAGGGGUGGAGGCCAAAAAGGUGGGAGGACGUCCCAAGGCAGCCUAAAACCAACCCUAGGUCGUACAAGGCUCAUGGGCCCAAGUGGAGGUGAUGCAACACCUUUGGACUUGUUUUUGACUCGGAUUUUGCUGCAGCGUCAGAUUGUUUCGUCCAUAUCUCAAUGCUCCGGACGAAUUUAAAGGUGAAUCCAAUUGGGUUGGAAAGAGGACGAAAUUUACUUUCCAACAAAAAAAGAAUCACCCAAUUCGGAGUCCGUAUGAAAAAGUUGUUGGCGUUUUGAGUCAGGUAUGUCUGUGCAGUCCGAAUCUGAAUCCAGAACGUGAGAGACUUGGACUCUAUCUUCUCUUGGCCCAAAAGUGACGUGAGAGGACUUUUUGAAUAGAACCUAAACUUCUCCUUUUCCCCUAUCUUCAUAUGUGGAUUGUAUAAAUGUCCCAUACACCUGCAAUUAGACAAAACACAAAAGUGUGUGAAGUAUUUUUGUUCUGGAUAACAUAAAUAGAUUAUUGAAUAAUUUGCACUAGAAAUCACCUGACAAAUAUGCAUGUAUGCAAUAUUUUUGGUCGUAUCCAAGGUAGUCAUGUCCUCAUCAUCCUCCCCUUCUUGAAAAUAAAGCCGUCCUCGGCGUUGCUUAAUCUGAAAUGUGGCUAACAAAAGAGACAAGGUGUACAUGUUGUAUAUGUAUAUGUCAUCCAUUUUUACUUCCCGUGGAUUUUGCACAUAUGACACAUGUAUACAUGAGUAACUUUCAUAGUUAAUAAAAUAUAAAGCCAAAAUAUUAUUACAAGUAGAAGGCAUGAAAGUAUUGCAACUCAGUUUGCACAUAUAAGUGAAGCUCUUAUUCAUAUGAAAAGAUUGACAAUAUUCAUCAUUAAACCAUCCCAACAUUGGUGAAUAAACCUUACUUGCAUUAAAUUUACAUGCUACAACAUGCUUAAAUAAGCAAACAUGCAAUAAGUCAUUUGACACAGAAUCAUCACCAAGAUUAGAGGUCAUAUCAAAAUGAUUAAACAUUGGUUCUUUUGCAUCAACAAUUAAUUCAUUGGGUCCACUCAAAAUUGUUGGUAUUUCAGAUGUUUGAUCACAUGACGCAUUCAUGACAGUAACAUGAUUCUCUAGAUUAGGUGAUGCGCUCAAAUCAAUAGGUAACUCAACACAUGAUGUAUUCAAGUUAACUAGGCAUGCAUCAUUCUCAUGUGAAGUUAUAUCAUCAAUACCUUUACAGUUACCUUGUCGUAAAGAUGUAGCUGAUGUAGGUACGGAUGAUGGCAAUGUACCAUACUCUUGAGAUGAUGUCGCGCUCACAAUCUGAGGUGUGGCUGCUCUAGUAGGUGCGACGGUGGAGGAGCCAAGCGGUGGUGGUGAGCAUGAACUAGAAUAGUAGUUGUUGUAGUCAUCCAAUGCAUCCUCCUGUAACUGUCUCUCAAAGGUACAAGCACGAACAUACAUACCAGAUACUGAAAUCGUGCCUGAAUAUCAUGGUUCAAACCACCAAAAAAUCUAUUCAUUGUAUCAUCCUCAGAUUCUUCUAUGUCACAAUGAUGCAUAUAAGAUUUGAACUCUUGGUAGUAAGCAUGAACAGUGUCGUUGCCUUGUUUAAAUUGUUCAAAUUUGCAAAGCAAUUCACGACGAUAGUAAGGAGGGAAAAAUUAUUGUCUCAUUACCUCUUUCAAAUCUUUCCAAGUUGUGAGUUGGUUAUCAAUGUUUUUCUUACAAUGCACACUCCACCAAACAGAAGCAAAACCAGUAAAUGCUCUAGUGGCAGCUCGUACUCGCUCAAGUUCAGAAAAGUCAUGGUGACUAAAAACUUGUUCUACUUCAACCUCCCAAGCUAGAUAAAUAGCAGGAUUAAAUCUACCCUCAAAUGACGGUAAAGAGAUAACCUGACCAUGUACUUGUGUGUGUUGUCCCAACUCUUGUGAUGGUGAUGAUGUGUCCGUCGUCCAAGAACUUCUAUCUCCGGAACCUGUCAUGAUUAGUAGAAACAAGAAACAAAAUUCGAGAAUAAUGUUCUGAUGAACUACUAGGAUGUGGUUGCAAAGUGCUCACAGUAAAGAAAAUAUCAAUAUCUUGCUCGUUCUUCGAUUGCUUGCAGGAAUAUACCUUCGUGGUCAGGUUGAUCGUGCUCCGGCGAGGUCAAUAACCUCUCGAAGUUGGUUUAGCGAUUGCUAAGGUGCAACGUCGUGCACGUUUGUAGUCGGAUCGUCAAAGUCGACUCCACCAAAUCGAUAGUUAUCAUCUAAUCGAAAGAUCAGGGCACCCUCGCCUCUAUCAAGUGGUAUCAGUUUUCAGGUUGCUCGGUGAGAAUUUCCAGUUUCCCCUAGAUUAGAUUUAUUUUCUUAUCUAUUGUCCAAGAAAAAGCCACAAAAAAGUUAGAUCUAUUCAUCCUUUUGUCCAAGCCAGUCUGAGCCUUUGCAAUUUUCUUUUCAUUGUUUGCAUUAUUGAAUUAUCGGUUGCAUCGUCGUGUCGAAUUGCUGGUCUUAGGGUCUAGUUCGUUUAGAGUUUCGAGUUCUGUUCACAUUAGUCACGUCGCCGCUGCAUCGUUAUCCCUUCCGCUGUCCACCACACCAUCCAUCAAUUUCCACCACGUGCUACCCAUAGUUCAUUGUCACAAUCAUAGUUGAUGUCGUUCACAUCUUCGCUUGAUCCAAUCUGCAUCUUAUCUAGUUUGUCUUAGAGGGAGAGAAAAAAAGACAGAGAAAAAAAGAGAGAAAAAAAGAAAAAGAAGUCGGAGAAAAAAAAGAGAGAAAGAAAAAGAAAAAAAAAGUGUGAGGAAAAAAAGAGAGAAAAAACAACAAAAUUGUGUGAAGUAUCCAAUAUGCAUGCAUGCAAUAUUUUUGGUAGUAUCCAAGGUAGUCAUGACCUCAUCAACAGGACAAGACACAUUUAAUGCGUAGCUUAGGUGUCCCCUUGCUUUAUUGGGGACGGGGGCGAGGCUCGUCCCGUCCGUCGCCGCUCCUCCAUGCUUUGACACGUGCCCUGGCCAGUGAGGCACAUGGUGCCAUGUAGGCAGGCAGGCAGCUGAGGUGGCGCAGUGCCGGAGCCUUCACGAAGAUCUGCAUGCCGCCACGCAGGCGCUCGAUGAGUUGGCCUGGGAGCUGCAUGUUGUCACGCAGGUGCCCGCCCAGCUGGUUGGGCUGGCAGCUGCAUGUGAACGGCGGUGGAAGCUUGGUUGGCGUGGGCCUGGCGGUGGCCCUGCUGGCGUCCGUGGUGAGGGCCUUGCCGUGUGGCCCGGCAAGGGUCUUGCCGUGGCGCGCUAUCGUCCCCAGCGAGGGCCUUGCCGAGGGUCUGGUGGCCUUCCUCGGCAAGGAUCUUGCCGAGGAUCGUCGUCUUCUAAUUCUCAUCUGAUCUUGAAUAUGUCUUCACAAAGAUCUGCAUGCCACUACGGAGGUGCCUCCCGAGCCCUGGCCCAACGUGAUGUUGGAGAUCGUGGGCUCAAGGGUGGCCCGCUCUGUUGGUGCAGGGCGAGCUGUUCCGGCAAGGAUCUUGUCGGGGCUGCUGAGGCUGCCCCGGCAAGGGUCUUGCCGGGGGAACCUGCUUCAUCCCUCUGCUCUUUGUGGUCUUGGCCUUGACGUUGCUCUUAUUAUCUUGGGCUUUGGUCUUACCUUGGCUCACCUCCCCUGUUCUGCUUGGCGUGACCGUAGGCGCGGCUCCGACUGCCCGUGCACAGAUAUAGGGGUACAAAAACGCACCCCUUUUUUUGGACACCGACAGAAGCCCCCGGGCCUGGGCCACACAUAAGCGCGAUACGUUGUUGGGCCAGGCCCAAAACGUGCGCGGGCAGGCGGGGCGGUUUUUACCGCGGUAAAACUUUUCGCGCGUUGCGCUUCCAACGGCCCGCGCGGCGUGGAGGGGUGUGCGUGACGUGGGCGCCAUGCGUGGGACGGUUUCCACACGCAUGCGUCACAUCGCAGUAAAAAGGCGGCUCGCGCCUUCCCCGUAAAAAGAGGGAGGCGUGGAGGCGUGCUACCUCUUGAGCACUGCGUUGCUUUUCCCUUGAAGAGGAAAGGGUGAUGCAGCAAAGUAGCGUAAGUAUUUCCCUCAGUUUUUGAGAACUAAGGUAUCAAUACAGUAGGAGGCUACGCGCGAGUCCCUCGCACCUGCACAAUACAAAUAAAUCCUCGCAACCAACGCGACAAGGGGUUGUCAAUCCCUUCACGGUCACUUACGAGAGUGAGAUCUGAUAGAUAUGAUAGGGUAAUAUUUUUGGUAUUUUUAUGAUAAAGAUGCAAAGUAAAAUAAAAGCAAAGGCAAUAACAAAGUGUUGGAAGAUUAAUAUGAUGAAGAUAGACCCGGGGGUCAUAGGUUUCACUAGUGGCUUCUUUCAAAAGCAUAAGUAUUUUACGGUGGGUGAACGAAUUACUGUUGAGCAAUUGACAGAAUUGAGCAUAGUUAUGAGAAUAUCUAAGUAUGAUCAUGUAUAUAGGCAUCACGUCCGAGACAAGUAGACCGACUCCUGCCUGCAUCUACUACUAUUACUCCACUCAUCGACCGCUAUCCAGCAUGCAUCUAGAGUAUUAAGUUCAUAAGAACAGAGUAACGCCUUAAGCAAGAUGACAUGAUGUAGAGGGAUAAAUUCAUGCAAUAUGAUAAAAACCCCAUCUUGUUAUCCUCGAUGGCAACAAUACAAUACGUGCCUUGCUGCCCCUACUGUCACUGGGAAAGGACACCGCAAGAUUGAACCCAAAGCUAAGCACUUCUCCCAUUGCAAGAAAGAUCAAUCUAGUAGGCCAAACCAAACUGAUAAUUCGAAGAGACUUGCAAAGAUAACCAAUCAUACAUAAAAGAAUUCAGAGAAGAUUCAAAUAUUGUUCAUAGAUAAUCUUGAUCAUAAACCCACAAUUCAUCGGUCUCAACAAACACACCACAAAAAGAAGAUUACAUCGAAUAGAUCUCCACGAGAGAGGGGGAGAACAUUGUAUUGAGAUCCAAAAAGAGAAAAGAAGCCAUCUAGCUACUAACUAUGGACCCAAAGGUCUGAGGUAAACUAUUCACACUUCAUCGGAGAGGCUAUGGUGUUGAUGUAGAAGCCCUCCGUGAUGGAUGCCCCCUCCGGCGGAGCUCCGGAACAGGCCCCAAGAUGGGAUCUCAUGGGUACAGAAGGUUGCGGUGGUGGAAUUAGGUUUUUGGCUCCGUAUCUGAUCGUUUGGGGUACGUAGGUAUAUAUAGGAGGAAGAAGUACGUCGGUGGAGCAACGUGGGGCCCACGAAGGUGGAGGGCGCGCCCUGGGGUGGGGGGGUGGGCGCGCCCCCUACCUCGUGGCCUCCUGGAAGCUUCUCUGACGUAAGGUCCAAGUCUCCUGGAUCAUGUUCGUUCCAAAAAUCACGCUCCCGAAGGUUUCAUUCCGUUUGGACUCCGUUUGAUAUUUUUUUCCCGCGAAACUAUGAAAUAGGCAAAAAAAAAUAGCAAUUCUGGGCUGGGCCUCCGGUUAAUAGGUUAGUCCCAAAAAUAAUAUAAAAAUGGAUGAUAAAGCCCAAUAUUGUCCAAAACAGUAGAUAAUAUAGCAUGGAGCAAUCAAAAAUUAUAGAUACGUUGGAGACGUAUCAAGGCGCGACUCAUUUAUUGAACGGGGCCAGGGCGCGGUCUUCAAGGCAUCCACUCCCCACGAUCACGGGGUGGGGAGAGGUUGCUUCGCCCGUCCCCUCGGUUCUGCAUGUAUGCCACGCGUCCUCCAUGCACCUAGGGUGGCAAGCGGUGGAGGCGGGAAACCGGGCCGUCGCUGGUUGGGGCAGCGGGUCGGUCCUGAUUCCCCGUGGCUUUGGUGGCUGGAUUGGCCGAGUGAGGCGGCCGAGCCCCGUCCCCGCCUCCUUAUAAAGAGGGGGAAGGGGGGAUGGCAUCCCACACUCUUCCGUCAUCUAUCUCCACUCGCUUCUACUUCUUCCUUUCACUCGCCAUGGAGAAAGGGAAUCAUGGUCCCUCAACGGUGGCGGCGAGGGUCGCCGCCCGACAGCACGUCCCUCCUCCUCCUGAGCCCGCGGUGGUGGAACCGGCCGCGUGGGGAAGGGGGAGGGGGCGAGGUCGUCGGCGAGGCCGGGGCAGAGGUCGUAGUGCUCGGGGAAGAGGAGGACGGGGCGGCGCACCGGCUUCACCCCCGCCAAUGAUGCCUUUUCCAAUGGAAGGCCAUGUUGGAGACCAGCCCCGUGAAUUUUUCAUCAGGCUGCGCUGGCCUUCGCGUCGCCGUCUUCGUCUUCCCGCCCCGUUCGCUCGGGAGAUGGAGUGUGACCCGCCCCAGUCCCUCAGAUUGCACAUGAGGGGUUGUGGGAAUGGGGGCACGCGGGUCGACGUCGACUUCCCGGCUCCCCGGGUCAUGUACCUCCGUCAUGGGUGGAAGACGUUCGCUCGCAUCCACAGCCUAACGGCGGGGCUCGUCCUCUACUUCAAAUUAAUGGAGGACGACCUGCUCUCCGUCAAGGUCUUCGGCGACUUCGGGACUCGCCUGAAGUGCUGCGUGGAGAGCUCCUCCGAUGGAGAUUCCGACGAUGGAAGCUCUACCUCGAGCGAAAGUGAUGAGGAGGACAACGGGGCAGACGGCGGGGACGAGUCCGACUAGGCGUCGGACGCCUGGUGCCUGGGCGGGUGCGGCAGCAGCAACAUCUGCACUUGGCCGCUCCUCCGGCAGAGUUUUGCCGGGGGUGGGGCCAGCUCCUUGAACUUCUCGGGGCCGUCUCCUUGGGCGGCUGGCGUCGAGAGGCUGCGGAAGAGGAAGAGGGCGGGCGGCAACGCCGUUAACUCGGAGUACGCGGGCACCGACGCCUUCGUGGCGUACUGCCGGUCCUGCCGCCUCGUCUUCCAGCUCCUUUCCCGGCACCGUCAUCACCGGCCCGCCCCUGGGCGGUCACCAAGGUGUUCUCUUGGUGCUUUCUGCCGCUCGUAGCUCGCCUAGGCGCCCCUUUUGCCCUUUCGCCUCAUUGACCUGCCUCCUGAGGAGAGGGACAAGAAAGGGAUUACGGGCAUCUUAUCCUUCUUCUUUAGUUUGUAAGCCUGCGGGCCUUUGUUAAAUUUAGAACUUGUAAUCCCCUUGCUCAUGUUUUUCAUUUCGUACGAACUGUACCUGUAUGGGAUGUUUUUAAUGAAAAAGGGAUGCUUGCCGGGUUUUUCGUUCGUGGGUAAACCCCGCGACAAGGAGCGAAUCCUUGUUAUUGUUUAAGAUAAACGUUUUUCGCCCGGCAACAGGCCUUGCCGCCCCCCACUCCACUCGACCGUUCUCGCGCUCUUGGCGGAGGCAGGGAUGAAGUGGGCUUUAGGCUCCUCGUUCUACCUCCUUGCCGCCGCGGCUACAACCAAAUCCGGACCUAGGAAAUAAUCCUUAGGUAUAGGAAAAAGGGGAGCACGACAGCCUAGAGAUAAAAACGAGGUUUCACAUGCCCCAGUCCUGUUCUGAAAUGCAUGACAGAGGAUAAAAGACUUAUCUGGAUCUGCAGCCCCCAGCAAUCUCAUCUUGCCGCGGUUGGAACCUUGUGCUUGCAGCCCCCGGCAACUCUGGUUUACCGGGGUCGGGACGCCGGUCCGUUUUCUUUCUUCCAAGUAGCUCGACAGAAGUGCUCAUGUGCCCUGCGAACCAAAGGAGGACGGAAGAGAAACAGAUAGACGCGCAUUCGACCUCUAAGCUAGGGGUUAGUCGCUGCUGAGCACUAUCAACCCUAACCAAGGAAGAGACUCGACCUAGCAUGCAUGCUAUGACUGAGGGCGCCAGCGCUUCAUUUAUUUAUGCUCAGGGUCUGUGCCUGGCUUUGUACGAAGGGUUACAUGCCUUGCCGGCAAAGCUUGUACAAAAGGUGGCUUGCCGGGAGGCCCAGCAAGCCGCGCCUUAUGGGUAAAACUUGCGAAGAUGCUCGAUGUUCCAGGAGUUCCUCACUGGGAUGGCAUCUUCGGUCUCCAGGUGGACUGCGCCGGGCCUGGUGACUCGUAUUACCCGAUAAGGGCCUUCCCACUUCGGCGUCAACUUGUUGGCAUUCUCGGCCGACUGAACGCGCCGAAAAACAAGGUCGCCUUCCUCAAAGCUUCGGGCAUGAACCUUGCGGCUAUGGUAGCAGCGCAAGGCUUGCUGGUAGCGCGCUGCUCUCACAGCCGCCCGAAGACGAUCUUCCUCAAGGAGCGUCGCAUCAUCUUGGCGCAACUGCUCUUGCUCAAGCUCAUCAUAAGCGAGCACUCGAGGUGACCCGUAUAUGAGUUCCGUGGGGAGAACUACUUCUGCCCCGUAGACCAGGGCAAAAGUUGUCUGGCUGGUGGCUCGAUUUGGCGUCGUCCUGAUCGACCAAAUAACCGCCGGCAAUUCAUCAAUCCAGCGCCUUCCGCUCUUGCGCAGCUUGUCAAAAGUCUUUGUCCUUAGGCCUCGCAACACUUCAGCAUUCGCCCUCUCCGCUUGGCCGUUGCUCCGUGGGUGUGCCACGGAAGCAAAACAGACCUUGCUGCCGAGGUCUUGAAUGUAUUGCAUGAAGGUGUGGCUCGUGAACUGCGUGCCGUUGUCGGUGAUGACUCUAUUUGGCACACCAAAACGGCAGACCAGUCCUUUAAAAACUUGACAGCUGACUGAGCAGUCACCUUUCUCACUGCUUCCACCUCCGGCCACUUUGUGAACUUGUCGAUUGUAACGUACAAGUAUUCAAAGCCCCCGACAGCGCGGGGGAAAGGGCCCAGUAUGUCGAGCCCCCAGACCGAGAAUGGCCAGGAGAGAGGGAUUGUUUGAAGGGCUUGGGCUGGUUGAUGAAGCUUCUUUGAAUGAAACUGACACGCUUCUGUAACGCCCCGGAUCCGAUGCGCCAGGUGUCACACAGUUAUUCGCUGUCGUUGCCAUGUCAUUUGCUUGCGUGUUGCAUUUUGCCAUGUCAUCAUAUGCAUUUCAUAUCAUGUCAUCAUGUGCUUCGCAUUUGCAUACGUGUUCGUCUCAUGCAUCCGAGCAUUUUCCCCGUUGUCCGUUUUGCAAUCCGGCACUCCUAUGUCACCCGGCGCCCCCUUUUGUCUUCUUCUCGUGUGCGGAUGUUAAACAUUUUCGGAAUGGACCGAGUCUUUUCAAGUGGCCUUGGUAUACCACCGGUAGACCACCGGUCAAGUUUCGUUCCAUUUGGAGGUCGUUUGGUACUCCAACGGUUAACCGGGUAACCGCAAAGUCCGUUUUGGUAUUGCAGCAAACCCCCCUUUCAAACAGCCACAAAACCCCUCUAAGUCCCUGUCAUGCUCUCGGUCGUUCGAUCACGAUCGCGUGGGCGAAAACCGCACCCCGUUUGGACUCUCCUAACUCCCUCUACCUAUAUAAACACCCCCUCCCCGAAAUUUCGGAUCAAUUCCACCCUAACCCUAAUAUUUUUCCCUCCGCGCCGCCGGACGUUUCGUCCUCCGCAGCCGGACAUGUCCAUUUCGCCGCCGCCGCCGCCCGCGGCCAAUCGGCACGCGCCACCUGUCCNNNNNNNNNNNNNNNNNNNNNNNNNNNNNNNNNNNNNNNNNNNNNNNNNNNNNNNNNNNNNNNNNNNNNNNNNNNNNNNNNNNNNNNNNNNNNNNNNNNNNNNNNNNNNNNNNNNNNNNNNNNNNNNNNNNNNNNNNNNNNNNNNNNNNNNNNNNNNNNNNNNNNNNNNNNNNNNNNNNNNNNNNNNNNNNNNNNNNNNNNNNNNNNNNNNNNNNNNNNNNNNNNNNNNNNNNNNNNNNNNNNNNNNNNNNNNNNNNNNNNNNNNNNNNNNNNNNNNNNNNNNNNNNNNNNNNNNNNNNNNNNNNNNNNNNNNNNNNNNNNNNNNNNNNNNNNNNNNNNNNNNNNNNNNNNNNNNNNNNNNNNNNNNNNNNNNNNNNNNNNNNNNNNNNNNNNNNNNNNNNNNNNNNNNNNNNNNNNNNNNNNNNNNNNNNNNNNNNNNNNNNNNNNNNNNNNNNNNNNNNNNNNNNNNNNNNNNNNNNNNNNNNNNNNNNNNNNNNNNNNNNNNNNNNNNNNNNNNNNNNNNNCGACCCCGCCGCCGGCGCCCGCGCUGCCGCCGGCCAUCGCCCCGCCGUCGCCUGGCCUGGCCUCCCCUCCACUCCGGCCGCCGCCGAUCGACUCCGGCGAGCCGGCGCCCGAUCCAGAACGAGCCCGCGUUGACUUCGUUCCCCCCCUCGAGGUCGUUAUUUUUCUAAGUCCCCAGUUCUUAUUAAUAUGUGCACAUGUUCAACUGUGUGUAACUUCAUGCAUGUAGCUCCGAUUCGCGCGUAUAAUAUGUCGAAUUGUUCGUCCCGUGAUGCUCUACAUUUUGUUCAAUUGCACCAUGUUCAUUAGAGGUCAUCUUGAUGCCUUAAUCAUCGUUGCAAGAGGGCUAGUUGCUGUUAUCUGCUGAUUCUUAUCAGAACUUGGAGAUUUGUCAUUUUUGUAUCAUUUAAUCUGUGCAUCUUUUGGGCAUGACCUCUACAUGUGUUUUGAAGUAUGCCAUGCCAUCUUUCCAGUGGUGUAGUCCAUGUAUUUGUGUGAUCUCUGUGGUGACUAGCACAAGCACGCAAAGUAGGCCCCGUAAUAUUUCUGAUUUCAGGGACUUAGUGAUUUCUCUAAGUCCUUGUCUGCUGUAAUUUUGUUGCCUUGUUAACUUGAUGCUACAGAGAGAUCCAUGCAUAUUUUGGAGAUGUUCAGUAAGGAUGUUUUGUAGAUAUUGUUAUAAUUGAUCCAUUACUGCCCUUGUUUGCAAUUAUGGUGUGCCAUAGCAUGUCUCAAUCUUGCUCUACUUUUGCUAUAAAAUAUUUCUGGCAGAUUCUUAACAUGAUAUGCAAUCUUGCCAAGCUUAUUGUAAUUGAUCCAUACAUGCUAUGAUUAUACUCUUGCCAUGGUUAGCUUCAUAAACAUGCCAUCUUGCUGUAGAUAUACUUAGGUUAUCAUUCAUUGCUCUGUAGUGAGUGCAUCAAGCUCACAAAGAGGCCUACAUAUUAUAGUUUCUGCCAUGCUCUGUUUUUUGCCAAGUCUGAAACCAGAUAACGAAACUUGCUAUGUUCACAUGCUUGCCAUCAUAUCUUCUGGUCCUUUUUCGCUUAUGGUCAGUAAGGGACUUUUGUUAUAUGCUUUGAGUAGAUUCAUGCCAUGCCUUUCUUUGCUAUGUUAAGUCCCUGUAGCAUGUUGAUUUCGUGCUCUGAACAUUGCUACCUGAUGCUGUUUCUGUCAUGUCCAGUAAUUCUGCCAAGUCUGUGAACCUGUUAUUAUUUGCAAUCUUGCCAUGUCCUUUUGAGCAUUUUCUAUUGAUUUCUGGAGAUAGCUCAGUGUUCAUGUUUUGUUGUGCUUUACCUGUACAUCAUGUCCUUGUCUUUUGUUUUCAUGUUGAGUUGCUGUAGCAUAUUGUUUUGAUGCUUGCCAUAUGCCUAGUUGCUGUUUUGGACAGAUUGUUGCUAUGUCUUGUUUGGAGUGUAUGUGUUGCACCGUUGCUCCGUUUUGAGCAUGCUCUAUAUGAAACUUGCUUAGUUUUGCAUGUAGUCUCAUAUUAUCAUGUUGCAUCCUUGUGUUGAGGUGUGUGCUUGAUGUUUGUAUGCAUUUUGCACCAAUGCCAUGCUCAUCUUGUCUUGCUCAUAUCUUCUAGGCCGUAGCUCCGAAUCUAAUGAACUUUAUAUGUAACUUGACUAGAAUUUCGUGUAGAUCAUCAUGGUGCUCUUUAACUUGCUGUUUAACAACUUUAACUUAAUGCUUGUUCAGUUCUGGACCAAUUUUGAAAUUUGCAUAUGAGGACUUACCGGAAUUGUUAUGUGUUGUUUCCGGCCUCAUUUAAACUUGCCUUGAUGUGUUGCUCUUGUAUGCAUCCUUUCUUGCCGUGUGUAGCCUCAUAUUGCCUUGUCAUGCAUCAUUCUUGAUUGAGCAUCAUGCCUUGUUCAUGUGUGGUGUGUUUACCUUGUUGUGUGUUUCUUCUCGAUAGCUCCUGUGUCGUUGCGAUCGUGAGGAUUCGUUCGUCUUCGUGGCUUCAUCUUCUUCAUGGAUUCGUUCUUCUUCCUAGCGGGAUUUCAGGCAAGAUGACCGUCACCUUGGAUCUCAUUACUAUCAUUGCUAUGCUAGUUGCUUCGCUCUAUCGCUUUGUUGCGCUACCUAUUCACUUGUUCCUCAAGCCUCCCAUUUUGCCAUGAACCUCUAACCUUUGUCACCCUUCCUAGCAAACCAUUGUUUGGCUAUGUUACCGCUUUGCUCAGCCCCUCUUAUAGCGUUGCUAGCUGCAGGUGAAGAUGAAGAUUGCUCCAUGUUGGAUUAUGUUUAUGUUGGGAUAUCACAAUAUCUCUUAUAUUAUUAAUGCAUCUAUAUAUUUGGUAAAGGGUGGAAGGCUCGGCCUUAUGCCUGGUGUUUUGUUCCACUCUUGCUGCCCUAGUUUCCGUCAUACCGGUGUUAUGUUCCCGGAUUUUGCGUUCCUUACACGGUUGGGUGAUUUAUGGGACCCCCUUGACAGUUCGCCUUGAAUAAAACUCUUCCAGCAAGGCCCAACCUUGGUUUUACCAUUUGUCCAGCCUAUUUCUUUUCCCUAGGGAGUCGCUCUCUCGAGGGUCAUCUUAUUUUAACCCCCCCGGGCCAGUGCUUCUCUAAGUGUUGGUCGAACUGAGUAGACUGCGGGGCCACCUCGUGGAAACUCGAGGUCUGGUUUUACUCGUAGGAUGUCUCAUCCGAUGUUGCCCUGAGAACGAGAUAUGUGCAGCUCCUAUCGGGAUGUCGGCGCAUCGGGCGGCUUUGCUGGUUUUGUUUUACCAUUGUUGAAAUGUCUUGUAACCGGGAUUCCGAGACUGAUCGGGUCUUCCCGGGAGAAGGAAUAUCCUUCGUUGACCGUGAGAGCUUAUCAUGGGCUAAGUUGGGACACCCCUGCAGGGUAUUAUCUUUCGAAAGCCGUGCCCGCGGUUAUGUGGCAGAUGGGAAUUUGAUAAUAUCCGGUUGUAGAGAACCUGACACUUGACCUUAAUUAAAACGCAUCAACCGCGUGUGUAGCCGUGAUGGUCUCUUCUCGGCGGAGUCCGGGAAGUGAACACGGUUUCUGGGUUAUGUUUGACGUAAGUAGGAGUUCAGGAUCACCUCUUGAUCAUUGCUAGUUUCACGACCGUUCCUUUGCUUUCUCUUCUCGCUCUUAUUUGCGUAAGAUAGCCACCAUACAUUGCUUAGUCGCUGCUGCAACCUCACCACCUUAUCCUUUCCUUUCCCUUUAAGCUUUGCUAGUCUUGAUACCCAUAAUAAUGGGAUUGCUGAGUCCUCGUGGCUCACAGUUUACUACACCACCAGUUGCAGGUACAGGUUGUGCGAUGAUCAUGACGCGAGAGCGAUGUGUACUUGUUUUGGAGUUCUUCUUCUGCUUCUUCUUCGCUCAGGGGAUAGGUUCCAGGUCGGCAGCCUGGGCUAGCAGGGUGGAUGUCGUUUGAGUCUCUGUUUAUGUUUCAUCCGUAGUCGGAUGUUGAGCUUAUGUAUGAUGUAUUGAUGUAUCCUUGCGGCAUUUGUAUGCCUUGUAUGUAUCCCCAUAUAUUUUGUAAUGUCGAUGUAAUGAUAUCCACCUUGCAAAAGCGUUUCAAUAUGCGGGUCUAUCCUUGGUGGGACCUUCGAGUUCCUGUAGGAUAGGGUCGCAUAUUGGGCGUGACAGCUUCACACUUGGUUACUAGUGCCGUCGCAUCCUGGAGGGCGGUGGGCCAGAAAAAACCUUGUCGGAACGCCUUCCCGGCAAGGGCCCUUGACCCUAUGUGGGAGCCACAUAUGCCUCCAUGUAUCUCCGCCAACAGCUCCAGUCCUUCUAACUGGGGGAUGCACUUCAAUUUCAUGCCAUUCGGCCUUCUCCUGUACAGGACAUCAUCGACGAACUGGUACAGGGCGGACCGACGGGCUACUUUCUCCGCUUCUUCCUGCUCCUCAGGAAGCUCCCCUGUUUGGAGGAAUCGAACGGUAUGCUGCGCCCAUGCCGGAGCCCGGGCUCGACGACAAGGACCAAAGGCAUUUCUUCCGCCAUGGGAGCGGCUGUCUCUACGGCUAGGGCUUGACGCCCUGCCGGAGGUAGCUACUCUUGGGCAGGCUCGGCGUCCGUGGCGGCACCCUUGCCGGCAGCCCCAGAGGGUUCGGUAGGAAAGUACUUGCCGGGACCCGACUUCCUUCGCUUGUUCUGCCCCGUUGAUGGUUUGACGGAUGGUUGAGUUAGCUGGAGCAAAAAGGUACCUGGUUCCACAGGUAGCUUGAAUGCGGCACACUUUGACAGGUAAUCGGCGGUGUCGUUCUCCAUUCGGGGGACGUGCUCCGCUAGGAUACCGUCAAAGCGCUCCUCCAGCUUCCUCACUUCAUCUACGUAGGCUUCCAUCAAUGGGCUUUGGUAAUCCUUAUUGACCUGCCUGACAACAAGCUGCGAGUCACCCCUGACGAUGAGCUUCUUAACCCCGAGGUCUGCCGCGAUCCUGAGACCGGCAAGCAAUCCCUCGUACUCAGCAGUGUUGUUGGUGGACAUCUCUCGGGGAAAGUGCAUCUGGAUCACGUACUUGAGGUGCUCCCCGGUAGGUGCGACGAGUAGCACACCGGCAUCGGCGCCUUGCAGCGAGAAAGCCCCAUCAAAGUACAUGAUCCAGUCGCGAUCUUCCUCCUUGCCGGGGAGUGUGGUCUCCUGGAUUUCUUCGUCAGGUGUUGAGGUCCAUUCUGCAAUGAACUCCGCCAAGACUCUGCUCUGAAUUGUCGAGGUACUUUCAAACUUCAAACCGAAACUUGACAACUCUAAGGCCCACUCCACAAUCCUCCCGGUUGCAUCCGGGUUAUGCAGUAUCCGUUGCAAAGGGAGGCGGGUGACGACAGUGAUCUCGUGGGCUUGGAAGUAAUGACGCAGCUUCCUCGAGGCCAUAAGAAGGCCGAAGAGCAAUUUCUGCACACCGGAGUACCUCGAUCUAGCCCCCUGCAAGAGGGAGCUGACAAAGUAAACCGGGUGCUGCAUCAUCUUCUUCUUCUGCACCACCCCACUUGACUGCGCGGGCACUGCCUCGGUGGCAUCAGACUCUGCCGGGGGCCUCGCCUUGCCGGCACCAGGCCCUGCCGGGGGAAUCUUGGGCUUGCCAUCCGCUGGUUCUGCCGCCGUCACUGCCUCCUCGUUGACCUCCCUCUGUGCCACUAGCGCGGUGCUGACCACUUGAUUUGUCGCCGCCAGAUACAGCAGCAACGGCUCUUGUGGUUUAGGCGCAACCAGUAUUGGCGUGGAGGAAAGGUAUUUCUUCAGAUCCUGCAAUGCUUCCUCGGCUUCUGGGGUCCAUUCCAUUGGGCCUGCCUUCUUCAAGAUUUUGAAGAAAGGAAGGGCGCGCUCGGCGGACUUGGAGAUGAAUCGGCUCAUGGCGGCAACGUAGCCGGUGAGCCGACGCACAUCCUUGAUCCGCUUGGGCGCCUCAAUCUGCUCAAUAGCCUUGAUUUUGUCUGGGUUUGCCUCGAUUCCGCGCUGCGAUACAAAGAACCCGAGAAGCUUGCCGGAUGGAACGCUGAAGACACACUUCUCAGGGUUCAGCUUGAGGUUGAUCUUGCGCAGGUUGGCAAAUGUCUCUUCCAGAUCUUCCACAAGAGUUGGCCCGUCCUUGGUUUUGACUACUAUGUCAUCCAUGUAGGCCUCCAUAUUUCUAUGGAGCUGAGGUUCAAAACCAAUUUGGACUGCUCUUGCAAAUGUUGAGCCAGCGCUCUUCAACCGAAAGGCAUCCGUAAAAAGCAAUACGUACCACAUGGGGUGAUGAACGCUGUCUUUUCUUCAUCCUCUCUUGUCAUGAAGAUAUGGUGGUAGCCCGAGUAGGCGUCGAGGAAUGACAACAGAUCACACCCGGCCGUGGAGUCAACAAUCUGGUCGAUGCGCGGCAACGGGAAGGGGUCCUUAGGACAAGCCUUAUUGAUAUCUGUGUAAUCAAUACACAACCUCCACUUCCCAUUCGCCUUGCGCACCACUACCGGAUUGGCCAACCACAUCGGGUGGAGCACUCCCCUCACCAAACCUGCCGCUUCCAACUUCCUGAUCUCCUCCGUGAUGAACUCCUGCCUCUCCAGAGCCUGCUUUCUGACCUUCUGCUGGAUGGGCCGCGCAUGGGGGCUGACAACUAGGUGGUGCUCAAUCACCUCCCUGGGAACAACGGGGAUGUCGGAUGCUUUCCAUGCAAACACGUCGACAUUCGACCGCAGGAAGGUGACGAGCGCGCCUUCCUAUUUGCUACCGAGGGUGGAGCCUAUGGUGAAGGCCCCUCCCGUGCCAUCCUCCCUGGUGGACACCUUCUUGGUUUGCGGCGGCUCGGCUCUAGAUCUCUUGCUCUUGUCGGUAGAGCUCUCUGGCACGGCCUCGACGGCAGCACAACACUCCGAAGAGGUGCGCUUGCCGGAGUGGGUGCGAGAGGUCUUGCCGGGCUUCUUCCUCCCUCCCGGGGCUUCAGCGGCAGGAGCAGGUGCCUUGGCGGCAGCUGCUGCAACUGCCUCCCGGUAGAGUUGGUCGGCGCAAAUCAGCGCGUCCUUCUUGUCGGAGGGGACGGAGAUGAUGGUCAACGGCCCGAGCAUCUUUAGCAUGUUGUAGGCGUAGUGUGACGCCGCCAUAAACUUGGCUAGUGCCGGGCGGCCGAGGAUCCCGCUGUAGGGCAAGGGGAUCUCGGCCACGUCGAAGACGAUCCUCUCCGUCCUGUAGUUCAACUCUCCUCCAAAUGUCACGGGCAGUGUGACCUUUCCCUUCGGCUGGCUCCUCCCCGGAUUGACCCCUUGAAACGUGCCCGUUUCCUCGAGGUCUCCAUCAGGGAUUUGCAACCUUUUGAUCACGACAGGCGAGAUCAGGUUUAGGCCGGCCCCGCCGUCAACCAACAUCUUGUUCACCCUGAAGUUGCGUAUUGUUGGUGAGACCAACAAUGGCAAACACCCGACCGCGGUAGUGCGGUCAGGGUGGUCUUCGGCGUCAAAGAUGAGGGGCGUGCUGGACCACUUCAGCGGCUUCUGAGCGUCGAACGACGGCUCUUCUGCUGUAAUCUCACGCGCCCACUGCUUGAGCUAGCGGUGAGAGGUAUGCAGCGAGGCGCCGCCAUCGACGCACAUGGCCUCCGUAGCCUUCUGGAACCCUUGCUCACCAGACUCGUCGUCCUUGUCGUGAUCAUCGUCUUCUUGUUUCUUGUCGCGGCCCCGGGCGGGCCUCUCUUGCUGGUUGUCCUUGCCGGGGUAGCCUCCUUGGCCGCCACGCUUCUUGCCGGAUCCCUCAGCACCGUCCUGGUCCUUCUCCUUGUCCCGCCUCUCGUACUCAGCCUUUUGCUUCUUAGGAAGCAGCUCGACUUGUCGGCAGUUCUGGAGGUCGUGGCCCUUGGUGCGGUGGAUCUUGCAGUAUUGCUUGCCGGAGCUCCCUGGCUUGUCGGUAGCUGCCAAGGCCCGGCAGGCGGCGCACCAGGCAAUCUCCUUGUCGGGAGCGCCUGCCUUGACCUUCUUGCCGGCACCGGUGUCGCCAGAUCCCUCAACGGCAAGCACGGCCUUACCCUUGCGUUUCCUGUUGUGACGCCGGCCCUUCUUCGUCGGGGUAGCGGCGUCCUCAUCGGUAGAGUCGGUUUCCGCGCCGGCGUCUUCGCCGGGGUACUUCCUUCCCUCUUCAGCCCGGGCGCAUCUAUCGGCCAGAACGUAGAGCUCGGCCACAUCCUUAAUCUUGGUCAUCGCCAGCUCCUCGCGCAUCUUGCGAUUGCGCACGUUCUGGUGGAAUGCGCUAAUCACAGCGGCAGGAUGAACGUCGGGGAUGUUGUACUGCACCCGGCUGAAUCUCUGGAUGUACUUGCGCAGGGUCUCCCCUUCCUUCUGGGGAAUGAUAUGCAGAUCACUGGCCUGGCCAUGAGCUUGGUGGCCUCCUGUGAAGGCGCCAACGAACUCAUGGCAUAGAUCCGACCAAGAAGAAAUGGAAUCCACCGGCAAGUGCAUCAACCAAGACAUCACAUUGGGCUUGAGCGCCAGCGGGAAAUAGUUGGCAAGCACCUUGUCGUUGCGAGCCCCAGCCUGCAUCGCGAUGGUGUAGAUGCUGAGGAACUCAGACGGAUGGGUCUUGCCAGUGUACUUCUCGCCGACGUCGGGCUUGAACGUGCGGUGGGACGACCACUGGAACUGCUGCAGCUCACGGGUAAAGGCCGGGCAGCCCACCUCGUAAGGUAGGCCGCCGGAGCCCCCCGGUGCCGGGUGGUCCAUAGCGGGUCCCGCCCGCUUGUCCGACUGGCGGCGCGUUUCGCGCCGGCGCUCGACGGUGGUUCGAGCGUCUUUGUGAGCUCGUUCCCGAAGGACCUGGCGCUGGUCGCGGAGGGUCCGCGGGUCGGAUGACACUAUGGAGAUGUUAUCACAAGCGUCGUCACGACGGGCUGAUGCCCGCGGCGGCUGGCGAGGAGGAGGAGAGUGCACCGUGGGCGCAACUCCCCCGGUCCUCCCAGCGCCAGCAUGCGGUGGCUCGGUGGAGCGCCGACCCGAGGGUCCCGCCGGUCGUGGAUUGUCUUUAUUGGCGACGGCGAUGAGGCUUCGGGUGGUGGCCCUCCACUCGUCAAGCUUCUCCGCAGCAGGAGGGAAGUCGAGGAGUAGCUGUGCGCGCGCCAAAGCUUCUGCCGGCGUGGGCGGCGGCGACAGCUACGUGGAUCGCGGCGCGCUUCGACUUCUAACUACGUUAGAAGGAGCUCCGUUACAACCCAGCGGCUACGUGCCAUUUUCGCCAGCGCUUCGGCGGGCGUGCUGAACCCCUUCAUCCUGCGGACGACGCACUGGGCUCUUCCCACGGUGGUGCCCAGGGUCACCAACGCGGUGACGCUGCUCGACACGCACACCAUGGAAGAGCGCACAGUGGUCGCCGGUGUGGGCGUCCUGGAGGUCGCUGCGCCGCCCGGAGGUGGCACAACGACACCCCUGGAGGGCCCGCGCCGCCUACGGGGGGCCCAGCUCCGUCUUUGGAUCCGGCGACGUGUAGCCGGUCGUCUGGUGCGCGAACGACGUCGCUCGCCAGGCUCUGACUACCAGGGCGUUGCUGGUGCUCGCGGACCGCGACCCGGGUCCUGUCUGUGACCGGUCCACUGCCCGCCCGCACCGGCACGGGCCGUUCGGCUCCCAACGAGCCGACCGCCGUGGCUGUCUUCUUCUUAGGAGCCAUGGCGACGAAGAACUACUAGGCUAACUACUAGACCAGAUUCUCACAAUUGCGCCCCCUACCUGGCGCGCCAAAGAUGUCGGUGUGGAACGACACCUACGGGAUCACAAGAAUCCCUACUACGGUUGCCGGGGUGCGGGGUUGCAAGAAGAGCAGGGCUAGUAGACAACACAAAGAUCGUUUACCCAGGUUCGGGCCGCGAGGAUGGGUAAAACCCUAGUCCUGCUUUGGUGGGUGUAUUUUCAGAGAGUUCUUGAGCUCUCGAACAAGCUGUGGUCAGUGCGUGGUUCAAAAGAGCCGAAUCCUUCUCCAGUAUGCCAUGGGCCUCCUUUUAUAGUCGAAAGGGGUUGCCACAGUGGCACACAGGAGGUGGAAAGGCGUACAGUGCCCUGAGCUUAUCGCUCGUAUUACAGGACAAGAUGCAUUUAAUGCGUAGCUUAGGUGUCCCCUUGCUUUAUUGGGGAUGGGGGCGAGGCCCGUCCCGUCCGUCGCCGCUCCUCCUCGCUUUGACACGCGCCCUGGCCAGUGAGGCGCGUGGUGCCAUGUAAGCAGGCAGGCAGGCAGCAGAGGUGGCGCAGUGGCGGAGCCUUCACGAAGAUAUGCAUGCCGCCACGUAGGCGCUUGAUGAGUUGGCCUAGGAGCUGCAUGUUGCCACGCAGGUGCCCGCCCAGCUGGUUGGGCUGGCAGCUGCAUGUGAACAGCGGUGGAAGCUUGGUUGGCGUGGGCCUAGCGGUGGCCCUGCUGGCGUCCGUGGUGAGGGCCUUGCCGGGUGGCCCGGCAAGGGUCUUGCUGUGGCGCGCUGUCAUCCCCGGCGAGGGCCUUGCCGGGGGUCUGGUGACCUUCCUCGGCAGGGAUCUUGCCGAGGAUCGUCGUCUUCUAAUCCUCAUCUGAUUUUGAAUAUGUCUUCACAAAGAUCUGCAUGCCACCACGGAGGUGCCUCCCGAGCCCUGGCCCAACGUGAUGUUGGAGACCAUGGGCUCAAGGGUGGCCCGCUCUGUUGGUGCGAGGCGAGCUGUCCCGGCAAGGAUCUUGCCGGGGCUGCUGAGGCUGCCCCAGCAAGGGUCUUGCCGGGGAACAUGCUUCGUCCCUCUGCUUUUUGUGGUCUUGGCCUUGGCGUUGCUCUUAUUAUCUUGGACUUUGGUCUUACCUUGGCUCACCUCCCCUGUUCUGCUUGGCGUGACCGUAGGCGCGUCUCCGACUGCCCGUGCACAUGUAUAGGGGUACAAAAACGCACCCUUUUUUUUGUACACCGACAUAUAUCUAUCCAUUCUUGCUACGACUUGUUGAAUAUUCGAAUGAUAAUCAUAAAAGAGAAUGUUGACUAGUGAAUUGUUUAUUUUGCAGAAAAGUGCGCAAAGGCACUAUAAUCGUCAAGAUUUCUACUAUGUGGCUAACGAGAAGAGACAAGGGUAUGAAAGAAAUACGUCAAGGCCUGAGCGUGAAGGAAAGAAGUAAUGUAGGGGAGCAAACUAAAAGAAGAGGAGGAUCUUCUUGGGCAUAAAUGAAGAGAAGAGGAGGGCCAAUGUGCAAAUGUGGCAGAUCAGAGAGGGGAAUGAAAUCCCUAGCGGCACCUCAUUGCAAAUCGGGCCUGGCCACAUCUCCAUCUCUCUCCCCCUCACCACUUCUUCCACCACCGGCCGCCGCCGCGGCCAGGCCGGCGUGGCGGCGCGCCACCAACACCACCGCGCCAUAGCACCACCCAUAAUCUCCAUCCAUCUGCGCCUCCCGGCCACCCAUCAUUCCCUCCAUCCACAGCGCCGCCAGAACCCAUCCAUCAUCACCUCCAGCCGGCGCCGCCGCCUCGCCUACAGCCAUCUCCCUGCUGUCCGCUGCUCUCCUCUUCUUUCCAACCUUCUUCUCCUCACCAUGCUGCUGCUCCUCCCUCUCAAUCUCUACUGCUGCUCUUCCUUGCCCCCCCACCCCCCCGUGCUGCUGCCUCUCCUUCCCUUCGUUGCUUGCUGCUUCUCCUUUGAUCCCUUUGCUACUGCUCCUCUUCUUCGUGCCCAACCUCCGCUGCUGCUCCUCUUUCCUGCUGCUACUCCCUCUCACCACGCCUCUGCUGCUCUCUUUCCCCUCCUGCUGCUGCUCUCCUCACCAUGCUGCUUCUCCUCUUGCUGCUGCUGCCCGCCCCCGACCUCCUCCUGCUAUCUCUCUCUACUUCCCCUGCUACCUUUCUUCUCUGAACCUACCUACUGCUUCUCUCUCUCUCUGAAAUUGCUGUAGUACUAAGAUUUGUAAGACAGUGUACUACAACCUGUUAAUUGUUCAGUUCAGAUUUUUGCUUGUUUAGUAUUAUUCUGUUGAUCUGUGCUAAUCUUGUGGCUAGUAUAAUUUCGUUUCUGUUGUUACUUGUGUAACCUGAACCGUGGUUAGUAUCCUAUUUGCAUAUGUGUGUUUUGUAGUCCCUGUAUUAGUUACGUACCUGUGAUAUAUAAAUGUGUGUGUGCGUGUGUGUGUGUAAUUCAUCAAAAUAUAUUGUUGUGUGAUGAUGAUAUAUGUUCAGUCUAGAGACACGUUAUUUUUCUUGCUUUGUAGAUCGAUGUGAACUAGUACCCUUGUGUGUUUCUGUUGUCACUAGUUAAAUUGAUCACCUAUGUACUACUUGUUGUAGAAACUUGUUACAUUAGUCCUUGUGCUAGCUAUGCACCUGUGAUAAAUAUGUGUGUGAUGUGAAACAUUUCUGUUCUGUCCUAUAAUAUUGUUUCCUCCCUCUUUUGCUUGUCAUUAUGCUAUAUGUGUUCAUGUCCUAAUGUUUCCCUUUAUGUUAGUUUCUAAUUUCUCAUGCCUAAUAAAAAUACCAAAAGACAGCAAGUAAGAUCUGAUCCUCCCUUUGCUAUUUUGCCUUUUCUUUGUGGAUCAUCUUUGGGAGCAACCUUGUUUAGUUUAGGUUUAUUUUCUUGCAGCCAUAAUCUCAAUUGUGUUACCUAGAUUUAGCUGAGCAUAGUCGCCGUCGCCUAGUCCCUGCGGGGAACACGACACUCGCGAUUUGGGCGAAAUAUCCCACCACAUUUACAAACGAUCAGCGAGGCUCAUCGUCGUCCUUGCUAGGCGGCCCUUUCCCCUUGUGCUCGGUGUUUAGCUUACCGACCUGUUUGAAGACCCAACAAUUUUUGCUGGUAUGAUUGGCAGGCUUGUCAGGGGUGCCAUGGAUCUGGCAAGGCCGAUCGAGUAUUCUGUCCAAACUGGAUGAACCAUCUUUGUUUCCUUUGAAUGGCUUCUUUCGUUGACCGGGUUUAGAGCCACUGAAUCCAGCGUUGACCGCCGUAUCUUCGGUAUCUUCAUUGUUGCUUCGAAGCUUGUGUUUGUUGCGUUGUAGCCUAUCGUUGUCGUCUCUGGCUUCAAAGGUGCCAGGGUCGCCGGUGCUGUUGCUUCUGCGAGCUAGCCAGGGUCAUGAGUGCGGUAAAAGCUGCCAUGGACUUCGGUUUUUCUUGGCCGAGGUGUCGGGCGAGCCACUCGUCCCGGACGCUGUGUUUGAAGGCCACGAGGGCUUCGGCGUUCGGACAAUUGACAAUUUGGUUUUUUUAAUUAAGAACCUGGUGUAGAGUUUCCGGGCUGACUCUUCGAGUUUCUGGACUAUGUGACUGAGGUCAUCCGCAUCUAGAGGCCGGACAUAUGUUCCUUGGAAGUUGUCUCUAAAGGCAUCUUCCAAAUCUUCCCAGCUACGAAUAGAGUUUUCAGGGAGGCUGUUUAACCAGUGCCGUGCUGGCCCCUUUAGUUUUAGUGGAAAGUACUUGAUGGCAUGGAGAUCGUCACCGCGAGCCAUGUAGAUGUCGAGAAGAAAAUCUUCGAUCCAUACUGCGGGAUCUGUCGUUCCAUCGUAUGAUUCAAUGUUCACGGGUUUAAACCCUUCUGGGAACUGGUGCUCCACUACCUAAUCGGUGAAGCAUACGGGGUGUGCAGCGCCUCUGUAUCGGGCGACGUCACGACGGAGUUCGGAUGACGUCCGUAUGCGGUUUUCGGCCCGGGUAAGGUUUGUGCCUAUCGUGCCAGGCCUGAUGGCCGUCUUCUCGCGUUGGAGCACGCCCCCUUGAUCCAUACAUUGAUUUGGUUUGGCCUGCUCUAUUGUCCAGGUCCUGUCAUAGGUCGUAGGUGUAUCCUGGAGCCGCUGUCUCUCGGCCUCUACGGCGAGGUGGUGUGGGUUGGUGUUCGGCGUAGGUGGCCGCUUUAUCUCGCCCACGUGGUGGCCGGUCUGGUUCAUCAGCGCGGUCAUGUCUUGACAGUAUGGGCUCGAGUGCUUUGUCGUCAAAUUGCGGUAGUAGCCAAUGCUUCGGAUAACUCUUUGCUGGGUGUUGAAGGCCAUACUCUUUUACAGUUAGGACUUGGGUCCAUCUGUCAUUAAGUGUAUCAUGUUCGACCUGGAGCUGUUGUUGCUUUUUUAGGCUUCUCGCAGUGGCGAUUAGCUGGCGCUUAAAGCACUCCUGCUCGACUGGUUCCUCUGGCACGAUGAAGUCUUCUUCGCCGAGGCUCACAUCAUCCUCGGAGAUUGGUAGAUAGUUACUAUCCUCCGAGUCCUCGUUCCCGACCGGAUCGUCAGGGUUAACUUACCCCUCCUCCCAGUCAUCUUGUUUGGAUGUUGGCUCGACGGUGGCUUAGGGGGCUUCGGCAUUCUCCGGAGUGUUAUUGUCUCCGCUGCCGGUAUUGCUGUCUAUUUUGCAACACGAUUUUGAGCGGCGCCGCUGACGUCGACGCUUUGGUGGUGCCUCAGGAGGCUUGUCCUCGGGCGGAUCCUUCCUGCCGUCGCCGUCAUCCUCUUUGGGUGUGUCCACCAUGUACACGUCGUAUGUGGAGGUGGCCGUCCAAUGUCCAGUAAACGACGGGUCUUGGCCUUGUUCGUCUCCGGCAUCAUCGUUCAUGUCGUCGAUGUCUUCAGAGGCGUAGUCCAGCAUGUCGGUUAAGUCCUCGAAAGUGGCUAUGAAGUGGGUGGUGGGUGGGACCUAAAAUUCCCCGCCUUCAGCUCCUAGUCCGGGCUGGGCGUAGUUCGGAGGUGAUUCUUCUAUAAUGGCGAGGGAACGCAUUAGGUCCAGAGCCUCGUUUAAGAGCGAGGUUUGGACGGGGAAGCGAGAGUCCAUGGAGCUAGGCGGGGCAGAAGCCUCCUGGCCAUGCUCACUUGGCGUGGACCUCGAGAGUUCGGAGCUAGUAUCCGGGGGCGAGUCCGGCUUCCCAAUGACAGGGGGAGCCCAGUUUGACUCCGGGCUUGCCGAUGACGUAGCCCCCUCUGGAUCUCCGGUAGCGAGCUUCAUAAUUGCAGAGAGUCCGGUGGGCUCCAAACUCCCGUCUUCGGACCUGGUAGUUUGCUCCGGAUCUAAGGGCAGAGCAGUGGUCGGGGCCGUGAACCCUUCGAAGAUCAAGUCUCCUUGGAUAUCAGCGACAUAAUUCAGAUUUCCAAAACGGAUCUGAUGACCAGGGGCGUAGUUGUCGAUCUGUUCAAGAUGGCCAAUCGAGUUGGCACGCAGUGCGAAGCCGCCGAACACAAAAAAUUGACCGGGGAGAAAAGUCUCCCCCGAAACAGCAUUGUUGUAGAUGAUUGAACGAGCCAUCGAUCCUUCUGUCGACGGCACAGCGGAACUCUCAGUGAAAGCACCAAUGUCGGUGUCAAAACCGGCCGAUCUCGGGUAGGGGGUCCCGAAUUGUGCGUCUGAGGAUCGAAGGUAACAAGAGACAAAGGGGACACAAUGUUUACCCAGGUUCGUGCCCUCUUGAUGGAGGUAAUACCCUACUUCCUAUUUGAUUGACUCUGAUGAGUAUAGGGAUUACAAGAGUUGAUCUACCUCGAGAUCGUAAUGGCUAAACCCUAGAUAUCUAGCCUAUGUGAUUUGUGACGUGCUAUACGGACUAAACCCUCCGGUUUAUAUAGACACCGGAGGGGCCUAGGGUUGUAUAGAGUCAGUUUACAGAGAAAGGAAACUACACAUCCAGACGCCAAGCUUGCCAUCCACGCAAAGGAGAGUCCCAUCCGGACACGGGGGAAGGCCUUCUAUCUUGUAUCUUCGCGGCCCAUUAGUCCGGCCCAAGUCGCAUAGCCCGGAUGCCUGGGGACCCUAGAAUCCAGGACUCCCUCACCUUCCCUCGUUCAUCCUUUUCUCCCACAAGAUAAACUACUCAUACAAAUGCAUCUUGAUGUUCCAUGCAACGCACGGGCAUCUUGCUAGUAUACUACUCUCUUAUAUCAAUCUACUCUUAUAAAAAGCAGAGUUGGUGAUGAUGAUGUUCCUGCCAUCCUGCAAUGUAGCCCGUCUGAUCUAUAUCUAACGGAUAGGAAGGAAAUUAUGACAAUUUACCCGCACUCCUCUCCACAUUUGCAGAUAAGGCCUUCCCUCGUUCAUCCUUUUCUCCCACAAAAUCUUGAUGUUCCGUGCAACGCACGGGCAUCUUGCUAGUCUACACUCCUAUAAAAAACAGAGUUGGUGAUGUGUAACGCCCCGAGACCGACGCUUCAGACGCCUUCCAUGUAUUUUGUUGCCGCCGUGUGUUUUAUUUGUUUGUUGCGUUCUUCAUCGCAUCAACCGCAUUGCAUCCGCAUGUUUUCAUAAAACUCGUAGUCGUUCGUGGUUGCCGCUUCUCUCUUUGUCUCCGUUGACCUUUUGUCAGGUCUCUUUGUCCUUGUCAACCUCUCUCAGACCCCUCGCGCGCGUCCGAAACUUCUCCAAACCUAAACCGGACUUUCAUUACCGUUGGGUCCGGAUCAUCCUCAAACAUCUAUAAAUCAUCUCCGUUUUCUUAUUUGGACUCCCUACCUAUUUAUUUCUCAGCCGUCCGAUUAUGAUCGGAGGGACCAAAUAGUCUCACUUUAACCAUCUACUAUAUAUAUAUAUAUAUAUAUAUAUAUAUAUAUAUAUAUAUAUAUAUAUAUAUAUAUAUAUAUAUAUAUAUGGGCAAACCCUAGCCCUAGCUGUCCCAUCCAUGAAAUCCUCUGCCACCGCCGCCACUCCACCAAAUUCCCCUCGGGAUCCAUCCCCAACCAGCCAGCCUCUCUCUCCCUCCCUCGUUUUCAGCAUCAGACCAACCAGAGCGCACUCGAUCCAGAUCCUCUCCCGCCUCCGACCACCUCCCUGAUUUUGCGCCGCCGACCAUGACCAACAGCAGCUCCUCGCGUGCCCCUGCUCCUCCCCAAGCAUGCUGCAGCAGGCCGUCCUCACCGCCUCGCGCCCGAGGCCCUGCCUUCUCCUUGUCCGCGCCGACCGAAGCCAGCAGGUCGCCGUCUCCUCGCGCCCCUUCUCCCCUUUUCUCUGGUUCUCCUCUAACCUUCGCUCUCUGCUGCUCAGGAAUCAGCGCCGGCCGCCGCCGUCCCAUUCGUCUUCCAGCGAGGCGAGGCACCGAGCUCUGCCGCAAGUCCCUUUGAAGCUCGGCGUCGCACCGAUGCUCUGCUUCCUAGAGGACCUCGACGAGAGCCUCUCUUGCACCCCUCUGUCUCAUCGCCAGGACCUUCCCUGCGCCGCCGCUUCGUCGGAGGUGAGCUCUGCCGUCAAGCCAUGCCUCUGUGGCCUUCCUUUUUCCUCUCCUCGCGUCGCUCCUUGCUGACUGUCCAGUGACGUUUUCUACCUACAGAGACCACGCCGAGGCCCUCCUCUUCUUCUGAUCUGGCGCCGUCCCAGGAGCUUGCCGCCAGAUCCGGGCCUCCCUCGCCCGUAGCCUCCCCGUCGCGCCGCCCUUCGCCGAAGACCCAAGCUCCUCCAGGCCGCCCCGCCAAGUCCAUCGCCGUCUGAACCUCCCUGCUUCGCCAAGUCCCCUGCCGCGGCCUCUGCUUCGUUUGCAUCGCGCGAGCGAGGGCAGCGCCCGCGUUGACCGCGCCGCCAGCGUGCCUGGGCCACCGCCUCGCCCUUCACCCGCUUCAGCCCAGCAGCGCCAAGGCCGUGCCAGGCCUGCCGGGCCUCUCCACCGACUGGGCCUGGCCCAUGGUGAGCGCCCAGUCCGCCCAGAUUCGGCUCGUAGAUGUUUUUCCUAGUUCUGCGAAUUUAGUUAUUUUUCCAGAGGCUGCCAGUUUUGCAGAAAAACCCUUGCUGUUCAUGCAUUUAAUAACUAAAUAACCAUGCACCAUAUGUUAAAACUUCAAAUAUGAAAAGUGCUUAGAAUUUCAUCUAGUUUCAUAAUACCCAACUUUCAUGCAUGUUUAAAAUGUUUAACUUGCUGUUUGCAUUAAUUUGCUUAAAUGCCAUGCUAAAAUGAUUUAUUCCAUAGUUAAAUAACCGUAGCUUGGAUUUAAAUAAACUAUAUAUGUAAAUGGGGUGGAAAAAUGCAUAGAAUAACUUGGUUCACUUUAUUUUGAUGUUUAACAACUUUAAAAUAUGGUUUUAGGCAGAAUAGUUCCAAAUCUAAAAUAUGCAUAUGAGCAUUUUCCGGGAUUGUUGUUUGGUGUUCCGGCCUCAUUUAAACUUGCCUAAAUAGUUAGUUUACUUAUGCUUCACCUCUUGCCAUAUUAAUCAACAUUUAACAUUGUUGGGUACUUAACGGGAGCGAACUAAAUAACUUGAAUGUGGUGUUUCGUCAAUAUGCAACUUGUUACAUAUUGAGCUCCACUUAACUUGUAGUGUUGUUUGUGCACUUUGCCAUGCCAUGCCUCUUUAAACCGGAUAUGCAUCAUACUUGUUUGUGCAUCAUGCCAUGUCUAUGUGAUGUUUGUUUACCAUGUUGUUUGCUUCUUUCCGGUUGUGCUUCUUCUCGAUAGUUCCGGUUAUGUUGCGGUUGUGAGGAUCCGUUCGACUACUUUGGUUCGUCUACUUCAUGGACUCGUUCUUCUUCCUUGCGGGAUCUCAGGCAAGGUUACCAUUACCCUCGAUAUCACUUCUAUCUUUGCUUGCUAGUUGUUCGCUCUAUGGCUAUGUCGCGCUACCUACCACUUGUUUAUCAUGCCUCCCAUAUUGCCAUGUCAAGCCUCUAACCCACCUUCCUAGCAAACCGUUGUUUGGCUAUGUUACCGCUUUUGCUCAGCCCCUCUUAUAGCGUUGUUAGUUGCAGGUGAAGUUGAAGAUUGCUUCAUGUUGGAACAUGUUUAUGUUGGGAUAUCACAAUAUCUCUUAUUUUAAUUAAUGCAUCUAUAUACUUGGUAAAGGGUGGAAGGCUCGGCCUUAUGCCUGGUGUUUUGUUCCACUCUUGCCGCCCUAGUUUCCUUCAUACCGGUGUUAUGUUCCUUGAUUUUGCAUUCCUUACGCGGUUGGGGAUUUAUGGGACCCCCUUGACAGUUCGCUUUGAAUAAAACUCCUCCAGCAAGGCCCAACCUUGGUUUUACCGUUUGCCACCUAAGCCUUUUUUCCUUGGGUUCUGCAGACUCAAGGGUCAUCUUUAUUUUAACCCCCGAGCCAGUGUUCCUCUAAGUGCUGGCCCAAACCGGGCGAUGUCCGGCGCCCCCUGGGCAACCAGGGUCUAUGCCAACCCGACGUCUUGCCCAUCCGGUGUGCCCUGAGAACGAGAUACGUGCGACUCCUAUUGGGAUUUGUCGGCACAUCGGGCGGCUUUGCUGGUCUUGUUUUACCAUUGUCGAAAAGUCUUGUAACCGGGAUUCCGAGACUGAUCGGGUCUUCCCAGGAGAAGGAAUAUCCUUCGUUGACCGUGAGAGCUUGUGAUGGGCUAAGUUGGGACACCCCUGCAGGGUAUAAACUUUCGAGAGCCGUGCCCGCGGUUAUGUGGCAGAUGUGAAUUUGUUAAUGUCCGGUUGUAAAGAACUUGACACUUAACUUAAUUAAAAUGCAUCAACCGCGUGUGUAGCCAUGAUGGUCUCUUUUCGGUGAAGUCCGGGAAGUGAACACGGUUCUUGUGUUAUGGUUGUGCGUAAGUAGUUUCAGGAUCACUUCUAGCUUCACGACCGUUGCGUUGCUUCUUUUCUCGCUCUUUAUGUGCGUAUGUUAUCCACCAUAUAUGCUUAGUGCUUGCUGCAGCUCCACCUCACUACCUUCUUCUACCAAUAAGCUUAAAUAGUCUUUCUCGCGGGUGUGAGAUUGCUGAGUCCUCGUGACUCACAGAUUCUACCAAAACAGUUGCAGGUGCCGUUGAUACCAAUGCAGGUGACGCAACCGAGCCCAAGUGGGAGUUUGACGAGGACCUUGGUCGUUACUAUGUUUUAUUUUCCGGAUGAUUAGUAGUGGAGGCCAGUUGGGACGAUCGGGGAUCUAGCAUUUGGGGUUAUCUUCUUUUAUUUUGGUUCCGUAGUCGGACCUUGAUUGUAUUCUGGAUGAUGUAUGUUUAACUUGUUAUUUGUGUGAAGUGGCGAUUGUAAGCCAACUCUUUAUCCCAUUCUUGUUCAUUACAUGGGAUUGUGUGAAGAUGACCCUUCUUGCGACAAAACCACCAUGCGGUUAUGCCUCCAAGUCGUGCCUCGACACGUGGGAGAUAUAGCUGCAUCGUGGGUGUUACAAGUUGGUAAUCAGAGCCAUCCCCGACUUAGGAGCCCCCUGCUUGAUCGAAUCGCUGGCAUUGUUGAGUCUAGAACAAAAAUGUUUUGAGUCUUAGGAUUAUAUAUAUCGGAGAGUAUGAUUCUUUUUACUCCUCAGUCCCUUCGUCGCUCUGGUGAGUCCUCCUGACGUAGAUGUUUGGACUUUCCUCUCCUCAAAUUUCACGGAUUUUUUUAGGAUCACGCGGGUAUCUUGGAAUCGUUUCGAUAGUUUUGUGAUGAGAACAUUGUUCUUGGUGCCUCCUGACAUUUAGGGGUUGUGGCAGUGUCCCGAGGAGUUGAGCUCCGAGGUGUUGUCGUCACAAUUUUAUCGUUGCAGUUCUGGAAUACCUGAGUUUCGCCGACAUCGAAAAUCUCUUUUAUGCAGUUGUUGGUGAGAUCACCUCCAGACGCCACCCAGUACUGGGGCCGGAGUUCGGGGGUAUUGCCAUAACUCGUAUAACGGAUGCUUUUCGAAGGUUGAGGUACACGAUUUCUGGAGUUUUUCUUGGUUAUGUGUUGACGGAUGGAUACAGCUGGAUCUAGGUAUUGUUAGUUUGGGUGAGAUAUAUUGCGUCCCCUGUAUCCCCAACACCAGAUCGGAUAACCAGAAAGUUUCGGGAGUUUAUAAGUGGGAAUUCAAGUAUCUCGUAGGAUAUCUUUCCAACACACACAUGAUACGAUAUGGGAUCUAUCAUAUGUUUGUUUCCGGCUUAUUCUGCAAGCCAAAUCUUUUGUUUUUGUUUUGUUUUGUGGUAUUCGAGUUGCUUCAAUGCCAAGUGUUGAUUCCAUACCUUAUUCUAAGUGGUGUUCUCAUAUUUUUAUGUGGAUGCUAAUCCUUCUUGAUCAUCAAGGUUGUCUUUUCAAUUCUUUCCAACCGGUGUGCUUCUCUUCAAGUAAAUCCGAUCAUUCCAACAUUCACAAGAUCAAUUCUAAGCUUUUUCUCAACGGUGUUUGUUUCAUCCGACCCAAGUUGCCUUUGUUUUCCCACCCUCCCACCCUUUUCUUCAAGGACUCAUAUUUCUUAAUCAAGUAUCCUUUUUAUUGAUGUGAAGUCUCUUCAUUCUUUUCCUCCUUGUUCUUAUCCGGUGAUUCUCAGGAAGAUACUAAUGGAGCUUCAAGUUCAUCAUUCUUCGUUCUUUUCUUUUCUGGUGGAUUAAAUUCAAGCCUUCAGUGUUGAUCACAUUCCUUUCCUCGUUUCAAAUGCUUUCUCAUGCCGGUGCAACUCUUAAUCAUUCUUCGCGUGCUAUUCAAUUGUUCCGGAGUGCUGAAGAUAUCCCAGAAGAUUCAAGUUUCUAUUCGAAAUCCUUUCAAGCUAUUUCGAGGUCUUACCUUAUUCAAGCCAUUUAAUUCAACAGGCGCAAUCUUUCUUUUAAUCGUUCAACGGUGUACUUUUUUGAGUGGGCCCUAACCCACAGGUCUUUUCCCAGGAUCUUACCUGACUCUUCUAAUUUUUCCGGAGCUAUUCCCAAAUUCUUUUCGAAGUUUGACGUAAGAAUGAUUUACCAUCAGUCAAAUGUCUUUCUCCAAGAUCUUUCAAAUUCUUUUCAUCAUUGGUUCAACCUUUAUAUUCUUCAUUCCGGAGUGCCUCAACAAUUCAUGGUGGUUCCCAUCAUCAUUCUCAACAUUUGAAGACCGAGGAAGAAUUUCUCCUUAAUCUUGGUCCGUUCUCUUGAAGAUUCAUAGUUCUAGCUUGAUGCCAUCCUCUCAUAAUUGUUUUCGAUUGUGAGAAUUCUUUUCACACAUCCGGAGCAUUUCAGGAGUCUUUUCAGUUUGAUUCUCCGGAGCCCAUCAUCUCAGAAUUAUUCAUUCAAGCUUUCAGCUCUCGUUCUCCAAAUCAUACCGGUGCAUCAUUCAAGUAUUAUCUAAUCAGCUCGGGAUCUCUGCGUUCACUUGUAUCUAAAUUCUCUCAAGUAUCUUAGUUCAUUUUCUAAUUCUUCCCGGUGUUUCCUUAUCUUUUGUUCGUUCCUUUUCAAUUCUUACGGUGGUUCGUUCAAGAGUUCUCUUCCUUCGUUAUCAUAUAGAUUCAUUCAUACUUUCCAAUCCUACCGGUGGUUCGUUGAAGACCUUACCAAGUUUGCGCCAUAUCUAUCUUAAUCCUUUCUACGAGAAUAAGUAGUAUGCCAAAUCCAUUGCUUGUCAUCAAUUUAAUUGGUGAAGGAUGAGCAUAAUGUAAUUCUUAUUCUUGUUUCAUCGAGUAAAUUCAAUUCCUUAUUUAGGAGGUUCAUCAAAAUUCUUCAUUUCAUUUGUUUAUCUUUCUUUCCGGGGUUCCAAGUUUUCUCGGUUAUAUCAUUUCAAAGCUUCAUCUUAUCACUGCAAGGCUUCACCUUGUGUUUUCAACCUCUCUUUCUUUCUAUCAUCCUUUUAUUACAAGAGUUCUUCAUGGUGGUUCGUCAAGGAUUUAAUUCAUUCUCGAAGUGUUCUCAAGAUUCUUGUUGGAAGAGCUCAAAUAUUCUUCUUCCUGCAUUCCAAAGUGCAAUUCGUUCUACCUUAUCAUUUGAGAUGGUGAUAUGUCAUUCUUGACAAUUUCUUUUCAUGUUUCAUGAUUCUCAUGUUGUCAAGAAUGAGAUAUUUUAGAUCCAUCAAUCUCUUCAUUGGAGUUAUCUUGUGUCAUAUUUCACCUAAAGCCUUCCCUAAGGGAUGUUGCCAAUUGUGGUGCUUAUCAAUGAUCCAAGUUUUCUCCUAUUCUCUCGGCGAAUCAAGUUUCCAUCUCCGUGUUGCUCUCAAGCAAUCAAUUGUUUUCCGUAGUGGCAUGUAUUCACCUCUAAGUUUUGAGUUGUUUCCAUAAGCCCACUACAAGUUUAUUCUUUUCGUUGUUGGUUUUCCAACAACUCCGUUCUAUCCUUCUUUUUAAGGAUGCUAUAUCAAAUUCAUUUGAGGUAGAAGAUGUUAUUGUCUUCCCCGUUCUUUUCAUUCCAUGUUCAAGCGGAGUGCUGUCAAAACUAUGUCAUUCUUGUUCCUUGGCUAUCUCGUUAUACCGGGGUGAUUUCAUAUUCUUUCGGUUCGUUAAGCCCUUGUUUCAUGUCUUUCAACCCACAAGGUUCUCAUAGUGUUUCUUGUUCCUCUUUUCUAUCGGAGUGUUUUCAACUUUGUUCAUCUUCAUUGUAUUCUUUCUUUCAAGUUGUCCAACCUCUCCAGGUUCGUGGUUCACUCGUUUGCCAAAGAAGCAACUUUGUUUUACCUCUUCCUCUUCCACUUCUCUCCGGUGCCAUCCUAGAUCUCGGGACGAGAUCCUCUUGUAGCGGUGGAGUGUUGUAACGCCCCGAGACCGACGCUUCAGAUGCCUUCCAUGUAUUUUUUUGCUGCCAUGUGUUUUAUUUGUUUGUUGCAUUCUUCAUCGCAUCAUCCGCAUUGCAUCCGCAUGUUUUCAUAAAACUCGUAGUCGUUCGUGGUUGCCGCUUCUCUCUUUGUCUCCGUUGACCUUUUGUCAGGUCUCUUUGUCCUUGUCAACCUCUCUCAGACCCCUCGCGCGCGUCCGGAACUUCUGCGAACCUAAACCGGACUUUCGUUACCGUUGGGUCCGGAUCAUCCUCAAACAUCUAUAAAUCAUCUCCGUUUUCUUAUUUGGACUCCCUACCUAUUUAUUUCUCGGCCGUCCGAUUAUGAUCGGAGGGACCAAAUAGUCUCACUUUAACCAUCUACUAUAUAUAUAUAUAUAUAUAUAUAUAUAUAUAUAUAUAUAUAUAUAUAUAUAUAUAUAUAUAUAUAUCUGGGCAAACCCUAGCCCUAGCUGUCCCAUCCAUCAAAUCCUCCGCCGCCGCCGCCACUCCACCAAAUUCCCCUCGGGAUCCAUCCCCAACCAGCCAUUCUCUCUCUCCCUCCCUCGUUUUCAGCAUUAGACCAACCAGAGCGCACCCGAUCCAGAUCCUCUCCCACCUCCGACCACCUCCCUGGUUUUGCGCCGCCGACCAUGACCAACAGCAGCUCCUCGCGUGCCCCUGGUCCUCCCCAAGCAUGCUCCAGCAGGCCGUCCUCACCGCCCCGCGCCCGAGGCCCUGCCUUCUCCUCGUCCGCGCCGACCGAAGCCGGCAGGUCGCCGUCUCCUCGCGCCCCUUCUCCCCUUUUCUCUGGUUCUCCUCUAACAUUCGCUCUCUGCUGCUCAGGAACCAGCGCCGGCCGCCGCCGUCCCGUUCGUCUUCCAGCGAGGCGAGGCACCGAGCUCCACCGCAAGUCCCUCUGUAGCUCGGCGUCGCACCGCUGCUCUGCUUCCCAGAGGACCUCGACGAGAGCCUCUCUCGCGCCCCUCUGUCUCGUCGCCAGGACCUUCCCCGCGCUGCCGCUUCGUCGGAGGUGAGCUCCGCCGUCAAGCCAUGCCUCUGUGGCCUUCCUUUUUCCUCUCCUCGCGUCGCUCCUUGCUGACUGUCCAGUGACGUUUUCUACCUACAGAGACCAUGCCGAGGCCCUCCUCUUCUUCUGAUCUGGCGCCGUCCCAGGAGCUUGCCACCAGAUCCGGGCCUCCCUCGCCCGUAGCCUCCCCGUCGCGCCGCCCUUCGCCGAAGACCCAAGCUCCUCCAGGCCGCCCUGCCAAGUCCAUCGCGGUCUGAACCUCCCUGCUUCGCCAAGUCCCCUGCCGCGGCCUCUGCUUCGUUUGCAUCGCGCGAGCGAGGGCAGCGCCCGUGUUGACCGCGCCGCCAGCGUGCCUGGGCCACCGCCUCGCCCUUCACCCGCUUCAGCCCAGCAGCGCCAAGGCCGUGCCAGGCCUGCCGGGCCUCUCCACCGACUGGGCCUGGCCCAUGGUGAGCGCCCAGUCCGCCCAGAUUCGGCCCGUAGAUGUUUUUCCCACUUCUGCGAAUUUAGUUAUUUUUCCAGAGGCUGCCAGUUUUGCAGAAAAACCCUUGCUGUUCAUGCAUUUAAUAACUAAAUAACCAUGCACCAUAUGUUAAAACUUCAAAUAUGAAAAGUGCUUAGAAUUUCAUCUAGUUUCAUAAUAUCCAACUUUCAUGCAUGUUUAAAAUGUUUUACUUGCUGUUUGCAUUAAUUUGCUUAAAUUCCAUGCUAAAAUGAUUUAUUUCAUAGCUAAAUAACCGUAGCUCGGAUUUAAAUAAACUUUAUAUGUAAAUGGGGUGAAAAAAUGCAUAGGAUAACUUGGUUCACUUUAUUUUGAUGUUUAACAACUUUAAAAUAUGGUUUUAGGCAGAACAGUACCAAAUCUAAAAUAUGCAUAUGAGGAUUUUCCGGGAUUGUUGUUUGGUGUUUCGGCCUCAUUUAAACUUGCCUAAAUAGUUACUUUACUUAUGCUUCACCUCUUGCCAUAUUAAUCAACAUUUAACAUUGUUGGGUACAUAAACGAGAGCGAACUAAAUAACUUGAAUGUGGUGUUUCGUCAAUAUGCAACUUGUUACAUAUUGAGCUCCACUUAACUUGUAGUGUUGUUUGUGCACUUUGCCAUGCCAUGCCUCUUUAAACCGGAUAUGCAUCAUACUUGUUUGUGCAUCAUGCCAUGUCUAUGUGAUGUUUGUUUACCAUGUUGUUUGCUUUUUUCCGGUUGUGCUUCUUCUCGAUAGUUCCGGUUACGUUGCGGUUGUGAGGAUCCGUUCGACUACUUUGGUUCGUCUACUUCAUGGACUCGUUCUUCUUCCUUGCGGGAUCUCAGGCAAGAUGACCAUUACCCUCGAUAUCACUUCUAUCUUUGCUUGCUAGUUGUUCGCUCUAUCGCUAUGUCGCGGUACCUACCACUUGUUUAUCAUGCCUCCCAUAUUGCCAUAUCAAGCCUCUAAGCCACCUUCCUAGCAAACCGUUGUUUGGCUAUGUUACCGCUUUUGCUCAGCCCCUCUUAUAGCGUUGUUAGUUGCAGGUGAAGUUCAAGAUUGCUCCAUGUUGGAAUAUGUUUAUGUUGGGAUAUCAAAAUAUCUAUUAUUUUAAUUAAUGCAUCUAUAUACUUGGUAAAGGGUGGAAGGCUCGGCCUUAUGCCUGGUGUUUUGUUCCACUCUUGCCGCCCUAGUUUCCAUCAUACCAGUGUUAUGUUCCUUGAUUUUGCGUUCCUUACGCGGUUGGGGAUUUAUGGGACCCCUUGACAGUUCGCUUUGAAUAAAACUCCUCCAGCAAGGCCCAACCUUGGUUUUAACAUUUGCCACCUAAGCCUUUUUCCCUUGGGUUCUGCAGACUCAAUGGUCAUCUUUAUUUUAACCCCCCGGGCCAGUGUUCCUCUGAGUGCUGGCCCAAACCAGGCGAUGUCCGGCGCCCCCUGGGCAACCAGGGUCUAUGCCAACCCGACGUCUUGCCCAUCCAGUGUGCCCUGAGAACGACAUACGUGCGACUCCUAUCGGGAUUUGUCGGCACAUCGGGCGGCUUUGCUGGUCUUGUUUUACCAUUGUCGAAAAGUCUUGUAACCGGGAUUCCGAGACUGAUCGGGUCUUCCCGGGAGAAGGAAUAUCCUUCGUUGACCGUGAGAGCUUGUGAUGGGCUAAGUUGGGACACCCUUGCAGGGUAUAAACUUUCGAGAGCCGUGCCCGCGGUUAUGUGGCAGAUGGGAAUUUGUUAAUGUCCGGUUGUAGAGAACUUGACACUUAACUUAAUUAAAAUGCAUCAACCGCGUGUGUAGCCGUGAUGGUCUCUUUUCGGUGAAGUCCGGGAAGUGAACACGGUUCUUGUGUUAUGGUUGUGCGUAAGUAGUUUCAAGAUCACUUCUAGCUUCACGACCGUUGCGUUGCUUCUCUUCUCGCUCUUAUUUGCGUAUGUUAUCCACCAUAUAUGCUUAGUGCUUGCUGCAGCACCACCUCACUACCUUCUCCUACCCAUAAGCUUAAAUAGUCUUGAUCUCGCGGGUGUGAGAUUGCUGAGUCCUCGUGACUCACAGAUUCUACCAAAACAGUUGCAGGUGCCGUUGAUACCAGUGUAGGUGACGCAACCGAGCUCAAGUGGGAGUUUGACGAGGACCUUGGUCGUUACUAUGUUUUCUUUUCCGGAUGAUCAGUAGUGGAGCCCAGUUGGGACGAUCGGGGAUCUAGCAUUUGGGGUUAUCUUCUUUUAUUUUGGUUCCGUAGUUGGACCUUGAUUGUAUUCUGGAUGAUGUAUGUUUAACUUGUUAUUUGUGUGAAGUGGCGAUUGUAAGCCAACUCUUUAUCCCAUUCUUGUUCAUUACAUGGGAUUGUAUGAAAAUGACCCUUCUUGCGACAAAACCACCAUGCGGUUAUGCCUCCAAGUCGUGCCUCGACACGUGGGAGAUAUAGCCGCAUCGUGGGUGUUACAUGAUGAUGGUGUGCCUGCCAUCCUGCAAUACAGGUCGUCCGAUUUAUAUCUGACGGAUAGGAAGGAAACUAUGGCAAUUUUGCAAAAAGGUACCCACACACCUCUCCGCAUUUGCAAAUAAGGCCUUCCCUCGUUCAUCCUUUUCUCUCGCAAGAUAAACUAAUCUUAUAAAAAACAGAGUAACAGAGUUGGUGAUGAUGGUGUGCCUGCCAUCCUGCGAUAUAGGCCGUCCAAUUUAUAUCUGACGGAUAGGAAGAAAACUAUGGAAAUUUUGCAAAAAGAUACCUACACCCCUCUCCACAUUUGCAAAUAAGGCCUUCCAUCGUUCAUCCUUUUCUCUCACAAGAUAAACUACUCAUACAAAUGCAUCUUGAUGUUCCGUCCAACGCACGAGGAUGUUUCCUUGGGGGUCUCUCCAGCGCGGCGUGGCCGUAGUUGCAAGUUGACGCCCCUUGAGAUGCCGAUGUUCAGGGGCACUCAGAUUUUGUCCAAUGAGCAGGUAAGAUGAGUUUGAUCACGUAGUAAAUGCAUUCUAAAGACUACUUCCGUGUCUAUUUCCUAAUUCUCCCCCUACCCACUGUUUCACAGGUUAGGCUCGGUGCGAGUGGAGAUUGGCUUGCAUAUGUACGAGAGGGUACCAACAUCAAUUUGCACAACAUUUACAAUGGUGACACCGUUCCCGUAGAACCUUUGUCCAACAUUGGGAUCAGCCAUGCAACGGGCCACCGCCUGAAUUGGUACGAUGGAACCACGAUGAGAUUGAAGAAGAUAGCACGGACCUUGCAGAUGGCGGCCAAAGGUGGACCAUGCUGUCUGCGGCCGAUUUGUUGCCGUACGAGUACGAAGACGCUGUGCUCCUUUCUAACCACAUCUUCGCGGUGACUUAAACCAGGGGACUUAUUUCGUAUGGGACACAUCCUACGGUAUACUCCCUCUCUCCCAGUUUAUUUGUUUUGAAUUUUUUCGUUUUAUAAGCUUCAAAUUCAAAUUUAUUGCUCCCCAUCACAUGUUGAGAUUACAAUGUCCAUUAAAUCGUUGCGUGCAUGUAUAGUAAAGAAACAAAUCUUGAGUUUGGCACGAGUUCAUGCAGCGUAGCACCACAAGGCCUUGCGCAGGAGUUACAUUUCCCUCUCGGGGCCCUUGGGACUGAGCUUCAAUGCCUUACUACACCUGCCUUUGAGUCAAUAACAUGUGAACCCGAUAGGUGGCUGGUCCACAUGUAAUGCUCCCGAAGGCAGAGGGGCAGUGGGGCCGAGAGGGGUGAGCCACAGGUCGGGGGACGUGUGGUGUCAUGGGUUCGAGCUGCGUCGUGGGAAUCGCAUGUGGCUGUGGUAGAAACUUGAUGCUCGCCGCAUUUCAGGUGGCCCACAUGUCAAGCACACAAAGGAAGAGGGGCGGUGCAGCCGAGAGGGGUGAGGCGCGAGUCGGGGGAUGUGGUGCCGUGGGUUGGAGCGGCAUCGUGGGAAUCGCAAGUGGCAGUGGAUGAAACGUGAUGGUCGCCGUAGUUGAACUUCCAUGGACAAGAUGUCAUGUCUAUGGACACAUGCAUUGCAUACCGAUAACUGGAAGGAGUAGUAGUAGAGAAAGCUAGGGGGAUAAAUAGUUCCUUAGAGUCCAGCGGACCCAUGCUACUACUUGUUUCAAAGACAUGCACACCAUCGAAAUAGUCCAUCUAUAUCAAUAUACACACAGAGGGAAUAAUUUUUUUACAAGAGAGGAAAUAGUUCAUCCAUCCAUAAUGCCCUGCUGCUGGUGCAGCUUCUUCUUCUUCUUCUUCUUCUCAUUUUCUGUGGGAGACGGCUUCGCAACAAGCUCUCUGGACCUUGCAGCUAUCUCGAAACUCACACGGGCAUCGAGGGCAGCAUAUUUUAUCCGCUCGUACGUCAAGGGAUAAUUCUCCCAUCCAGACAACCUUAAUGCCAGCAUCUCGUCACCCUUCUGAAGAUUUGUUCCGAGCACAAAAUUUGCUACGUCGAAUAGGGAUGGUGUCGGUUUAUCACAAUGUUCUACAUGAAUUUUUAUUUUGGUUUGUACGUCAGUGAUGCUUUUCGAAUCAAGGUUGUACGGCUCCAACUUCUGUUUGUCCCCUCCGAUGGCUGCCCCACAGAAGUAUAUGUCCUCCCGAGACAAGAAAUCUUGAAGCUCACCUAGUAUGGAGGGCGCGUGUAUGAUGUGGUACACCAAAACAUCAUCUUUGAGGCACAGCUAAAGGACGGCGACGCGUUGGAUCUUCCUAGUGGCACACUCCGUGUACUCUGCGUCGAGACCGAUGACCUUCAUCUCCACCUUUUGGAGGGACUUGGAUACAUUGUUGAUCCACUUCCGAACAACCCUUCGGUGGUCGGUGACUGUGGCAACUAUGCUCAACGAGCCUUCGACGAGGACAUGUUGGACGCUAAAACCUACAUCUGGAUCUCUUUCGCCAUUUGGAACCACUGGACCGAGGGUUAUGGUUUGGAGAAUUAGGAUUAGAUGGCUAGUCUAACUGAAGAAGAUGAUUAUUUAAAGGGGCUUCUGAAUUACUCCAGGAGGAUGUGAAGAGGUUAAAACAAUGUGAAUGCAGCGUGGUUUGGAUGCAAAUGAAGAUGAAGGAGUAGUGAAGAAGCCGAGGAAAAUCGGUUCCCGAUGGAGAAGUAAAUGGGAGAAGUGGCCUGUAGGCAGUCGAUUAGACGGCUAGGUAGACUAAACAAAAAGGCUAUGCAGGCAGAUUGAGGAGUGGUACCUGUCCCUGUACGUGCCCAUCCUUCUAACGCUACAUGUGCCACUGGCAAGUUGAGGUCACUCUUUUGAAUCACCAUGGCGAGACAUUUUAUGAUUCCUUUUUAUUUCUGCACCCCUUCUGACAGGUGGGACCUAUGCAAACGGAUAAAGAAAAUGUGUCGAGCUGGUUCGGAUGGAUAUUGGCGCGUGCGUGGGAGACACAACAUUCUCUAGUUAAGGAAUAUGCGGUUAUCCUCAAAAAAGAAAAGGCCUUCGCGCUUCCGCAUGCACGAGAAUUUGGUUUUGCUCGCAAUAUGGAUGAUACCUGGAGGAUGAAGUGAACCCAGAGGCAUGCUAGCAUGGGAGACCUAUUUCCGCUAUACAGUACUACCUCCGUCUAGGUGAAUAAGUCACUCACGUAGUUCUAGGUCAUCGAUUUGAGCAAUUAAAUAUGUGUUAUAUGUCAUGAAAAGUAUAUCAUUAGAUUUCUACAUGGAUGUAGUUUCUAAAUAUAUUUUUAUCACAUAUAAUACAUAUUUAGAGAGUUAAAUCGUUGACCUAAAACUACGCGAAUGACUUAUUCACCGAGACGGAGGUAGUACUACUCAUGUUCCUACUACUCCUACUAGUAGUAGUAGUACAACUGUGGUACACUUGAUGGUCAAAAUAUUAUUCAUCCGGUCCUCACAAUGAACUGACAAGACCCUGCGCCCGAGGUGACACCAGUCCAGGCGGCGUGUUCGUGUUACCAAAGUCAGCCUCACCUUGUGCACUGAGCAGUCACUGUCGCCGCCGCUCUAUAGCAUACCUCGCCUCGUCUCCCUCUCCCUUAGCACCACUCCAUCUCCAUCUCCAUCUUGCCGGAGAUCCUAAGGUCACUCUUCAUCAUCUCACUGUGCCCCGUGUACCCUUGCCUCGCUCGCCUCCCCCAGUACCACUAUUCCCUCACUAGCCGCUCCAGCACCGAGAGCCUUCUCCCACGUAAAUCAAGCCCCCCAAAACCCCACCUUCCAAACUCCACCAUGUCCGAACGCGAACCGCGCAGCAUCCAUAUGAGCCGCGAUUGGAGCAAUCUCCCUAGUGACAUCCUCGACCUCUGUUGUUCGUGUAUGGAUAUGUUGAGCGCCCUACGGCUGGCUGCAUGCUCGAGAGACAUGCACACCGCCAUCGUCGAAGCGAGGCCUAAGCUUUUCAAGACACCCUGCUUGCUGCUAUCUGGUCUUGCGAGAUUUGCUCACCAUGAUACGGAGGCGUACAUGAUGCCCCUCGACUUUAAUCCGAUCUCCAUUAGCCAAAACUUAUUUGCAGGUAUGUAGUGGGUCGUCGUACAUCAUUUCCCUCGACUUUGAUCCGAUCACCAUCGCCCAAAACUUCUUGGCAGGUAUGUACUGGGUCGGCAUGAACUCCCACUGGAUGGUUGCCGUCAGAGAAGACAAGAAAAAGUUGGUGCUCGUGAACUUCCAGACCUCCCAUGAGAUUAUCCUUCCUCUGUUGGAUUAUAUGGAGUUUUACCAUCACGGUCUAAGUCAUCUAGAUUACCACGUCAGUUGGACGGACCUUGUUUUGCAGAAGAUUGUAAUCUGCCAAGUGCCCACACGAUAUGCGGAUUACGCAGACUUCAAGCUAAUUGCCUUGUUCGACCGCGGACUCGCCUAUGUUUACGCCGGUGCCUUCUUUAGCUGGAGACAACUCAGCUCGCAGUGGAUCAUCGUCAAAGCUGAUACACACUUCUGUGAUGCUAUUGAACACAAUGGCAUCAUCUACGCGAUCAACAAAGCAGAUGGCACCAAGUAUUGCUGGGAUGGCGCGUGUAAGUUGUUUUCGUCUGAUGUUAAUGAUGAUGCCAUGACACUGUUUGAACUUUUUGUGAUGAUUGGAAUAUCCAUGUUUGAGCAGAAUUUGAGUAGAACUAUGGCAAUGUAUUAGAGACGCCGUAAAUCAACUAUAUUUGGAAUGAGUUAAUUCAUGCGAUUGUGACCAUGUCAUUACAACCAAUUUGUACCCCUGAAUAAUCAAACAGUUAGGAAGAUAUUGAUAUUCUCCUUAUUUUAUAGUAAUCUGUAUACUACUAAAUAUGAGUGUGUAUCAAUGGCCAUGUUAGUUUCCUCAUUUUCAUGAUGUAGAAACAUGCAUCACACUGUUGGUUUCAUCUAACCAUACAUUAGGGAAGUAAAUGUGCAUAUGGAGAACUCUAUAUUUGGAAGCAGUGAAAUCCAAUAAUGCUUACCAUGUGUACAUACCUAUGUUUGCCCUUCAGCAAUCAAUAGCUAGAAUAAUAUGCUCACAAAAUUUUUGUCCACAGAACAUGAGUAUAUAACAAUGCAUGGUCUGUUAGUUUCCUUGAAGAAUUUGUUUGUGAGGACAGAACAUGAUUACAUAACAUGCAUGACAUGGUAAUUUCAUGUGAAUAAUUGAUUGUGAGAUGACAUGACUAUAACCCUGCAUGACACUUCUAUAUUUUCGAACCCAGUAUACAUUUCCAUGUAUUUUCCUCCCAGUUCCAACAGGGACAUAUCAAUGAUGUUUCUUGCAUUAUCCUACUCAUACUCUGAAUAAUGCUGAUCUUACAUUAACAAUGCAUGACCUUUUUGAUAUGAUGCAGUGUCCCUACAAUUACUGCCCUUUGUAAUCACACCACCUUUGCCAAAAACAGGGAAGCACAACUGGUUCCUCCCUCGAUCAGACGGCGUCAAAAGACUGAUGAUCAUUCGGACACAUGAGCUGGAAAAGUUAUAUUGCAAAAACCCCACUGUAUACAAGCACCGUGAAAUACAUGAGUAUUCGGACAAUGGCUGUUACGUCUAUGAGCAGGAUACCAGCUUGUUGGGGCCUUUGGGGUUUUUGAGUUGGAGGUGGGUAAACAGCCUUGGUUCACACUCUCUGUUUCUCGGACUCAAUUAUCCAAUUAUCAGGAGAUCACCGUUGGCAAGGACCUUGACGGCAGAGAGGCUCUGUUUGCUAUGGAAAACUGUGUCUACAUGGCGAGCCCUAGGAGUUCGGGAGCAAACUCCCCUAAUUGUCAACGAUACAACCUACAGCCAAAAUAAGGUGAGAAUGACAAAGGCAUCUGGAUUAACUUUGAUCCUUGGAUGUGUCGAGUCCGACAGGCAGUGAUGUGGUUCAAGCCUUCAGGUUGAUAGGUAAUUGGGCUGUUGCGUCGAAAGGGUGGAGUGCUGGUGUCUCCGGAUCACUGGUGGCUGAAGCGGGGCUGCAAAUUAUGAUGGUGUUGGAUCAUCCCUCUUCGAAUGACUUGUGGUCUUUGCUGCUUGUUCUGCAUGGGUAGUUCUCUCUUUUGUUAUGCAUAUUCCUUGUCAUUUGGUCAUCCUCGUCUAUGUCACUCUUACUAUGUAAUAGUUGCCUCUAUUUAGAAUGUCAUUCUUGUCUGGAUCACGAGAGUCUGAGUGCUGCAGAUGGGUGCAUUUUGGUGGUGUAGCAAGACUUCUUAUGAACUAUCAUGUCUUGUUGUUUAUGUCAGUAGUAGUCACUAGUCAGUGUUUGAAUGUUGUAUAUAUUGUUAUUUCGAACUGUUUAUUGUCUCAAAUGGCUGGUGGGCUAAAUGAGGGCAUCACCAUUCUCUAGUGUUCAGAGUAUAUCUCCUUUUUUCAAGUUACUAGGAAGAUGCACGUGCGUUGCAUGGAACAUCAAGAUCUUGUGGGAGAAAAGGAUGAACGAGGGAAGGCCUUAUCUGCAAAUGUGGAGAGGAGUGCGGGUAAAUUGUCAUAGUUUCCUUCCUAUCCGUUAGAUAUAGAUCGGACGGCCUAUAUUGCAGGAUGGCAGGCACACCAUCAUCACCAACUCUGCUUUUUAUAAAAGUAGAUAGAUUAUUUGAGCUCAGUGUCUUUUCAAUGGCGUACACUUUUUUGGGCCAGUGAGGUGUCAUUGAAUAUGGGACGAGUAGUAACGCAAUGCCAAACAGGUCAAUUAUGACUCUCAGGCCGGGCUCUCAAAAGAUCCUCAAAAAAGGCUGGGCUCUCAAAAAAAGAAAGAAUUGGGACUCUUGCGCGCCGACAUGUGGGCGCCACCGGUGUUUUCACGCGCUUGCGCGCCGAGAGCAUAUUGGCGCGUGUUCGAAAUUCAUGCUACCUUUUCAUCCCCAAUCUCCCGCCCCUCCCCCACAUCUAGAAUCUCGAUUCCUACUCCAGUUCCCCCAAAUCGCCCUCAUGUACUCCCCAUACUCAAGCGCACUAUCAUGUCGCCGGUCAAUGCGGAUCUCCGAGCCGGAGAUCCCGAGGUCCGUCCUGCCUUCAGGCGCUGCGUGUUGUCGCUCAAAAGUGGCAUGGUGGCGCUUGACGACCAGUUUGCCGGAAAAGUGCUGAUGGUAACCAUCAACGGCAACUGGCCUCCCGUCUCACCGGACGUCCUUGUCAAAGCUCUUGGCAUUGCGCACGGCCUCCAAAUAAGUGACUUGCUCGUCGAAGUCUGUCCGCCACCGGCUGAUUUCUUCGUCAGGUUCCAGACAACUUUCGAUUGCAGUCGUGUGUUCGAAUCUUCACGGCGUUUGUUCUGCGAUGGCGCGCUGGUGAGCUUUGAUCGAUGGCACUCAGGAUGGGGCUCGGUGCCCUCUGAUCUUGAGUUUUUAACAAAGCUUACCUUCCACGGCAUGCCUCAACGUGCUUGGAACAAUGAGUCCAUGAAUGAGCUUAUCAACGACCUUGGAGGUGAGCUCGUAAGUACGUUUGUUCCUCCAGACAGCUGGGCUCUGACGGUUAUGGCAUGGAUGAAGAAGCCAUCUACCAUACCGAAGGUGAUUGGUUUUGAGAUACCGGUGCAGGAACCGGUGUUGUACUAUUCGUCGCCACCAAGGCCGCCACGGACCACGUUAGGGAUGUACCUGUAUCGAGUGUUCGUGCAUGUCGAAGAAGUGGUCAAUCCAUCAAUUGAAGUCCUGUCGCCGCCGCUGGUGCCCGGGUCCGUAGACGAUGUCCAUUACAGGAGUCAACAUUAGACUUUCCCCAUGUUGCUCAGAACGAUGGAUGGUACAUGGCCUACUCCAACGCGCGGCGGAGGCCACUGCUUCUUUGGGAGAAGAGGCAGGGCUGGCUGCCUGGAUGUGCUCUAAUUUGAGGUAACAGCCGAAUCUUGUUAAAUACUAGUUAAAUCCGAGCUGUAGGUGUGAAGCACUGAUGUGCCAGUACAUUUGAUUGUGACAUGUUCUAUUUUUUUACCUGAACUUUUUUUAGAAAGGGUUGUACGUCAACUUCAUGUUCUAGCAGAACUUAUAUAUUGUGUUGUCUGUCUGUUUUCUUUGCACAGCAUUCAAGAUAUUUCCCCGUCAUUGAUAAAGAUGAUGAACCAUUAUGUACGAGUUCGUUGGUUUCAACAUAGCCCUACCUGUAGUGAUCCACUGCUUCCACCCUGAUUGUGCCGCUUGCAUGAAUUUUUUGUAUGCAAGUUUAGUGUGCUAUGAUGUUCUAUAUGAUUGUGUCAACUAUAUAAGUUUUUACUUAGCAUCAUCAAUGCAUAUGGCUGAAAGAUGUAUUUACGAGCAUCGACCGAUGUCUCUCUCUCUCUCACACACACACACACACACAAACACACGCACAAGUGGGACCCGUUGAAUUAUUUCUUCGCUCGUGACAGCUUUUAAUUAGGUUCCACUUUACUCUAACUUUUUUCUUAAGUUAUUAAUUGAGCUCAGUGACUUCAAAAAGUUGUACAGAAGCCUUGUUUGGGCCUCUCCGGCGUCACCGAAUGUGGGUUGAGUAGCCAUGUAAGGUUGUACUGUACUACACAGGCCUUUUUUCAACAUCAGCAAUGCAACUGGGCCGAUAGUUGUACGCAAUCCGGGUCAACUUGUUAUUCUCCGCCCCGCUGGGCUACAGAUCUUUCCUACGAGGGAUGCAUUAGGCUUAACAAGAAAAUGGGCUUUAAGAAAUAAUAAAUGGGAUGUAAUUAUAAAAAUUGGGCAGUAACUAUAAAUAAAUGCACCAAACACGUAGUUGGUUUAAAAAAAUAUUAUUUUUGGAAUUCGAAAAUUUUAAUUUCAUUACUUGUUGCGCGCGCACUAUUCCUUUAGAUUUUUAUGUAAUACAAAUGUAUUUUGAAAUUAUAUUUAAUCUGACAAGAAAUUUUGAGAUAAAAAUAUUUCGGAUCCCAUCAAAAUGUGGGAAAUUUUAUUGAAUUCUGUUUUGAGCGGUUGGUUGAAAUUAUUAAUCCUUGUCCUAGCUAGAAAAUGGGCUGUACUUUUAACAAACUAUAAAUGGGAUGUAGUAAAUUCCAUCAGAAUUCAAAAAUGGGGUGUACAUUCUUACAAAUCGCAAACGGGCUAUAUGUUCUCUGCCACACACUUGUGGGACUACUAAGUUGACGCGUCCCCUAAAAAACAAAAACUAAGUUGACGCGUAUGCAAGGCUUUAUCAACUUAUAGUCAACACACGGUUCUAGCAGCAGUGGCCGUUGGAUGUCCAUCCAACGGAUGUCGUGCUUCUUCUUCAAUCUCGGAUAUUCUUGCUUCAGCCGCCCAAAAAAUGUUUCCUCCCCCUGACAUCUGGGGCGCACCGUUUCGGAGGCUGACCUGUGGGCCUACUAAGUUGACGCGUACCAAGGGAUUUGUCAACUUAGUCAAUAUAAACGAUUCUAGCUGCAGUGACCGUACGAUGUCCAUCCAACGGCCGUCGUGCUUCUUCAACCUCUGGUCUUCUUGCUCCAGCCGCCGAAACCAGCUCCAGUCGUGCCGCGUGCUCCUGCCUCCCGUGGCCGGCUGUGAUGCCGCGGAGGCCUCACCGCCCCCCUACUACUCCCACCGCUGGCCAGGCCAUGUACGUACAUAUGGGCGGGGUCUCGAACGCCUACUCACGCAUAUGUACGGCCAGGGCUCGUGUACAUGGCUGGGUCGGAACGGAGAAACUGCAUCGUCGUGUUCAUCAGGAGGCAACGGAAUGCGUCGUGUUCAUCGAGAGGCAACGGAAUGUCAUGUUCAUCGGGAGCCAACCGGCUUGGACAGAACAGCCGAUCAAAACGAGGCCUGGCGUACUGCAGAACGGAGGAAACGGCCUUGUGUUCGACCGGCCACGGUCGAAACGGGAUCCUGUUCAUCGGGAGGGGUCUGGCGUACCGCAAAACGGAGGAAACAUACUUCUCUUGGACCUCCUACGGUCGAAACGGGGUCCUGUUGAUCGGGAGGGGUGUGGCGUACCGCAAAACGGAGGAAACGGACUUGUUUUGGAGCGCUACGGUCGAAACGGGGGUCAUGUUCAUUGGGAGGGGUGUGGCGUACCGCAAAACGGGACUCCACGGGAUACUAUUCAUCUCCACCGUCGACUGCCUCCACGGGCUACUGUUCAUCCACCGUCUACCUCCUCGAGCCUCCACCUGCGACUGUUCAUCCACAUGCUCCUAUUUAUCCAGCCUCCACUGCUCCUCCACCGGCUACUGUUCAACCAACCCUUUCCACGGGGCCCUGUUCAACCACCCCUCCACGGGCUACUGUUCAUCCAGCCCUCCACCGGCUACUGUUCAACCAGCCCUCCACGGGGUCGUCCUGUUCAUCCAGCCCUCCACCGGGUCAUGUUCAUCCACCCCAACCGGCUCGAUCGAUCGGGGUCCUGUUCAUCCAGCGGCAACACCACGGGAUCCUGUUCAUCCAACCCCCCACCGGGAACUGUUCAUCCAACACCCCAACAAGGCUCACUGUUCAUCAAGAGGCAGCAUCGAUCGGCUUCAUUUAGCAGCAGUAGCGAAGGAAUCACUCGAUUCAGUUAACAGCAAGGGAUCAAUCGGGGUUCAGUAAUGUAGCUAGUGCAAUCGCUCGGGUUCAGUUAGAGCCCAAUGCCUCGCUCAGGUUCAGUUAGAGCGCAACCUCGCACACACGCGCGUACGUGUACGAGAGAAAUGCGCAAACCUCCGUGCAUCUCUCGGCCCCGACCACCCACCGUAACCGGGAACACCCCAAUAUUUUCUUCGCCCUUGCUUCUACCACGGUUUUCUAUCAUGGACGGCCCAAAGAAUGUCAUGCAGCUGCGUCUCCGGCCCGCCUAGGAUGAAAAGCCCAUUUUCUGUCAUAGAAGUAGGAGCCCACCACAUCUAUGAUGAUACCGGUUUUUGUCACAAUUAUCGUCAUAAAGUGUCAUAAGCAUGACAGGAAAAAAAUUCGUUCCGCCCAAAAUGUCAGGGAUGUGUCAUUUUUUGUAGUGUUCAUUCGAAGUCAUGGCCCAAGAGAGAGAAGAGAGGCAUACCUGGGUGGUGAAGGAGUCAUCACCGGAGGAGGAACCGCCGGAGAGGUCUUUGAAGAAGACCAUGGUGACCCCGGCGGUAGGAUGCGAGACGGCGAGAGCGAGGAAGCGGCUAUAGCUUAGGAAGGAAGGAAGGAGGAAACAGGGGAAAUGUGACUUGUGGUCGGGGAGAAAAGGGGGUGGGGAAUGGGGGAGGGGGCGGGGUAGAUAUUUUGGCGGUAGGCCAAAAUUUUAGAAAUGUGGAGGGAAACUUUGCGCGCGGUGCCGCCGGACCAUUCACUUUGAACGAUUGUGUGCAUCACAAACGAUUCUUCUGCUUUACGCGCAUGGCAUGAGUUUGAUAAUUCAAAUUUUGGUGGAAAUUUCCCCGGGUACGUCAUUCCAUAAUUUAACAUUGCUUGCUAAUUUGGGCACACAAAAGAGCGUACAGCAGAGAGACCAGACUUACUGAAUCGAGCAAUAAUAGUAAUUAACAGAGCCAGUUGACCUAAGCAUUGCUCUAACAGAAGACCAGCAUUAAAAAGAAAGCCUAAGUACGCAUAAUUUUAACAAAUCUGCCGCCGUGCCGGCCUUUGCAUCGCCGGUAUGAGAUGAGACGUCGAUGACUUGUCCAAGCGACGUGCCGCCGUUGGUGGACUCCGCGUCCCCCCUGCUGAAGUCUACGGCGUCCUCGUCCUCGGCGCCGCCCUCAAGGUUGUAGUACUCGUAGUAGUGGCUGCGCCAGAGCUCGCGUUGGUACUCCACCGCUGAUUCCUCGACGGACAGACUCUUCUCUACCUCGACCUCAGCCACGCGCAACUCCUCCUCCCGGCGCUCCUCGAUCUCCGCCGCCUCCUGCAUCUCCAGCUCCCGCUCGGCGACCUCAUGAGGAAGCAGGUGCUCCAUGGCCACCACCGCCUUUUCAGAUGUGGGUUGCAUGCUGGAGUCUGAGGUAGCCUGGAAUAUCUUGGCGUGUGCAUCCUCGAUCUUGGCAUGGAUGGCCUCGACCCGGGCCAGGGCGACAUCGGCGGCACGGACGGCAGCUCGAACACUCUCGGCGUUUGCAGCUGUCGUCGCUGUAGCAGCUGUAGCCAUCUUCUCUGCUACAGCUGCCAUGUCGGCUGCCGCAGACGCCCUCUCGAGGGAAGCGGCCGUGCUCAAUGUGGAUGCUUAUAGAAAAGAAUUUGCAUGACAUCUAUUGUCCUACCCUCCCGUGGCAGCGGGGUCCUAUUAGCAACUAAGGGAUAUUAUGGCCUCCUUUUAAUAGAGUACCAGACCAAAGCAUUAACACUUAGUGAAUACAUGAACUCCUCAAACUACGGUUAUCACCGGUAAGUAUCCCGAUUAUUGUCACUUCGGGGUUAACGAAUCAUAACACAUAAUAGGUGACUAUAGACUUGCAAGAUAGGAUCAAGAACUCACAUAUAUUCAUGAAAACAUAAUAGGUUCAGAUCUGAAAUCAUGGCACUCGGGCCCUAGUGACAAGCAUUAAGCAUAGCAAAGUCAUAGCAACAUCAAUCUCAGAACAUAGCGGAUACUAGGGAUCAAACCCUAACAAAACUAACUCAAUUACAUGGUAAAUCUCAUCCAACCCAUCACCGUCCAGCAAGCCUACUAUGGAAUUACUCACGCACGGCGGUGAGCAUCAUGAAAUUGGUGAUGGAGGAUGGUUGAUGAUGACGACGGCGAGGGAUUCCCCUCUCUGGAGCCCCGAACGGACUCCAGAUCAGCCCUCUCGAGAGAGAUUAGGGCUUGGCGGCGGCUCCGUAUCGUAAAACGUGAUGAAUCCUUCUCUCUGAUUAUAUUCUACCCGAACGUGAAUAUAUAGAGUGGGAGUGGAGGUCGGUGGAGCACCAGGGGGCCCACGAGGCAGGGGGCGCGCCCAGGGGGUAGGCACGGCCCCCACCCUCGUGGACAGGGUGUGGGCCCCUGGUCUUGAUUCUUUCGCCAGUAUUUUUUAUAUAUUCCAAAAAUAUUCUCCGUGAAGUUUCAGGUCAUUCUGAGAACUUUUAUUUCUGCACAAAAAUAACACCAUGGCAAUUCUGCUGAAAACAGCGUCAGUCUGGGUUAGUUCCAUUCAAAUCAUGCAAGUUAGAGUCCAAAACAAGGGCAAAAGUGUUUGGAAAAGUAGAUACGAUGGAGACGUAUCAACUCCCCCAAGCUUAAGCUUUUGCUUGUCCUCAAGCAAUUCAGUUGAAAAACUGAAAGUGAUAAAGAAAAACUUUUACAAACUCUGUUUGCUCUUGUUGUUGUAAAUAUGUAAAGCCAGCAUUCAAGUUUCCAGCAAAGAUUAUGAACUAACCAUAUUCACAAUAACAUUUAGGUCUCAUGUUUACUCAUAUAAAUGGCAUAAUCAACUAGCGAGCAAUAAUAAUAAAUCUCGGAUGACAACACUUUCUCAAAACAAUCAUAAUAUGAUAUCACAAGAUGGUAUCUCGCGAGCCCUUUCUGAGACCGCAAAACAUAAAUGCAGAGCACCUCUGAAGAUCAAGGACUGAGUAAACAUUGUAAUUCAUGGUAAAAGAGAUCCAAUCAUAGUCAUACUCAAUAUAAAUGACAGCGGUGCUCUCCAACUGGUGCUUUUUAAUAAGAGGAGGAUGACUCAACAUAAAAGUAAAUAGAUAGGCCCUUCGCAGAGGGAAGCAUGGAUUUGUAGAGGUGCCAGAGCUCGAUUUUGAAAUAGAGAUAAAUAAUAUUUUGAGCGCAUACUUUCAUUGUCAACAUAACAACCGAGAGAUCUUGAUAUCUUCCAUGCUACACACAUUAUAGGCGGUUCCCAAACAGAAUGGUAAAGUUUAUACUCCCCCACCACCAACAAGCAUCAAUCCAUGGCUGGCCCGAAACAAUGGGUGCCUCCAACUAACAACAGUCCUGGGGGAGUUUUGUUUGCAAUUAUUUUGAUUUGGUUUGAGCAUGGGACUGGGCAUCCCGGUGACCACCCAUUUUCUCGUGAGUGAGGAGCGGAGUCCACUCCUCUUGAGAAUAAACCACCUAGCAUGGAAGAUAUAGAAAGCCCUAGUUGAUACAUGAGCUAUUCGAGCAUGCAAAACAGAAUUUCAUUUGAAGGUUUAGAGUGUGGCACAAACAAAUUUACUUGGAACGGCAGGUAGAUACCGCAUAUAGGAAGGUAUGGUGGACUCAUAUGGAAUAACUUUGGGGUUUAUGGAAGUGGAUGCACAAGAAGUAUUCCCGCUUAGUAAAAGUGAAGGCUAGAAAAAGACUGGGAAGCGACCAACUAGAGAGCGACAACAGUCAUGAACAUGCAUUAAAAUUAAUAAACAUUGAGUGCAAGCAUGAGUAGGAUAUAAUCUACCAUGAACAUAAAUAUCGUGGAGGCUAUGUUGAUUUUUUCAACUACAUGUGUGAACAUGUGCCAAGUCAAGUCACUCGAAUCAUUCAAAGGAGGAUACACCCUAUCAUACCACAUCACAACCAUUUUAAUAGCAUGUUGGCACGCAAGGUAAACCAUUAUAAACUCCUAGCUAAUUAAGCAUGGCAUAAGCAACUAUAAUCUCUAAUUGUCAUUGCAAACAUGUUUCAUUCAUAAUAGGCUGAAUCAGGAACGAUGAACUAAUCUUAUUUACAAAAACAAGAGAGUUCGAGUUCAUACCAGCUUCUCUCAUCUCAAUCAGUCCAUCAUAUAUCGUCAUUAUUGCCUUUCUCUCGCACGACCGAACGGUGUGGAUAAUAAUAAUAGUGCACGUGCAUUGGACUAAGCUGGAAUCUGCAAGCAUUCAAUACAAAGGAGAAGCCAAGGUAACAUGGGCUCUUUGUUAAAUCAACAAUAAUGCAUAUAAGAGCCACUCAACAUUUUCAUUAUGGUCUUCUCCUCUCGACCCCCAAAGAAGAGAAAAGAAAUAAAACUAUUUACACGGGAAAGCUCCCAGCAAGCAAAAGAAGAACGACAAAUCUUUUUGGGUUUUCUUUUAAUUAUUACUACUACAGGCAUGGAAAGUAAACUAGCUAAAGACUACAACUAAUUUUUUUGGUUUUUUUCUUAAGGUUUUCAAACACACAAGAAAAAAGCGAGAAAAAGGAAACUAAACUAGCAUGGAUAGUACAAUGAAAAAGUAUGCGCACCGACAACUAGAAUGAGUGUGUGAACAUGAAUGUAAUGUCGUUGAGAAAUGUGUACUCCCCCAAGCUUAGGCUUUUGGCCUAAGUUGGUCUAUGCCGAUGGAUCAAAGUUGUAGCUGGGGUCGUACUGAGAUGCAGCAGCUAUUGCCUCAUGAGCUGCAGCUUGGAGGCGAGCUGCCUCCGUCCUCCUCUCAUACUCGUUCGCCUCCUCCCUGGUUAUAAUAUAUCUCCUUUUUGCCUGAAAGUCAAAGAAACCAGGAGCAGGGAGAGCAACAUGGACAAUGCGACGCUUGUCAAAGAUUAGUCGGUAUUGGAGGAACUGUUCGUUCCUCUCAACAAACUGAUGACGAACCAUAGUAUUAUAAUCUAAAUAAGCAGGAGGCAGUUCCAUAUCAUUUUCAUGUAUGGGUAUCUCAAGAUAAUUAGCUACACGGGUUGCAUAAAUUUCACCGAACAAAUAUCCACUAAUACUAUUAUUAUGCAACCUGCAUGCAACAAUGGCCCCCAAGUUAUAUUGUUUAUCUCCUAACACAACACUCUUGAGAACACUAAGAUCUAGAACACACAUGUGACAUGCCUCAUCCUUGCCAUUAAAGCAUCUACCUAUAAAGAGAGCAAAAUAGUGUAUAGCAGGAAAAUGAAUGCUCCCUAUGGUAGCUUGUGUUAUUUCUCUAGAUUCCCCCACAGUGAUACUAGCAAGAAAAUCCUCAAACUCAGAUUUACGAGGUUCACUAGCACUACCCCAUUGCGGGAGUUUACAAGGAGUAUUAAAAUCUUCUAAGUCCAUGGUAUAAGAUUUAUUAUAAAGAUCAAAUAGGACAGCGCGAGAAUUGCGUGAAGAUGUAAAUUUAAACCUUCUCACAAAGGAAUCAGUUAGGUGAUAAUACUGAUGUCACUUAUCUAGCAUGAAGCCCUCAAGUUCAGCAUUAUGCACAUAUGCGUCAAAUUCCUCCUUAAUUCCUGCUUGGACCAUGAAAUCUUCUGACGGCCAUUCACAAGGCCGCACUUGAGCUUCUCUUGGUAGUUCAUGGUCCGGCUCACGUAUUGCGGGCAUGGGUCCUUGCUUCCUUGAAGAACCACCUUGGUACAUUUUCCUAAACAUAUUUCUUCCUCUGAUUUUUUUUUAAUUUUAGUAACUCAAAAUAAAAGUGAACCAAAUUCAACAAAAUUGAUAGCAACUACUCCCAGAAGUGCCUAGAGACUAUAUCAUGCAUUAGAACUACUUGGGACCAAAUAAAUUUGACAUGCAAGCUCAAGAACAGGGUCACCUAGGCAGCAAAAAUUUGCAAUGAAUAAAGCACUAGAACAAAAACUAAUUGGACCAUUGGAGGAGUCACAUACCGAAGAACAAUCCCCCAAAGUAGUUUUGUGAGUGGAGCUUUGAGCAAGGAGAUCGAAAAUGGCAACAAGAUGAGCUAGAACUCGUGCUUGAGCUGGUUGGUGAUUUUUUCUGGAGGAAGGAGUGUGUGGGUGCUGGAAUAAGUGGAGGGGGCCACGUGGGGCCCACGAGGCAGGGGGCGCGCCCAGGGGUGGGCGCGCCCUGGACCCUCGUGGCCAGGUGUUGGCUGCCCCUGAUGUGUUCUCAGUGCCAAAUAUUCUCAAAUAUUCUAGAAAAAAUCAUAUUUCAUUUUCAGGGCAUUUGGAGAACUUUUAUUUUUGGGGUAUUUUUUAUUGCAUGGAUAAUUCACAAAACAGACAGAAAAUACUAUUUUUGCUUUAUUUAAUCUAAAUAACAGAAAGUAAAAGGAGGGUACAGAAGGUUGUUCUUUCUAACUUCAUCCAUCUCAUGCUCAUCAAAAGGAAUCCACUAACAAGGUUGAUCAAGUCUUGUUAACAAACUCAUUCCGAAUCGGAUGAAACCGGAGAAUUUUGGAAUAGCACUAGGUUACCUCAACGGUGAUAUGCACAUCCCCAAUAAUAAGAAUAUCAUAUUUCUUUUUGUCGGGUGGUAGGUGUGACAUAUGCCAACGGAUGGCUUAUCAUUGUGGGAGCCAGUAAAACAUCGCCAAGAAGAACGGCGAGGCAGCUCGCUGCGCAGGCGUCGUCGACGCAUAGCAGCGCGUCGGGGCAAGCGCCAUCGGGUGCAGCAGGCUGGCUGCGCUCGCGGGGGAGGAAAAGGGUUCCCGUCCAGAACAGGUCUCCGGACGACGGUGCACCUGCCCCACGGUGGGCGCCAAAUGUCGGGUGGUAGGUGCGACAUAUGCCAACGGAUGGCUUAUCAUUGUGGGAGCCAGUAAAACAUCGCCGGUGCCUGGAAACAGGAUGAGGCGAAGACAUGCACGCCGGCGAAUCUUACCCAGGUUCGGGGCUCUCCGUGGAGAUAACACCCCUAGUCCUGCUCUGCGGGGUCUCCGCAUGAUCACUAGAUCAAUACAAGUAGCUACAAGCGCUCCUUGAGCUGUUUGGCUAGAGGAAGAACAAGGGCAAGGCUAGCUCUCCUUUUCUCUCUAUGUGGUGUGUGGAAUUCUAUGAGAUCAACCCUUUGCAUGGGUGUCCCGGGGGGUUUAUAUAGGCCUACCCCCAGGGGUACAAUGGUAAUCCGGCUGGACGCGGGUCCCAGCCGUCAGCGUCUAUGCACGCCGGCUUCUCCGCCGGUCAUUGGGGCCCGCCGACUGGUGGGUCCCGCCGGCUGCCGGCCUCUUGGCUGACAGGCCGGCCCUACCGCUUGGGGGCUUUGUCGGCGGCUGGUUACUGUUGCCUCGCCUCUGAUGACGAGUGCUUUGUUGAGGUAAGCGUGGCUACAGUGUCGCCGCCUUGCGGGCUCUCACUGUAGCCUUACCUCGUCUUGUCUCCUUAAUGAGGCACAUGUUUCGAGGGAGGGAGGUAGCCGGCUAUUGGGAGCCGGCCACACCCCUGGCCAACUAGAGGAGGCCAGGCCGCCUUCGGGUGUCUCUCUGGCAAAAGGGGCCCGCUGCCUACGGGCCGUACUGGUGCCUGUCGUGGGUGACAUCGAGGCCAACACGGCUACAGUGCCACGCCGGACGGGGGAUGGCUGGCCCGUACGGCGCCCUGUGGCCAUGCCUGUUCCGGGAUUCGGGGGUAGUGGGCUGUACUGCGGCCACGCCCCAUCCUAUCGCCGUUAUGUGGGUACAGUCUUUAGUGGGUGCAGUCUUGGCUGGCUUCUGGGAGCCGGCUUUCUUCAUGGCCGGCUUCUGGGAGUCGGCCAUGGGGAUAGCCGGGGAAGGCGGCCCUAUGCUUUGUAUGCUUGAAGGCUUGAAUGGCCUGAUAAUUUUUCGAAGAGCCAGGGGGAGUCGGUUAGGCUACCCGUGGCCAUUUACUCCGACAGUAGUCCCCGAAGCUGGUUGGGCUUCGAGACUGAGAGGAGGCCGAGAAGCUCGGUCAGCUUCUAAUCUUGACGAGCCAAUAGCUGGGAGCCGGCUUCGGUUGGGCGCGCCGUCUUGGCGAAAAUUUUAAAGUCGGAAGGCGGGAGUUUGUUGGCGCGUGCACCGGGCCACGGGCCGGUCACUCACCGCCUGCGAACCACGUGGCAUCCCUUGGCUGAAAAGAGCAUGCUAACCCACGCGCGCGACAAGACGUCGCCGCAGGCCGAGGGCCCACCACUCCAACGCCUGGGCCCAGGCGCGGAUUCUUUGUGGCCCAAAGCUGUCCGCACGUCUUCCGGUGGCGGUUUCCGCAUGCCGUUAGGGCGCAGUAAUCGCGGGGCAUGGGGGAGUGGGCGCAGUUAAUCCCACGUUCCUCCCCACGCCUCGCCUCCUCGGCUUCGCCGCACGAGGCUAUAAGUAGGGGGAGGAGGGGAAGCGGCAGACGCUCGCACGCUCCUGUCCUCUCCGCCAUCUUCUUCCUCCUGCUUUCUCUCGCAGUAGCGCCUCGCCGCCGCGCCGUCAAAUCAAUCUUCACUCUGCCCUGCAGCUUUGCCGCCGCAAGGCCGUGCUUUCUCCGCCGCCGCACUCUUACUUGUUAGCUUCUCGCCACCUUGCAGUACGGCAGGGACUGAGACGGCUCCAACGUCCAUAUGACCACAUCGAGUUCCUCCGCAAGACGCGGCAGUUGCCCGGCGCAGACCAGGUGCGGGUCCAUCUCGCACCUGCGAAGGAGAUCACGCCGGCGCUGGAGGAAGGCGAGCGGGUAGUCUUCCGCUCGCACUUCCUGCGCGGCAUCGGCUUGCGGGCGAGCGCUUUCUUCCGCUUCUUCCUCAAAUUUUAUCAACUCCAGCUGCACCACCUCACUCCGAACACGGUGGUGCUGCUGUCCGCCUUCGUCACCUUGUGCGAAGGCUUUCUUGGCGUUCUCCCCACCCUCGAGCUCUGGGGGGAGUUCUUCCAAUCGAAGCUGGGCACCCGCAUGCAGGGCGUGCCGGCCCAGAGCGGCGCCUUCAUCGCGAUGCGGAGGCCGGCGGCCGACAACCCCUUCCCCGUCAUCACGUUAAUCCAGUCGGUGAAGCUCUGGCAGAAGUCAUAUUUCUACGUGAAGAACGUCGCCCCACAAGGCGACUACGUCAACUUGCCGGCUUACGUAGCCGGCCCGCCGGCUGGGAGGCGGCCCCAGUGGUCCUAUCGGGCCGUGACGCUGUCACAGGCUGGAGCCGCGGCCGUCGCCCGACUGCGGGUGAUGAUCCAGUCGGAGGGCCUGGCUGGAUCCGACUUGCUGGCUGCCUUCGUCGCGCGCCGGGUGCUUCCGCUUCAGAGCCGCGCUCACCUGAUCUGUCAGAUGAGCGGCCAACUCGAUCCAAGUCGGAUGUGCACCAAGGACAUGCCGCACGACGAGGUGGCCCAUAUGGUGAAUUAUCUUGCGAACUGCAAGCUCUCCGCAGAGUGGCGGUUUGGCAAGGAGCCAUAUUCCCGUGCACAUCCGCCGCCCGCGGUAUGUUCUCUUUUUCCCAUUCUUCUCUUAGUUUUGUCGCCGAGUUCCUCCUCGCCGACUCUGACCAGUCGGCACGUCUUGACAGAGCCCUCUCCUUCGAUCGGCAGCCGAGUCGGAGGCGGAGCGCCGAUUCCUCCCCGACUGGGCGGAGCAUGACCUGGAGGACCACGACUUGGGGGCGGCCGCCAUGGAUGAAAACACCGAGGCGGGUGGCGGCGAAGCCGGCGGCGAAGCAGGCGGCUCCGGGCUCGGAGCCAGCUUCGACGACUGGUCGGAUGACGACGAGGCGGAAGUCGUCCCACGCCGCCCGCCGGCGCCCGGCUACGGCGCAAGUUCCUCCGCCGCGCCGCCUGCUCGGGGCGGCGGGCAAAAGCGUCGGGCCGCGUCGGGCUUGUUCGGCAGUCGGCUGAAGAAGCCCAAGGGUGGGGCGGCGACGACCAGGCGGGACGAGGCGGCCGCGAAGGCGGCCCGCUUCCGCAAGGUGGUGAAGUAGCCGCAGACGGUGUCAGCGUAAGUGUAUAUUCCUUUGUACAUUCUUUCUUCUUUUCUUGGUGAUUUCUGAAUCCUUGUCCUUUCUCAAAAAUCAGGGCUCCGCUUUCGCUCGAGCGGGUUGCUGCCGCCUCCGUCGUUGGAUCGCCGGGAGGAUCCAGGAGCACCCGCCGCGUGGACCCCCGCGCCGAGCUUCAGGCGGCGACGGAGCGAAACGCGCGGGAGGCGCGGGAGGCGGAGGAGUUGAGGGCGGCUGCCGCCAAGGCGGCACAGGAGGAGGAGGAGGCGGCGAAGGCGCGCGCCGAUGCAGCGGCCAAGGCCCAAGCGGAGGCUGCGGCCNNNNNNNNNNNNNNNNNNNNNNNNNNNNNNNNNNNNNNNNNNNNNNNNNNNNNNNNNNNNNNNNNNNNNNNNNNNNNNNNNNNNNNNNNNNNNNNNNNNNNNNNNNNNNNNNNNNNNNNNNNNNNNNNNNNNNNNNNNNNNNNNNNNNNNNNNNNNNNNNNNNNNNNNNNNNNNNNNNNNNNNNNNNNNNNNNNNNNNNNNNNNNNNNNNNNNNNNNNNNNNNNNNNNNNNNNNNNNNNNNNNGCUCGUCACCCCUCUGCGUGUCGCGGCGCCCGAGGCCCCGGAGCCCCCGCCGGAGGAAGCCGGCGGCGACCAGCCGGGGUUGAAGAGGGAGGACGACGUCGUCGUCCCGGAGAGGGAGGCGGCACCGGCCCCGUCGACUGGGGCGGCUCAAGGCAGCCGGCCUAUCAUGCCGCCUGCGCAAUCGGCCGGGGGCGAGCCGGCCGCGAGGACGGACCUGGUGGUCCAGUCGCCAUCGUGCCAGUGCACGGGGAAGGCCGCAUCGGACCCGCAGAAGGCCGCGGGCUCCGGCUCAUCGGCCCGGGAUGUGGAGGCUGCCAGCGCUAGCUCGGGGUGGACGCCGGGUGGAGGGUCGGCCGUGGUGAACGUGGCGGCGCAGGACGUCCGGAACCGGCUUCAGUCCCAGGCUUCGGCGCUGAGGAAAUACAACGACGAGUUCCUUGCGACGCGAGCGGCCAUUCGGGUUAGUCUUCCUAUUUUUGCUUUUUUGAUCUUGGUUUCUUCCGUGGGGCACGUCAGCGCACCCACUGGGUGUAGUCCCUGAGUUCCGAGUCGGCUGCUGAGCAAGCGGCUUGGAACUUCUUAGCGGGCUUUGUUUUGCUAUCUUGUUCUCAUUCGCUCCUCUGCCUGACUUGCAGGACUACCACAACCUCCGCGCGGCUGCCUUCAACUUCCAGGCUCGGGAGCUGACCCAGAAGAAUGCUGACCUAUCUGAGAGCCGGGGGUAAGUGCUUCGUCCUUUAUCUCACGUGGGGGCGCGUCAGCGCACCCAUUGGGUGUAGUCCCCGAGAUUCGGGCUGACUGCUGAGCAGUCGGCUCGGAUCUUCCUUGACGACUUUUUCCUUAUUGCUUCUUUCUUUUCUACCCUGCCUGCAGCAGCCAACGCCAGACUGAGGGAGCAGCUGGGUGGGACUCAGACCGCCCUCUGCGCUAAGGAGGCCGAAUUUGAGGCCUUGGCCCAGGAGCGUGACCGCCUGGCCAAGAGGUUGGCCGACCAGGAGAAGAGCCAUAAGGUGGCCCUGAAGGUGGUGCAGGACAGCGAGGCCACCCUCCAAGCCGAAUAUGAGACAGAGGCGGCAAGCUGGGCCGAAGCGAGGCAGUCGCUGAUCAACGGCUAUGGCCAGAUCGAAGACUUGGUUGACGGUAGGCCGCUCUCUUCUUCGUCCUUGCUUGCCGCUUGCCUUUUGGCUCAUUUUCUGACUUGGUGCUUUUAUUUUCUCUCUUUCUUUCUUGCGCAGAGUACUUCCCUGGCUACUCUACUGCCGCCAACCAGGUCGUCGAGGCCCACCGCGAGGCACAAAGGCAGGCUGGCGCCGAGAUCGCGCCGGACGCUCGCCGGUCGCUGGAGCAGCAGCUCUUGGCGAUUCAAGCCCGCCUCCAGCCGGCUCACCGCAUGCUCCGCCGGCUUCAGCGUGUUGGGGCGCAGGUGUUGACCACUCUCUGGCCUGGUGAGGUGAUUCCCCGCACCCCCAGUUGGACUGCCGACUGGUUGGAGGUGGCGGUCGGCCGCUUCGAGGCCUGGAAGGCUUCCGCGGCUCGGUCCGGCGCCAGGCGGGCGCUGGAGUUCAAGGCCUGGUAUCCCGAGCUGAGUCUGGACCAGCUGGCCACCUGGCGGCAGGAGGCCGACACAGAGCUGGAGCCGGCGCGGCCGGCUAUCAUCCAGCGGGCUUCGGCCAUUGCCGACUACACCGACACCAGCGCCUUCGUUCCUGAGGUGGACGACAACGGCGUUGCCCAGCCGGAAGAGUGGUUCGGGCUGAACCCGGCAGAUGGCAAGGACUCGGCGGAGGAGAUCGACUCCAGCGACGAGGGUGAGGAGGAGGAGGAGGAGGGUGAAGACGCCGCGCCAGAUGGUGGAGCGGCCGGUCAGCCUCAGCUUGACCGUGCCUCCAGCAACAAGGCACGCACGGGUGCACCGCCUGCAGCCGGCGAUGAUCAAGCCGAGACCCGCCAGUCGGCCACUCCUCCAGCCGGCGGCGCCGUCUCCACCGACCAGCCCGGCUCCCCUGCUGCGCCCUUAGUCUAGUCUGCUGCCUCUAUUUUCCUGUUUUACUACUCUUGGAAUAGUUUUUUGUUAAGUUUGCACAAUUCCACCCACUGGGGGUGUAUUCGAACUAUAUUGACUGCCGGCCUGUUGGGGGCCUUAUGUGUAAAUAUAAUUAUGCAUGCGUUUGGCUUUCCCUUGUUCUUUGCUUUUCAUCCUUCGGCUGUUUCCUUUGCCGCCCUCCCUUGGUUGCCGCCUUCCCAGCCGGACAGCUGCUCUGCAAUCUGUGGCUGGAGAAGUGCUUGGCCAGUUGGGAGGGCAAGUGCUCUAGCUUUGUUGGAUUAUAGCGAAGUGACUGGGAGGCCGGCCAGCCGGCUGUUUUGACAGCCGGUAGGCGUGGUUGGAGGCCGUCUUUGCGUUAUAUAAGUUCGUUAGUCCUUAGCCGUUUUUCGUGUGUGCAUCCUUUCUGCCUUUGGCUCUUGCCAGUCGGACAGUCGGUUCUUCGAGCUGCGACUUUCAACAAGAGAGGGCUCGGGUGCCGGCACACUACUUGUCUGACUUCAGGUAGAACUUCUAAUAUAACUUAAGGCGGCCAGUCCCCGGGCCGACUAGUCGAACCCGGUGCCAGAUAGAAAAUCAAAUGUAAUAAUACAUUCAUGAGUAUGACACUCGUCAUUCAUAGAUAAAGGAGGGCAGUCCCCGAGUGCGCCUCGGGGUGCCCGUUUGUCUCAUAUUUAAUAAAAAAAUGGUAGCAUAAUACAUACUGCUUUCAACUGUAAAAUCUUCUCAGGAGGUUUGCGUUCCAUGGUCGUUCCGACUCCUUGCCGGAAUCAUCCCUCUUGCGUGCUCUUGGCUUCUGUGCGUUGAUCAGGUAGUAGGAGUCGUUGCCUAGUGCUUUGCUGACGACGAAAGGGUCUUCCCAAGGGGCCGAGAGCUUGUGCUGGCCGGCUGUUCGCUGGAUCAGCCGGAGCACAAGGUCGCCCUCUUGGAAGGAUCUUGGCUUGACCUUUCGGUUGUGGUAACAGCGCAAACCCUGCUGGUAGAUGGCGGACCGGCUGAGUGCUAACAGCCGGCCUUCUUCCAGCAGGUCGACGCCGUCUUCUCGUGCUUCCUUGGCCUCCGCCUCCGUGUACAUGGUGACCCGAGGUGAGUCGAACUCGAUGUCAGUUGGGAUGAUAGCCUCGGCACCAUACACAAGGAAGAACGGAGUGAAGCCGGUUGACUUGUUUGGGGUAGUAUGCAGACUCCAGAGGACAGCCGGCAGCUCGUCGAGCCAGCAGCCGGCCGAGCGCUCCAGUGGUAUGACCAGUCGGGGCUUGAUGCCGGAGAGGAUGAGGCCGUUUGCUCGCUCGACCUGGCCGUUUGACUGCAGGUGGGCAAUGGACGCUAAGUCCAGUCGGAUGCCCUGUGUCGCGCAGAAACGUGCCAGUGCUCCCUUGGCAAAGUUUGUGCCGUUGUUGGUGAUGAUGCUGUGCGGCACGCCAUACUGAGUAGUGAUGUCGGCAAUGAAUGUCACGGCAGUCGGCCCGUUCAGCUUCUUGAUCGGCUUCGCUUCGAUCCACUUGGUAAAUUUGUCCACGGCGACAAGCAGAUGUGUCAAGCCGCCACGGGCUGUCUUGAAUGGGCCCACCAUGUCCAGCCCCCAGACGGCAAAGGGCCAGGUGAGGGGGAUGGUCUUGAGUGCAGAAGCCGGCAGGUGUUGCUUGGAACUGAAGACUUGGCAUCCUUUGCAGCAUUUGACUAUCUCUUUGGCAUCUUCCAAAGCAGUCGGCCAGAAGAAACCAUGGCGGAAAGCUUUGGCCACAAGUGAUCUUGAGGCUGCGUGGUGGCCGCAUUCGCCUUGGUGGAUAUCCUUGAGGAUUGCUACACCCUUCUCGGGCUCGACGCAGCGCUGGAAGACUCCAGUGACGCUGCGCUUGACAAGUUCUCUGUUUAUUAUUGCAUAUGCUCCGGCUCGGCGUUGCACUAGUCUUGCCGAGAUCUCAUCAGUCGGCAGCUCUCUGUUGACUAGGAAGUUGAGGAUGGGCUGGGCCCAUGAUGGAGCUGUGACUUCUUCUACUGUUAGUACGGCCACUGUGACUCGGGUGGGUGGGUUGGGUGGUGGAGAGUUGGAGUCGGCCACCGCUUCUUGUGUCGCUGCAGCCCCCGGGCCGACUGCUGCAGUCCCCGGGCCGGGUUCUGAAGUCCCUGAGCCGGGUGCGACUACGACAGUCCCCGGGCCGCUUGUCGAAGUCCCAGAGCCGCCUGCUGGGUUCCUCCAGUCGGGUCCGGCUGCAUCGGGGGCAGGCGGUGCGAAGAUAGAGUCCGACUCUGGAGACGGCUUGAUAGACGGUUUGAGGAGGCGCUGGAGAGAGACACCGGUUGGUAUAGCCUGUCGGGCGGAGCCGAUUCGUACCAAGGCAUCUGCUUGGUCGUUGUCGGCCCGUGGUACGUGAGGGAACUCGCACCCUUCGAAGUACCCACUGAUCUGCUGGACGAGGAAUCGAUAGCUCGCCAUGUUUGCAUCCUUGGCGUCCCAGUCGCCAGAUGACUGCUGGACCACCAAGUCUGAGUCGCCAUAACACAGGAUCCGGCGUAUGCCGAGCUCUUUGGCUAGCCGGAGCCCGUGUAUGAGCGCCUCAUAUUCAGCCACGUUGUUCGAGGCGGCAAAGUGGAUUUGCAACGUGUAUCUGAGCUUGUCGCCUUUGGGAGAGGUGAGGACGAUGCCGGCUCCCAAGCCGGUGCACAUCUUGGACCCGUCGAAGUGCAUCCGCCAAUGAGUAGAGUCAGGAGCCGGCGGUAGGUACUGGGUCUCGGCCCAGUCGACGAGGAAGUCGGCCAAUGCUUGGGACUUGAUGGCGGUGCGGGGCUGGUAGAAGAUUGUGUAAGGCGCCAGCGUAAUGGCCCAUUUAGCCACCCGACCGGAUGCAUCCCAGCUGCAUAUGAUAUCGGCAAGCGGGGCGGUGCAUACGACCGUGAUGGGAUGCUCUUGAAAGUAGGGCUUCAGCUUCUUGGCGGCGAAGUACACUCCAUAGCACAUCUUCUGGUAGUGUGGGUAGUUUUGCUUUGAGCUGGACAGUACUUCGCUUAGAUAAUACACCGGCCUCUGGACUAGCUGGGCUCGGCCUUCUUCUGGGCGCUGAACCACGAUGACUGUACUGACCACUCGGCUAGUUGCGGCAAUGUAGAGGAGCAUGGGCUCCUUCUCAGUCGGCGCUGCCAGGACAGGUGGAGUGGUCAGCAUCUUCUUCAACUCAUGGAAGGCUUGGUCUGCUUGGUCAUUCCACUCGAAAUGAGUGGAUUUCUUCAUGAGUCGGUACAGGGGGAGAGCCUUCUCUCCUAGCCGGCUGAUAAAGCGGUUUAGGGAGGCCAGACACCCAGUGAACUUCUGCACGUCUCGCAACUUGGUGGGAAUCUCCAUUCUUUCAAUGGCUUUGAUCUUCAUAGGGUUGUACUCAAUGCCGUGUUCGGAGACCAGAAAGCCUAGAAGUUGGCCGGCUGGUACUCCGAACACGCAUUUCUCGGGGUUGAGCUUGAUCUAGAAUCGGUGCAAGUUGGCAAAUGUUUCUUUGAGGUCUUCCAGCAGGGUGCCGCGCUUCUCUGUCUUCACCACAAUAUCGGCUACGUAGACGUGGGCAUUUCUGCCGAGUUGCUUGAGGAGGCAUUUCUGCAUGCAACGCUGAAAAGUGGCACCGGCAUUCCUCAAGACGAAUGUCAUAGUCAGGUAACAGAAAGCUCCGAAUGGUGUGAUGAAGGCGGUCUUCAGGCGGUCUGCUGGGUCUAACUUAAUCUGGUGGUAUCCUGAGUAGGCAUCCAAGAAACUCAACAGCUCGCAUCCGGCUGUGGAGUCUAUUACUUGAUCAAUCCGCGGCAGAGCAAACGGAUCUUUGGGGCAGGCCUUGUUGAGGCUGGUGUAGUCUAUACACAUACGCCAUUUGUUGUUCUUCUUCAACACCAAGACUGGGUUGGCAAGCCACUCUGGGAAAAACGCUUCCAUAAUAAAGCCGGCGGCAAAGAGCCGGGCUAUCUCUUCUCCUACGAUUCUUCUUUUCUCUUCUGACAGUCGGCGGAGAGGCUGCUUGACCGGCCUCGUGUCCGCUCGGACGUGUAACUUGUGCUCGGCGAAAUCCUUCGGAACACCCGGCAUGUCCUUUGGGGACCAUGCAAAGAUGUCUCGAUUCUCACAGAGGAAGUCGACGAGCUCGCCUUCCUAUUUGCUGUCCAGGUUUGCACCAAUGACUGCAAACCUCUCCGGGUUCUCCGGGUCCAGAGGUAUCUUCUUCGUCUCCUUGGCCGGCUGGAAGGAGCCCUGCGCAUCAUAUUCCUUGGGGUUGGGGGACAAGGCCGGCUGCUUGCCGGCCAUGGCCACAACUCGCUCCAGCAUCUUCUUCUCUUCUGCCACUACGAGGGACUCGGCCAGCCGGCUGCUGGCUGCAGCGCACUCGAUGGACUUCUUGUAGUCGCCGGCUACAGUGAUGAUCCCCUUCGAGCUCGGCAUCUUCAUCUUCAGGUAGGCGUAGUGGGGCACAACCAUGAACUUGGCCAGAGCAGGUCGGCCAAGCAAGGCGUGGUAAGGGCUUUUCAGAUCCACUACCUCGAACCAGAUUGCUUCUUGGCGAAAGUGAUCCUUGUCUCCGAAGAGAACAUCCAUCUUGAUCUUGCCGAUCGGGGAACAGGACAGGCCGGGUAUGAUGCCAUGGAACACGGUCCGGCUUGGCAUGAGCUGCUUCGCCUUGAGGUUCAACUUCUCCAUGGUAUCACGGUACAGUAUGUUGAUACUGCUUCCGCCAUCAAUCAGAAUGCGGGAGAAUCGGGCAGCCCGCCUCUCUGUUGCGAGGGUGACAUCCAAUACCAAUGCAUAGGAGCCAGGGGACGGCAUCACCUCUGGGUGAUCGGCUCGGCUCCAGUUGAUAGGCCUUUCAGACCAAUGCAUGAACUCGGGGUUGCUGGAGGCGACUGCGUUGACCUCUUGGUGCUGUCGGUGCCGGCUGCGCUUGUCUUCAACCUGGCUUGUGAAGACGAUGUAGGCGGCUUGUUCAUCAAGGAACUCAUCUUGAACGGCUCCGACUGCUGGUUGAGCAGCCGGCUGCUAGGGGGCUGGAGGCGGCGGGCCGGGAGGCGGAGGCGGCACGAGCCCCUCGCCCUUGGAGAUCCGGGUGAGCCAGUGGCACUUUCGGGUCGUGUGGUUGGACGGCUUCGCGCCGUUGUGGAACUUGCAGGGGGCAUCGAGAGUCUGCUCGUAGGAGAAGGCCGGCUGCCAAGCCGGCCUGCCGCCCUUCUUCUUGGGAGCGAGCCGCUCUUCGGGCUGCUCAUCUUCGACUGUGGCCACCUGCCGGCUGGUGGAAGGCGGCAUAGGGGCCUUGCGCUUGUGGUCGUUCUGGUAGGGGCACCGAUUGGGGUCGCCAGCCGGUGCCUUAGGAGCCGGAGCGAGCACCUUUCCAGAGGCGUCGACUCGGAGCUCGGUCUUCAUCGAGGAGUCGGCCGUGGCGUACUUGUCUGCAAUGACCAGCAGCUCGUCGAGGGUAGCCGGCUCGUCGCAGAGGAGUCGGUGCUUGAGGAGGGUGCCCUCUCGGCACCCGGCGGUGAAGUAUUCGAUGGCUUGAACCUCGUGCACCCCCUCGCAGGAGUUGCGGAGCUCGGCCCACCACGUGAGGUAGUCGCGGGUUGACUCGCUGGGCCCUUGGACGCAUAAGGAGAGCUGGCUGGGCUUGGGAGGCCGCUUGUACGUGCUGGUGAAGUUGCGGACGAAGACUUCCGUGAAGUCCAGCCAGCUGUUGAUGCUGAAGGGCUUGAGGCUGUUGAGCCAAGUGCGUGCCGUUCCUUGCAGCAUGAGAGGGACGCACUUCACGGCUACGCGCCUGUUUCCGUUCACUAUGCUGACAGCAGUAGAGUAGUCGAUGAGCCAAUCUUCUGGCUUCACAGAGCCGUUGUACUUGGGCGUGUCUCUGGGGAGCGAGAACCCUUUGGGGAAGGGCUCAUCGCGGAUGCGGGGGCCAAAGCAUGGCGGGACGACAUCGUCUUCUUCUUCUAGCCCCAGGGACCGAGCUAGGCGGUCGAUCCGGUGGCGGGCGUCGUUCUCGCCGACUCCUUCGCGGUGGCCUAGUCGGCCACCGAGAGUCGGAUGUGUGACAGGCGGAGGGGUGGGAUGUCUCUCCCCAUGAGGCGGGGGAGGAGGCGGAUUGCCUUGGCGCUCCACUGCCCGAGGGCGGCCUUCCACGUUGCGCUCGAUGGUGAUUCGAGUCCGGCUGCGGCUAGCAGCCGGCUCCUUGUCUUUCCUUGCGCGGGCGCCGCUCGCAGUCGGCGACCGGGAUGUCGCGGCGUGCUCUCGGCGUGGGGAAGGACUCUCAGCGCGGGAGCUGGCUUCAUGCCGUUCUGCGGCCGCGUCGAUCAGCUGCUGGAUGCGCCUUGUCAUGUAGAGGAGCUCAUCAGCCCCCAGCCCAUUCAGCUCUUCUGUGGCCGCCUGAGCAGCUCGCAGAUUCUCGAGCCGUGUGGCGUAGACGGGGCGGUCUGCCCCCAGCAUGCUGGCGAUGGCCGCGCCGCGCUUCUUGACGAGGCCGGCUCGGCUCGGCCCGCCAUGCGGCGGCGUACCAAAGGCGGCGCGGUCAACUUCGCGCUGGUGAGCCUCAGUGAGGCGUCUCAUGGAGGCUAUCUUCUGGCCCUCCGUGAUGAGGGCGAGGCGGCGUGCCUCCAGGGUCUCGGCGUCGGCGUCAGCCGGGAUGGGGACGGAUAAGUCGUGCAUCACCGCUUGUAGGGCGUCGUGGGCGUUCUCGCCCGAGUCGGCGAUGUGGCUGGUGACCAGCACCUCAGUGACAGCGCUGCUGCCGCUGUCAGCUCGAGGGAGAGGGUCAUCGAAGACUACCACAUCGGAGGGGUAGGCAUCGAGCGAUGCCGUGUCGGAGUCGACAAGCAUCGGGUCAGUGGAGCCGACCGACUCCAAGUCCACAGCAAGCUCGCUGGAGACGUGAAGCUGGUCGAGGAGGCUAACGACGCGGCUCUCGGGGCAGUCCGUGCCUGCGUCGGACGCGGGCUCGUCGGAGAUGCGAGUCUCGCCAAGAAGAUCGGCGAGGCAGCUCGCUGCGCAGGCGUCGUCGACGCCUAGCCGCGCGUCAGGGCAAGCGCUAUCGGGCGCAGCAGGCUGGCUGCGCUCGCGGGGGAGGAAAAGGGUUCCCGUCCAGAACAGGUCUCCGGACGACGGUGCACCUGGCCCCACGGUGGGCGCCAAAUGUCGGGUGGUAGGUGCGACAUAUGCCAACGGAUGGCUUAUCAUUGUGGGAGCCAGUAAAACAUUGCCGGUGCCUGGAAACGAGAUGAGGCGAAGACAUGCACGCCGGCGAAUCUUACCCAGGUUCGGGGCUCUCCGUGGAGAUAACACCCCUAGUCCUGCUCUGCGGGGUCUCCGCAUGAUCACUAGAUCAAUACAAGUAGCUACAAGCGCUCCUUGAGCUGUUUGGCUAGAGGAAGAAGAAGGGCAAGGCUAGCUCUCCUUUUCUCUCUAUGUGGUGUGUGGAAUUCUAUGAGAUCAACCCUUUGCAUGGGUGUCCCGGGGGGUUUAUAUAGGCCUACCCCCCAGGGGUACAAUGGUAAUCCGGCUGGACGCGGGUCCCAGCCGUCAGCGUCUAUGCACGCCGGCUUCUCCGCCGGUCAUUGGGGCCCGUCGACUGGUGGGUCCCGCCGGCUGCCGGCCUCUUGGCCGACAGGCCGGCCCUACCGCUUGGGGGCUUUGUCGGCGGCUGGUUACUGUUGCCUCGCCUCUGAUGACGAGAGCUUUGUUGAGGUAAGCGUGGCUACAGUGUCGCCGCCUUGCGGGCUCUCACUGUAGCCUUACCUCGUCUUGUCUCCUUAAUGAGGCACAUGUUUCGAGGGAGGGAGGUAGCUGGCUAUUGGGAUCCGGCCACACCCCUGGCCGACUAGAGGAGGCCAGGCCGCCUUCGGGUGUCUCUCUGGCAAAAGGGGCCCGCCGCCUAUGGGCCGUACUGGUGCCUGUCGUGGGUGACAUCGAGGCCAGCACGGCUACAGUGCCACGCCGGACGGGGGAUGGCUGGCCCGUACGGUGCCCUGUGGCCAUGCCUGUUCCGGGAUUCAGGGGUAGUGGGCUGUACUGCGGCCACGCCCCAUCAUAUCGUCGUUAUGUGGGUACAGUCUUUAGUGGGUGCAGUCUUGGCUGGCUUCUGGGAGCCGGCUUUCUUCAUGGCCGGCUUCUGGGAGUCGGCCCUGGGGAUAGCCGGCCGGGGGAAGGCGGCCCUAUGCUUUGUAUGCUUGAAGGCUUGAAUGGCCUGAUAAUUUUUCGAAGAGCCAGGGGGAGUUGGUUAGGCUACCCGUGGCCAUUUACUCCGACACUUUUUGACAGUAGGGAGAGGAAAUUCAAAACCUCCAAUAGUAAUAGUUGAAAUUUUUCCAAUAGAAUUGAUACUGUGGUGCUUGAGGUUGUUUCCUCGGAAAGUGUACCAUAUGCUCAUUACCAUUAACAUGAAAAGUGACAUUGCCUUUGUUGCAAUCAAUAACAGCCCCUGCAGUAUUCAAAAAGGGUCUACCAAGGAUAAUUGACAUAUUAUCGUCCUCGGGAAUAUCAAGAAUAACAAAGUCCGUUAAAAUAGUAACAUUUGCAAUCACAACAGGCACAUCCUCACAAAUACCGACAGGUAUAGCGGUUGAUUUAUCGGCCAUUUGCAAAGAUAUUUCAGUAGGUGUCAACUUAUUCAAAUCAAGUCUACGAUAUAAAGAGAGAGAGAGGCAUAACACUAACACCGGCUCCAAGAUCACAUAAAGCAGUUUUAACAUAGUUUCUUUUAAUGGAGCAUGGUAUAGUUGGUACUUCUGGAUCUCCAAGUUUCUUUGGUAUUCCACCCUUAAAAGUAUAAUUAGCAAGCAUGGUGGAAAUUUCAGCUUCUGGUAUCUUUCUUUUAUUUGUAACAAUAUCCUUCAUAUACUUAGCAUAAGGAUUCAUUUUAAGCAUAUCAGUCAAACGCAUACGCAAAAAGAUAGGUCUAAUCAUUUCAGCAAAGCGCUCAAAAUCCCCAUCAUGCUUUUUCUUGGAUGGUUUAGGAGGAAAGGGCAUGGGUUUCUGAACCCAUGGUUCUCUUUCUUUACCGUGCUUCCUAGCAACAAAGUCUCUCUUAUCAUAACGUUGAUUCUUUGAUUGUGGGUUAUCAAGAUCAACAGCAGGUUCAAUCUCUAUAUCAUUGUUAUUUCUAGGUUGAGCAUUAAUACAAACAUCAUCAUUAACAUUAUCACUAGGUUCAUGUUCAUCACCAGAUUGUGUUUCAGCAUCAGAAAUAGAAAUAUCAUUGGGAUUCUCAGGUGUGUCAAUAACAGGUUCACUAGAAGCAUGCAAAGUCCUAUCAUUUUUCUUUUUCUUCUUCUUAGAAGGACUGGGUGCAUCAACAUUAGUUCUCUGAGAAUCUUGCUCAAUUCUCUUAGGGUGACCUUCAGGAUACAAAGGUUCCUGAGUCAUUUUACCCCCUCUAGUCAUAACUCUAACAGCAUUAUCAUUUUUCUUAUUAUUUAAUUCAUUGAGCAAAUCAUUUUGAGCUUUAAGCAGUUGUUCUACUUGAGUGGUAACCAUAGAAGCAUGUUUACUAAUGAGUUUAAGUUCACCCUUAAUUCUAGACAUAUAAUCGCUCAAGUGUUCAAUCAUAUAAGCAUUGCGUUUCAAUUGUCUACCAACAUAAGCAUUGAAGUUUUUUUGUUUAACAAUAAAAUUAUAAAACUCAUCUAAACAUUGGCUAGCAGACUUAUAACGAGGAAUAUCACCUUCAUCAAAUCUAUAGAGAGAAUUUACCUUUACUACCUGUGUCGGGUUAUCAAGACCAUGUAUUUCUUCAAUAGGUGGUAAAUUCUUAACAUCUUCAGCGUUAAUACCCUUUUCUUUCAUAGAUUUCUUUGCCUCUUGCAUAUCUUCAAGACUAAGAAAUAUAGUACCCCUUUUCUUCAGAGUUGGCUUAGGAGUUGGUUCAGGAAGUGUCCAAUUAUUUUCAUUAGUCAACAUAUUAUUCAAUAACAAUUCAGCUUGAUCAACUGUUCUUUCCCUGAAAACACAACCAGCACAACUAUCCAGGUGGUCUCUGGAAGCAUCGGUUAGUCCAUUAUAAAAGAUAUCAAGUAUUUCAUUUUUCUUGAGAGGAUGAUCAGGCAAAGCAUUAAGUAAUUGGAGAAGACUCCCCCAAGCCUGUGGGAGACUCUCUUCUUCAAUUUGCACAAAAUUAUAUAUUUCCCUUAAAGCAGCUUGUUUCUUAUGAGCGGGGAAAUAUUUAGCAGAGAAGUAAUAAAUCAUAUCCUGUGGACUACGCACACAACCAUGAUCAAGAGAAUUAAACCAUGUUUUAGCAUCACCCUUUAAUGAGAACGGAAAUAAUUUAAGGAUAUAGUAGUAACGGGUUUUCUCAUCAUUAGUGAAUAGGGUAGCUAUAUCAUUUAAUUUAGUAAGAUGUGCCACAACAGUUUCAGAUUCAUAACCAUGAAAAGGAUCAGAUUCAACCAAAGUAAUUAUCUCAGGAUCGACAGAGAAAUCAUAAUCUUUAUCGGAAAUACAGAUAGGUGAAGUAGCAAAAGCAGGGUCAUAUUUCAUUCUAGCAUUCAAAGAUUUUUCUUUAAGCUUAGCUAAUAAUUUCUUAAGAUCAUAUCUAUCAUUGCAAGCAAGAAAGUCUCUAGCAGUUUCUUCAUCCAUAACAUAACCGUCAGGCACAACAGGCAAUUCAUAUCUAGGGGGAGAAUCUUCAUCAUCACUUUCAUCAAUAUUAUCAGUUCCAAUAAUUUCAUUCUCUCUAGCCCUAGCAAGUUGUUCAUCAAGAUAUUCACCUAGUGGCACAGUAGUAUCAAGCAUAGAAGUAGUUUCAUCAUAAGUAUCAUGCAUAGCAGAAGUGGCAUCAUCAAUAACAUGCGACAUAUCAGAAUUAAUAGCAGAAUCAGGUUUAGGUGUCGCAAGCUUACUCAAAACAGAAGGUGAAUCAAGUGUAGAGCUAGAUGGCAGUUCCUUACCUCCCCUCGUAGUUGAGGGAUAAAUUUUGGUUUUCUCGUCUUUCAAUUUCCUCAUAGUGAUCAGUAGAUAUAAAUCCCAAGUGACUCAAAGAAUAGAGCUAUGCUCCCCGGCAACGGCUCCAGAAAAUAGUCUUGAUAACCCACAAGUAUAGGGGAUCGCGACAAUUUUCGAUGGUAGAGUAUUCAACCCAAAUUUAUUGAUUCGACACAAGGGGAGCCAAAGAAUAUUCUCAAGUAUUAGCAGCUGAGUUGUCAAUUCAACCACACCUGGAUAACUUAAUAUCUGCAGCAAAGUAUUUAGUAGCAAAGUAGUAUGGAAGUAACGAUAACGGUGAUAAAAGUAACAGUAGCAAUUUUGUAGUAAUUGUAACAGUGGCAACGGUAAAGUAACUAAGCAAAGAUCAAUAUGUGAAAAGCUCGUAGGCAUUGGAUUGGUGAUGGAGAAUUAUGCGGGAUGCGAUUCCUCAUGCAAUAGUUAUAACAUAGGGUGACAUAGAACUAGCUCCAGUUCAUCAAUGUAAUGUAGGCAUGUAUUCCGAAUAUAGUCAUACGUGCUUAUGGAAAAGAACUUGCAUGACAUCUUUUGUCCUACCCUCCCAUGGCAGCGGGGUCCUAUUGGAAACUAAGGGAUAUUAAGGCCUCCUUUUAAUAGAGUACCGGACCAAAGCAUUAACACUUAGUGAAUAAAUGAACUCCUCAAACUACGGUCAUCACCUGUAAGUAUCCCGAUUAUUGUCACUUCGGGGUUAACGGAUCAUAACACAUAAUAGGUGACUAUAGACUUGCAAGAUAGGAUCAAGAACUCACAUAUAUUCAUGAAAACAUAAUAGGUUCAGAUCUGAAAUCACGGCACUUGGGCCCUAGUGACAAGCAUUAAGCAUAGCAAAGUCAUAGCAACAUCAAUCUCAGAACAUAGUGGAUACUAGGGAUCAAACCCUAACAAAACUAACUCAAUUACAUGGUAAAUCUCAUCCAACCCAUCACCGUCCAGCAAGCCUACGAUGGAAUUACUCACGCAAGGCGGUGAGCAUCAUGAAAUUGGUGAUGGAGGAUGGUUGAUGAUGACAACAGCGACGGAUUCCCCUCUCCGGAGCCCCGAACAGACUCCAGAUCAGCCCUCCCAAGAGAUAUUAGGGCUUGGCGGCGGCUCCGUAUCAUAAAAUGCGAUGAAUCCUUCUCUCUGAAUUUUUUCUCCCCAAACAUGAAUAUAUAGAGUGGGAGUUGAGGUCGGUGGAGCACCAGGGGGCCCACGAGGCAGGGGGCGCGCCCAGGGGGGUAGGCGCGCCCCCACCCUCGUGGACAAGGUGUGGGCCCCCUGGUCUUGAUUCUUUCGCCAAUAUUUUUUAUAUAUUCCAAAAAUAUUCUCCGUUAAGUUUGAGGUCAUUCCAAGAACUUUUAUUUCUGCACAAAUAUAACACCAUGGCAGUUCUGCUGAAAACAGCGUCAGUCCGGGUUAGUUCCAUUCAAAUCAUGAAAGUUAGAGUCCAAAACAAGGGCAAAAGUGUUUGGAAAAUUAGAUACGAUGGAGACGUAUCAACUCCCCCAAGCUUAAACCUUUGCUUUUCCUCAAGCAGUUCAGUUGACAAACUGAAAGUGAUAAACAAAAACUUUUACAAACUCUUCGUAUCUUCACAGCCCAUCCGGAUACGGGUGGAGUCUUCGAUCUUCGUAUCUUCACAGCCCAUCAGUCCGGCCCAUGUACCAUAGUCCGGACGCCCGAGGACCCCAUAAUCCAGGACUCCCUCAGUAGCCCCUGACCAGGCUUCAAUGACGAGGUGUCCGGCGCGCAGAUUGUCUUCGACAUUGCUAGGCGGGUUCCUCCUCCGAUUACUUCAAAGUACCUGACUUAAAGAGCAGUAUUCGACUUUCCAUUGAAUGUCAUGCCCAUCAGCUUCCACGCCUUCAUGACUUAGCUUCCACGUGUCGAGCGAAUACGAGAGGUCGGGGUAUUUUUGCACAUAUCACCCUGACCAUGUAAGAAAGGCGUCUAUUUAAAGAGAUUGGGAUAUUCAGAUCCAUUCCACAUCAAGCGAGGAAUCCUCAGAGCUUGCUAGGAGAAACCAUUCCAACAUGGCUAGCGCUCCCAGCUGUUCCUCCCGUCCCCACGGCACCGAAAAAGGCGAUUGGGAGAAAUGUUCUGUAUCCCACGGUCGGCUAGUGAAGCUGCAGACACAGGGAUUUCUUCCCCCGCGGAUCUAGUCCCCGUUCGAGCAGGAUUGACUUCCUUCAACGGCAGGGCUCAGGCGGAGAAUUUCCCCAACCCAUCCAGGGAGUAACGAGUGUGCUUCGUUCCCCACUUGUUGAGAGGAGUUGGAUUUCCCAUCCACCCAUUCCUCCGAGGACUUCUGGAGUAUUAUGGCCUUCAACUGCACAAUUUCACUCCUGCCUCCAUCCUGCACAUCGCGGGUUAUGUUGCUCUUUGCGAGUUAUUCCUGGGUUUUGAGGCCCAUUUUGAAUUGUGGAGGAAGCUAUUCUGCCUCGUCCCUCGUAACCAAGAGGGAUCAAUAUUUGAAGUGGGCGGAGCCGAGGUAUGGCGCAUCGCCGGGACCGGAUACCUGUCUGGCACGCUGAAGAAGGCAUCCGAAGAGUGGCCUUCCAAAUGGUUCUGUAUCGAGUACGUCGCCCUUCCUGACCCAGUCUGAAUGGGUAUUCCCGAAUUUACAAGUGUUCCGUUGAAGAAACGCCACAGCUGGCACCCUCGAAGCCUCGAGGAGGAAGAUAGUGCGGAAGUCCGUCAACUGAUGAGCAAGAUAAAGACGCUUUCCCAGUCCGGAUUAUCAAUAGUCGAGGUAAUGGUGACUUCCAUAGUACGAGGGGUUUAGCCACUCCAAUACAGAGGGCUUCCCAUGUGGCACUAUAAUGGGGAAGUUGACGCCUCCCGCUAUGGUCGGAAGGGUCCGGACACCCCCACCGCUUUGGCCAAAAUAUUGGCAGAACUAUUCAAAGGGGAGGAAGACGAAUUCAUUCGUAUUAAGCGCAGAGAUGGAUUUUCCAUGUACAAUCCUCAUAGCUGGGUGAGUUCCAGUCCCACUACUCUACUCAUUCCACUCCCUGAGUCACUUUUAGUGAACAUUAAUCCGUCCAUUUGUAACAGAAAUGGUGAAAGAUCACCAAGGGGCUCCACAGCCCCGCCCCACAGCCAGAGGACCACAACCGGGACCUUGACCCCGGAUUCGAAGAGGAUCCGGACAUAUUCAUGGUGCUCGAGGACGGGGUGUUCUACCAGGUGAGCUAUGACGGCACGGAAGUGGCCAUCACCACCGACUAUCCCGGUCUUCUCCCUGCCUCACACGUAAGUAAUCAGGAGACAUCUCCUCUGAAAGAGCUUCCUUGUUCUACCUUACCCACCGCACUGUCUCGUGCUCCAAAGGGGAGGCGUUCGGCGCGCCAUGCUACACCAGAGGCAACUCCAAAGAGAGCGGCGCCCACGCCGGGCAAGCCUUCGAAGAGGAAGGCAAACGAAAAGAGCACUGUUUGUUAGUUUUCAAGAAAGUUUAUGAUCUAUACUUUAACAUGUGAAUAGCUUGUUACUUGAUCAUGAAAAGUUUUAUGAGAUGAGCUACUGUUAUGACAUAUAAUGAUGCUACAAAAGGUGAUUGAAAUUAUCAUUGAUUAAACUUGUGCACCUGCUAGCAUUCACACUUCAUAAAUUAUUUCUUUUAUCAUUUACCUACUCGAGGACGAGCAGGAAUUAAGCUUGGGGAUGCUAAUACGUCUCCAACGUAUCUAUAAUUCACGAAGUAUUCAUGCUAUUAUAUUAUCCAUCUUAGAUGUUUUAUAUGCAUUUAUAUGCUAUUUUAUAUGAUUUUUGGGACUAACCUAUUAACCUAGAGCCCAGUGCCAGUUCAUGUUUUUUCCUUGUUUUUGAGUUUUACAGAAAAGGAAUACCAAACGGAGUCCAAUUGAUGUACCAAUUUUUGUUGAUUUUUUAUGGACCAAAAGAAGCCCCUGGAGCAAAAGAGUUGGGACAGAAGAGUCCCUGGCUGUCCACGAGGGUGGGGGGUGCGCCCACCCCCCUGGGCGUGGGCCGCUGGCUCGUGGACGACUCGGAGAUCCCCCUGACGUGAAACCAACGCCAAAAAUUCCUAUAAAUACAUAAACCCCCAGAAAAUAACCUAGAUCGGAAGUUCCGCCGCCGCAAGCCUCUGUAGCCACGAGAAAUCAAUCUAGGCCCUCUCUGGCACCCUGCCGGAAGGGGCCAUCAUCACCGGAGGCCAUGGAGGAGGAUCCCGGAGGGGCCAUCAUCAACAUAAAGGCCAAGGACCAGAGGGAGAACCUCUCCCCAUCUAGGGGGGAGGCCAUGGAGGAGUAAGCACAAGGGGGAGAACCUCUCCUCCUCUCUCUCGGUGGCGCCGGAGUGCCAUCGGGAGGGGAAUCAUCGGCGCGGUGAUCGUCUUCAUCACCAUCACCAUCAUCAUCACCAUCCUCAUCUCUUUUACGUGGUCCACUCUCCCGCACCCCGUUGUAAUCCCUACUUGAACAUGGUGCUUUAUGCCACAUAUUAUGAUCCAAUGAUGUGUUGCCAUCCUAUGAUGUUUUGAGUAGAUAUCCUUUGUCCUUGGGUUGAUUGAUGAUCUAGAUUGGUAUGAGUUGUAUGUUUUAUUUUGGUGCUGUCCUAUGGUGCCCUCCGUGUCGCGCAAGCGUGAGGUAGGGUGUUGCAAUACGUUUAUGAUUCGCUUAUAGUGGGUUGUUUGAGUGACAGAAGCAUAAACCCGAGUAAGGGGAUUGUUGCGUAUGGGAUAAAGGGGACUUGAUGCUUUAAUGCUAUGGUUGGGUUUUACCUUAAUGAUCUUUAGUAGUUGCGGAUGCUUGCUAGAGUUCCAAUCAUAUGUGCAUAUGAUCCAAGAAGAGAAAGUAUGUUAGCUUAUGCCUCUCCCUCAUAUGAAAUUGCAAUGAUGACCACCGGUCUUGUUAACGAUUACCUAGGACAAUUCCGCACACCGACCCAUCAUUAUUCCACACUCGCUAUUUAUAAUAUUUAGUAAUAUAUUCUAACUUUAUGAUAACAGCACCUACUUUUAUAUUUUAGCUCUCCGAUACCAUGCGAAGUUAUCCUCUUCAUACCCACAAUGUAGUUUUAUUUCUCGUUUCUAGUUGGAAGCAAACGUUCGGUGUACGUAGAGUCGUAUUAGUGGCAGAUAGGGCUUGAGAGAAUAUUGAUCUUACCUUUAGCUCCUUGUGAGUUCGACACUCCAUACUUAUCACUUCCACCUUUGGAAAUUGCUACGAUGAUUCCCUUCACUUGGGGAUUGUCAGAUAUCAACUUAUUUUUCAGGCCCUUUUUCCGAUUCUAGGUUCAGAGGGCGGGGUGUAUCUUUCUGAAGGCAGGUAUCCGGCUCUUCGAGCUCGGAGAUCCGAACAUAGUCCGUCCUCAGUAUAGAGGAAGAGUUGUCGUCUUGCUCCUCUACUACCGCUAUCUGGUGGGUGAUCGGUGGAGGUUUAAUUUCUCUCUGGUCGGGUUUAAGCCCAAUACGAUCGUAGUCUGUAGCGACCCCCAAGGCGGCGAUGCGAUCUAGGAGCUCGUUCAAAGACGACAACUCCGCCGGAUCCAUCUGCUUGGAGUAUUCGGAGUCAACACAGAGGGGAUUUACGAUGACUCGAGAAGUCAUCGUCGGCUUAACGGCCGAAUGGGCGGUCAUGGUAAAGCCGCCCAGCCGGAGGGUUUGGCGUGGGGCCAGUACUCCUCCGGAGGUGACACUGUCCUUGAUAACAAGGCGAGCCAUCAAUCCUGUCUUUGACGUCACAGCGGAACUCUCAAUGAAAGCACCAAUGUCGGUGUCAAAACCGGCGGAUCACGGGUAGGGGGUCCCGAACUGUGCGUCUAAGGUUGAUGCUAACGGGAGACGGGGGACACGAUGUUUACCCAGGUUUGGGCCCUCUCUAUGGAGGUAAUACCCUACUUCCUGCUUGAUUGAUCUUGAUGAAUAUGAGUAUUACAAGAGUUGAUCUACCUCAAGAUCGUAAUGGCUAAAACCCUAAAAGUCUAGCCUGUAUGACUAUGAUUAUGAUUGCCUCUACGGACUAAGCCCUCCGGUUUAUAUAGACAUAGGAGGGGACUAGGUUUGUACAAAGUCGGUUACAGAGAAAGGAAUCUUCAUAUCAGGGCGCCAAGCUUGCCUUCCACGCCAAGGAGAGUCCCAUCCGGACACGGGAGAGUCUUCGAUCUUGUAUCUUCACAGCCCAUCAGUCUGGCCCACGUACCAUAGUCCGGACGCCCGAGGACCCCUUAAUCCAGGACUCCCUCACUGGGCGCCUCGUCGCUGCGUGGAGGUGGGCCGAUAAGCUCCAGCGUUCCACCGACGAGGAGCUCCGAUGGGUGCCCAACAAAAUGGCAAGAUCGUUUGUGCUCGUCCGCCAGCAAGAGGCAGAUCGGUACGUCAAGCGCUGCGAGGCGGAGGAGGCGGAGUAGUGCCUCCGCACUGGGAAGACGCCGCGCACCAGGGAUCUGCUGGCGAGGGGCUACUGGAAUACUGGCCCAGGAGGGAUUUAGUUUUAGUAUUGUUCGUUUUCAAUUUUAUGCAUUGUACGUAGUAGUUAAGUAUCAUCACGUAUAUGUGAUGAUAUUAUAUAUAUAUAUAUAUACUGUGAUGAACUAAUGAACAAUUAAUAUAUAUAUAUUAUGAAUUUCAUUUUCUAUCUGUUUUUGUAUACUAAUUUGAGCCUAGCUGUUAUCAUCCACAUAUACAGAAUGGAAAGUGUAUAUACACACAUUGAAACAGAACAUAUAAGAAGGGAAAGCAGAGUACACACAUUGAAACAGAGGAAUAAACAGAGCAAUACUAUGAUUGCUGUGAAUACAUAGCUAUCCACGUUGAAACGACUCAACAAAAUAAAACGCGUCCAUGAGACCAUGACCAGCAACCCUUGCCUACGUAGCUCUUGGCUCUACCUGAACUCGUGCAGGCGUUCGUCCAAGUGGUCGACGCGCUCACGGUACAUCUGGAGCGCGAUCUCGAGCUCCAAGUUGGCUAUUUCAUCGGAGAUCACCAGCUCGAGGUUGCGACAGCCAUGUUCCUCUACUGCGCCCAGGUGGACACCUGGGCCAAGGAGGCAGUCGAGCCUAACGACCAGCGCGUUGGCAUCGAGCGGGCCACGGACAAGGCUAACGGUGCGACCCAUGCGAAUGGCGCGGCAGGCGUCCGGUGCAAGUACGGUGUGGCCGACCUCUGCUACGAGUACGGCGCAGAGGGCCUCUGCCCACUCCUGGCGAGGAAUGGGGGUACUGACGGGACGUGCACCCAGCUGCGACACCGUCUGGACAGCAGGCAGGCACCGAUGGAUCCACUCUUGCUGUGCAGCGCGCCGCGCCUCUCGCUCUACGGCGCUCCAACGGUCUCGCCGUGAGGCGAGCCGUAGCCUAUCGGCGUGGACGUGCAUAGCUUGCUCUGCGGUGCGCCAUCGAUUAUGUUGUGCGGCGAGCUGCAGCCUGUCGGUGCUGACAUGCCUAUCUUGAUCCGCGGCGCUCAAACGCCAUGCGCCAAAGGUCUGAUCAACCUUGGCGAUGAUGCGCAUCACGGCGUCGUCCAUAGCGUUGCCGGGGAGCGCCUCAGCCUCAACGGGCCGUGGCGCCUGCUCGUUUUCCUCGUCGAAGGCCGAGUUUCGCCUCCGUGCGUCGUGCGCCGCCUAGGUAUAUGCGCAAUAUCGCCGGGUGGCGGGAAACAGGUGAGGAAAUGGCGGGAAACGGUGGCGUAUUCAUAAAACACCAUCAAAUUAAUGGAAACUUAGCAUAGAAGGAACAUCGAGCUAGCACAAGAAGUAGAAGAUGAUCAGAUGAACACGGACCACACUAGGGAACCCAUCGGUGAUGAAUUCAUCAAUCGCAAACGGUUGAAUACUAGCAAGCGUUUGCCAACAACACACACGGCUUAUUCCAUCACAAAAAGGUCGGAUGGAUCAACUGUAUGCCACGUAUCCCACACUGUCAAAAAGUAAUGUGGUAGACGUUCUUUAACAUGUGUUAAAAAAUAAAAUAAAUAAAUAAGAAGGACCCCGAGGUUAAAUUAACUCAUGGUAUGGGUCAUACCAGUCAUUUAAUUUGACAAAUAUGACCCAUCCUAUCAGUUAAUUUAACAUCAACACAACUUCCCAUCCGGUCACUCAUCUGAUGGUUGUUCUAGCCCGAGCACACUUAACUUCAGAGUUCUCUUACAUGAGCUACUAGUGGAACAUCUAGUCCUUGCUGAUAUAGGAUGCCUCUUCGCAUCCUUAUGGUGUAUCCGGAUGACCGCCCGUCCCCCAAUGGCCAAUAGAUGUUGUGUAGACAGAGCACAUCACAUAUGUCUUAUUAGAAGCAAUUGUCUAUGUUAUUAUCGGUCUUCGCACACAUUUCUGUUUACAGACCUGUUUGCCGCGUAUCACACACAUCUUGAUAUAUUGUACCGUUUCUGUUCUCUUGUCGCAACGUAAACAGUUCAUCCGAGUGAACUGCAUGCCGUAUAUCGCACACACCUUGAUCUGGCUGACCGUUUCUUUUGUGUUGCCUAAUCACAAACAGUUCAUCUGAGUGAACCAUAUGUUGUAGAUCGCACACACCUUCAUCUGGCUGCCCGAUUCUUUUGUUCCUCCUCAUCCCAAACUGUUAAUUGAACUGAACCGUAUGCCUUGCAUCGAACACGCAACUAAAAUCUGAACCGCGUUUGAUGCAUCCUCCAUCACAAACGUUUUGCACCUUUUUUGACGGGAUUUUUACACCACCGUUUGCGAUUAUUGCAUCGCACAUAGUUUCGUCGAAGGGUCUCUGAUCAUAGUGUCGCGUUAGCAGCAUCCUGCAGUAGUGACAAAGCACAAUGGACAAUGCUUACCAUAGCAUCGGAUCACUUGAUCCCUCUUGGUACAUCUUCUACGCUUUGUCUGUUGGUAAACUUAAAUCCACUCUUAGAUUUUAGUCUUGAUCAACCUUGUAUCUUAACUUCUCUCUUCAUAAAGAUGAUGUCUUGAAGAUAAACAUGAAUGUUCAUACAAUCUUCUUCCUCAAGACAUGCUUGCAAAAGGCUCAAUUCUCACAUGACCACUCUUUGAAUAACUCCUCGAAUAAGACCUUGGUCAACACAUAAUUGCCUUCUUUCCACCUUGAAACCAACAUAUGGUCUUGAAGCAAUACCUAUGGACAAACCUUAAAAUAUGACUCAAAGCAACCAAUAGUCCAUAUGGAUUGUCAUCAAUUACCAAAACCAAACAUGGGGGCACCAUUCUCUUUCAUUGUGUAUCUCUCUCUCACUUACCCCUUCGUGGACUAGCCUAUAAAUACUCCUCCCCUCCUCAUUUCUAGAGUUAGAUAAGAAUUGAUCUCAUAUCAUAGAACUUAGCUCAUGUAUCUCCCCUUGUGGGACUCCUCUUGAGAGAGAGAGAGAGAAGACUCCAUUGGAGCUCAAGGCCUCCAUUGGAGAAGAUCCUUAGGGAUUGAAGGCCCCUAUAUGGGAAGAUCCAUCCAUGGAUUCAAGACCCAUCUCUCCAUGAGAUUUGGAUGAACUACCUUGUCUCUAUUUCCCAUGUUGUUAUUAGGUCUUGAUGCACCUCUUGUAUUGCUUGUGAUUUGAGGAUUACUUGGGAUGAAUCUUUUCCAGUAGAGUGUUUUCCCCUUUUUCAUUUCUCCAUAUUUUCCCCUCGUGUUCUUCGUGUUCCUCCUUGAAUAUGUCACAGCCCUAGAAUAUUUGUGUGUAAAUAAUUAUAUUAGUUGCAUUUGAGAGCAUCAUGCAUCAUGUCUAAAUUCUGAAAUUGAAUUGAGGAAUAUUUUGAAUCCUCACAAAUUUAAUGAAGGGCAAAGAACCCCAAAAUUGGCAUUCAAUGUUUCCAAAAUGCCUUUCAAAUAGUUCUGAAAAUUUUGGAAAGAUCUAUAUAUUAAACCAAAAUUUAGGAACAUUUUUAAGGAAUUAUUUUGGGACUUUGAAUUUAAAUCUUAUUAUAUUUGAAUUGAGUUUAUAUUGCUUUUAAAUAAAAUAUAAACUCAAAAUUCCUUAAAUUUGUGUGUUAGCUUGGAAGGGUCCAUAGCUAUCACAUAUUAAAAUUUCAUAUGGUUUUAAAUUCAUUUGGUGGUUCAAAUAAAUUCAAAAUAGUGGAAAUAAAUGAAUCGAAAACAAAUAGAAAAUAGAAAGACAAAGAGAUAGAGAGAGAGGGAGUGCUCACUUGGCGGCCCAGCUGUGCGGCCCAGCCCACCAGGGGUAGCCUCGUCCAUUACCUCUUGCUAGAAGGCAAGGACAAGCUGGGCAUGACGCGCGCACGGACGCCACGCCGCACCUGCAUGUCUGCCUCACCCACCAUGUCGACGUCGUGGUUAGCAUCCCCUUUGCCGCCCAGAUCGAUCCCACCCCUCGUCAACUCUCCCCUCGCCUCCCUCGCCCGUUCCUCCCCAUGGCCGAGUCCGCCAUGAGCACGCCGACUGCCAUGGUCCAAUUCGUUGGCUCCCGACCACCCCCGGCCUCGACCUCUCUCUGUUAGACCCGUGGUGAGCCCCCGUUCGAAACCCCCUGUCCUCGUCGUUGAUUUAUUCCGCUGGCACCGAUGCCAUGAUGCCCAAAGCUCACUGACUUGUCAUUGUUUCGCUAAUGUAGCCCUCUUCAGACCAAGCUGAGCUUGUGCUCGAGCUUAGGAAGCUCUGUAGAUGCCGUUGUGCCACUCAGCUCCCUCGCCCGCGAGAUCUAGCCCUCCCAUCCACAACCACCGAGCUUAGGCCACUGCUUUCGCCAUCGCCGAUGCAUGUUCCGGCUACCCUCACGCUUACGUCCACCGCCGCUGGAUGCACACAAGCGAGGCCAACCUCCUGGUGGCCGCAUCUUCUCAAGCCGAAGCUUGUAGCGCCAUCCUGAGCAACUCCGGCGUGUCUCCGCCGUGUUUUUGGUCACCGUCGUUCAUCACUGACGUGGCCUAGUUAGCUUAGGGACUAACUGUAACGCCCCGAGACCGACACUCCAGACGGCUUCCAUGUUUUUCGUUGUCGCCGUGUGAUUUAUUUAUUUAUUGCAUUCAUCAUUGCAUCAUCCGCAUUUAUUUUCAUAAAACUUGCAUCCGCUCGUAGUUGCCGCGUCCCCCCCUUGCGUUCGUUGACCAUUCUGAGUCUAAUCGGAUUUUCGAUUCUCUUUUGUCUGACCGUUUGACCCUCUCUGCACAACCAUCGAACCCCUCCUUGCGCAGUGCAUAGACCCCUCUCGCGCGUCCGGAACCUCCCCGAACCCGACCCGGGUUGUUGUCACCGUUGGAUUCGGAUCAUCCCCAAACAUCUAGAAAACAUCACCGUUUUCUUUGUUGGACUCUCCACAGCCUUUUUCUCGACCGUUCAAUUUUGAUUGGAGGGCCCGUUUUGCCUUAAGCUAGUCCACCUAGCUAUUUAAACAGCCUAACCCUAGUUUUUAGGAGGCUUGUCCCAUCCAUCCUUUCUGUGCCGCCGCCACUCCCUCCAUCCUCCUCUUCCUCGGGAUCUCCCCUGCUCCAGAUCAGCAGCCACAACCUUCCCCUCCUCGAAGUUGCGACCGAUCCAACCAGGAGCAUCGCUCGAUCCCCCUCACUUUUCUCUCUCUUUUGUCUCUGUCCCGCAGGAGUACCCAUCCAUGGCGCCAGGAGAAGAUCGCCCCGACCACCUCGUAACCAGCUCGCCGGAGCAGAGCACCACGGCACCCGAGUUCCUGCGCCCCCUCUUGAUCCAGGAGGCCGAGCUCCCUUGCCUGAGGCCGCCGUCUUCGACCGGCCUCGUCAGACGCCAUCGCCCUGCUGCCUUCUCCUUCCUGUUCGAUCCGGAGGAGAGGAGCUCCGCCAUGGCCCCGCCGUCAAGCAGCUCGACCCCGCCGCGGCCUCAAGUCCUCUGCCCGUCGCCAUGAACGCCGCAGGAGCACCAACGCCACCAGCAGCCGUGCGCCUCCUCCCUCAUCCCAGAGGAGCUCCGCCCUCCCCGCGCCUGUCCCGUGUGCCCGGCGCUCCAACCCCAAGAAGCAACAGUGCCCGAGCGCUCCUCUCCUCGCCGGUGCGCCCCCCCUCCAUUCCGGCGCCGGGAACGGAAACCCCGCGCCCGGAUCCUGGUCCGCCUCCCUCUGCCCGUCGCCUUCUUCUCCCCGUCUCUCCCUUCCUUCCCUCUGUAUCUCAUCUCUCUCUCUCUUGUUCUCUCUCUGUAUCAGGAUGCAGCCGCUGCAUCGCCUCCGCUUCGAGCGCCCGCACGCCCGCGUUGACCUCCGCAUCUGGCCACGCCGCCGGCAAGCCCUGCCUCCGUCGCGUUGCCAAGUUCCGCUGCCGGCGCCUCCUGCAUCGCUGCCGUCGCGCCAAGCUCCGCCGUCGCCUGCCCGCGUCCCCAUCGACCGCCUCCGCUUCCUCUGCAACGAGCAGGAGCACGUUCGUCAGGCGCCCGCCUCCUCUGUUCCUGCUCGCCUGGGGCACCGCAGCCUCCCAAGGCCCAAGCCAGAUCCGGCCUGCCCGGCCUCCUCCACCGAGCCGGCCCAUGAGGCCUGGUGAGCAUCAGAUCCAGCGCCCUCAACCUGUUGCACUGCUGGGCUAGUUAGAUUCGGCCCAGUUCUUUUCUUUUCCUCCGGCGAUUUUAGUAAUUAUCCGAGGAUUUACAGUAUUGCAGAAAAACCCCUCAUGUUCAUGCUUUAAUAAUUAAUUAACCAUGCAUCUUUUGUAAAUAAUUUAUAUAUGUAAAAUGCUUAGAAUUUUGUGUAGUUUAAUAAUAUGCCACUUUCAUCCCAUGUUAAAAUGUUUAAAAUGCUGUUUAUUUAAUUUUGCAUAAAUGCCAUGUUAAAAUGAUUUAAUUCAUAACUAAUUAACCGUAACUCGCAUUUUAAUAAACUUUAUAUGUAAAUGGGGUAGAAAAAUGCCUAGUUUAACAUGGUGCACUUUAUUUUGCUUUUUAACAACAUUAAAAUAUGGGUUUAGGCAGAACAGUACCAAUUCCAAAAUAUGCAUAUGAGGAUUUUCGGAAAUUGUUGUUUGUUGUUCCGGCCUCAUUUAAAUUGCCUAAAAUAGGUAGUUUCCUUAUGCUUCACCUCUUGCCAUGGCUAACAACAUUUAACAUUGUUGGGUACAUAAUCGAGAGAGAACUAAAUAAUUGAUGUGGUGUUUUGUCAAUAUGCAACUCGUUGCAUAUUGAGCUCCACUUAACUGGUAGUUUUGUUUGUGCACUUUGCCAUGCCAUGCAUAUUUAAACCGGACAUGCAUCAUACUUGAUUGUGCAUCAUGCCAUGUUUAUGAUUGUGUGUUUACUAUGUUGUUUAUUUCUUUCCGGGUUGUUUCUCUUGUUAGCUUCGGUUUCGUUCCGGAGUUGUGAGGAUUCGUUCGACUACGUCCGCUUGUCUUCUUCAUGGACUCGUUCUUCUUCCUUGCGGGAUCUCAGGCAAGAUGACCAUACCCUCGAAAUCACUUAUAUCUUUGCUUUGCUAGUUGUUCGCUCUAUUGCCAUGCUGCGCUACCUACCACUUGCUAUAUCAUGCCUCCCUCAGCCCCUAACCUUUUCACCCUUCCUAGCAAACCAUUGUUUGGCUAUGUUACCGCUUUGCUCAGCCCCUUCUUAUAGCGUUCCUAGCUGCAGGUGAAGAUGAAGAUUGCUCCAUGUUGGAUUAUGUUUAUGUUGGGAUAUCACAAUAUCUCUUAUAUUAUUAAUGCAUCUAUAUACUUGGUAAAGGGUGGAAGGCUCGGCCUUAUGCCUGGUGUUUUGUUCCACUCUUGCCGUCCUAGUUUCCUUCAUACCGGUGUUAUGUUCCUUGAUUUUGCGUUCCUUACGCGGUUGGGUGAUUUAUGGGACCCCCUUGACAGUUCGCUUUGAAUAAAACUCCUCCAGCAAGGCCCAACCUUGGUUUUACCAUUUGCCUACCUAAGCCUUUUUCCCUUGGGUUCUGCAGACUCAAGGGUCAUCUUUAUUUUAAACCCCCGGGCCAGUGUUCCUCUGAGUGCUGGUCCAAACUAGAGCCACUUGCAGCGCCACCUCGGGGAAACUCGAGGUCUGGUUUUAGUUGUACGUAGUGUUCAUCCGGUGUGCCCUGAGAACGAGAUAUGUGCAGCUCCUAUCGGGAUUUGUCGGCACAUUCGGGCGGCUUUGCUGGUCUUGUUUUACCAUUGUCGAAAUGUCUUGUAAACCGGGAUUCCGAGACUGAUCGGGUCUUCCCGGGAGAAGGUUUAUCCUUCGUUGACCAUGAGAGCUUAUAAUGGGCUAAGUUGGGACACCCCUGCAGGGUAUUAUCUUUCGAAAGCCGUGCCUGCGGUUAUGUGGCAGAUGGGAAUUUGUUAAUGUCCGGUUGUAGAGAACUUGACACUUGACCUUAAUUAAAACGCAUCAACCGCGUGUGUAGCCGUGAUGGUCUCUUCUCGGCGGAGUCCGGGAAGUGAACACGGUUCUUGUGUUAUGUUUGACGUAAGUAGGAGUUCAGGAUCACUUCUUGAUCAUUGCUAGUUCACGACCGUUCCGUUGCUUCUCUUCUUGCUCUCAUUUGCGUAUGUUAGCCACCAUAUAUGCUAGUGCUUGCUGCAGCUCCACCUCAUUACACCAUCCUUUCCUAUAAGCUUAAAUAGUCUUGAUCUCGCGGGUGUGAGAUUGCUGAGUCCUCGUGACUCACAGAUACUUCCAAAACAGUUGCAGGUGCCGAUGAGACCAGUGCAGCUGACGCAACUGAGCUCAAGUGGGAGCUCGAUGAAGAUCUUGUUCGUUGUGUUGUUUCUUUUCAUGUUGAUCAGUAGUGGAGCCCAGUUGGGACGAUCGGGGAUCUAGCAGUUGGGUUGUCUUCUUUUAUUUUGGUUCCGUAGCCGGACCUAUGUGUGUAUCUUGAAUGAUGUAUGAUUCAUUUAUGUAUUGUGUGAAGUGGCGAUUGUAAGCCAACUCUUUAUCCCAUUCUUGUUCAUUACAUGGGAUUGUGUGAAGAUGACCCUUCUUGCGACAAAACCACAAUGCGGUUAUGCCUCUAAGUCGUGCCUCGACACGUGGGAGAUAUAGCCGCAUCGUGGGUGUUACACUAACUGCCUAUUAUAUUAGUACUGAGACACUGACUAUCGGCCCUGCUAGAUUAAUUAGCCGGGAAAAGUUUUAGUUAGAAUAAAUAACCCCGUGUUAACUAGAUGCCAUAGACCAGUGGGCCCCACUGGUUAGGUACGUUUCACUCUGGCUGACCAUGUUAACUUGAUGAUGCAAUGAUGACACAAUGCUGACAUCAUAUUGAUUUUAUGGUAUUUUAUAAAUCAGAAAUUAAUUUGGAAAUUCCAGAAAAAGUUUAAAACUUCUAAAAACCAUAGAAAAUAAUCUAUAGGUCAGAUGAAAAUAAUUUAUGUAUGAAGAAUAUGUUUAUACAUUGUUCAUGCAUGUUUGAGCAAGUGAACAUCACCAACUAGGACAAUUCAUGAUUAUGGAAUAUAUGGUAAUUAGUUUUGGGCUUGGAAUUUGCUAUAUGCCUCAAUUCCACUUCAAUUAAUACGAAGAAUGAUUGCAUUAUCUGAAUUCAGUACCUUAUCAUGGCAUGAUCAUACAUCAUGUUUGUGGCACUACAUUGAUUGUGUUCCUUCUUGUUUAUCGGUGUUUGUCCCCUCUCAGUAGCAGACGAUUCCGACAUUGUGAUCGUUGACACCGAUGAAGAGCGGUACUAUCUUCAGAAGUGCGAGGCAAGAAAACCCCUUGAUCACUAUGAUACAAUCCCACUCUCUCGCUCCUGCUCUCUUUUAUAGCGUUAGGAAAACAACGGUUCAACAGUUACGUGUUGUGGUAGUUAAACUCAUUCCUCUGCAUGACCUUUCUUUGCCACAGUACAUAGUUAAAACCCACUAGCAAGAGUAGGAGUUGCUUGAGCCAUGAUGUGACUACUCAUCCAUGCUUGCUUGUUCUGCCCACUAUUGCUUAGAGUUGGGUCAGGUCUGAUUCAUCCCGGAAUCGAUUGGAAUGUUGUGAUCAUGUACUGAUGUUGAGAGCCAAGUGUGUGAACACGAUUUGGUAAAGGUAGCGAUGAGAGACCAUGUAGGAGAACAUGGUGGGUUGUCUCAUUGAGGCCGUUGUUAAGAACUGAGUUUUGUGUAUGUUAUCCAAGAAUAUCUACUACCACACAUUGGGCCCGAAACCCAUGGACCCUCUUGCUUAUUAACUGCCUCGAUCUCUGUCCAGGAGUUGCAGCUAGUUUCUGGUGUUUGUUGGCCGUGCUAGUAGUCUACCAAGUGGCACCUGGUACAAGUGGGCUUGGGACAGACUAGGCACCGUGGCCUGGUGUACAAAGCAUAGAACCAUCCGUCGAGGUGGACUUGGGAACCAUGCACACAUCAUUUGGGGUCGUGAUGGAAAUUUUGGCCGGACUUCCCUUGCGGGUUCAGCCUCAGAUAGGCGAUAAACCUGGACUAGAGUCUUGUGUGGUUAGUCAGGUUGUGCCCGGCACCCUCGAUAGGCUUCCGCUUGAAGGUGUCAAGAUACAUGACGUGUAUAUGGUGGUAAGUGGUAAGAGUGUGUGUGAAGAAGUACACCCCUGCAGGGUAAUAUGAUCUAUUCGAAUAGCCGCGUCCUCUGAUAUGGACUAAUUGGAGACUAAUAUGGUUCAUAGACAACUUGAAGUGGAAAUGUGCAAGAUAAGUGUGAGUACUAUGGAUGGCCUUCUCAUAGGGAGACGGGAGCAGAUCCAUAGUGGUGUAUUGAUAUGGUAAAUAUGGGGACUCGUGUGUGCUUUCUCACCACAAAGAAAUUACUGAUAGUCGUUGUAUAGGAUAGCCACUGAGUCAAGGCUGGCUUGCUGUAGUUAAACUCCUCCACCCCCUUUAUAAUACUCAUGCAUAUGUAGUUACUUCUGGUGUAAGUCUUGAUGAGUACAUUUGUACUCACGUUUGCUUAAUUUAUGUUUUUGCAGAGGAGACGUCGGUAUCACUAGUAGUUCCACAUGGGCUUCGAUGAGUAGCUUGUUGUCAGUGCAACAAACCCUAUGUCUGUUGCCCAGACUAUGCAUAGACAUGGGAAUAAGAUUACAGCACCAAGGUCAGGCCAAAGCACAAGAGAUCAGAUAUCUUCAAGGAACCAACAUGCAGCCCAGGAGGACCAAGACUAAGCCAGAAGAAGUAAGAUACUGCCAAGAGAGAAGCCUCGCUUGCCGGGCAGGCAUGCCUGGCGAGGACGGGGUUACCCCCUAGAAGCAAACCUCCAAGACGCCCCGGCAGGGCCUGCCAGGACUCGCAAGGACUGAACAACCUCACCACACCACCUAACCACAACACACGUCAUCGAUCGGUGCGGUGUCAAGCCGCAAAGUGGCUGAGUGGCAACCAUUUACCACAUGACAUCCACUUUCUACAAGAAAUGCAUACAUGCGACACCCGUCCUGCGACAUGUCGAGCGAGCAGAUGUGAAGCUGGCAAAAUAGCCCGGCAGGGCCUGCCGUGCAAGCUGCGAUGUGAUGUUAAGCGGCGCAUUUAAUGCGCUCUGUCAGCCUGCAGAGUUAGGUAUGAUAGCACUGUUUGCUAUCUGAUCUGUGUAUAAUGACUUCUUUGCCACUGUGGUGACCCCUUUGUCUAUAAAAGGAGCCCCAAGGCUACCGUAGAAAGGGUUCGACCCUUAGUUGGCGAAUUCACCCCCUCACAUAUUCAUACGCGCGUAGCCGUUCUGCCCCAAGGCAACCCUACCGGGCAAGCGUGUUGCGCAUACCACCAUCUUUCCACCAUCAACGCACCAAAGCGGGAGUAGGGUUUUACGCCUUGCUAACUCUUGAGCACUGCGUUGGUUUUCCCUUAAAGAGGAAAGGGUGAUGCAGUAAAGUAACGUAAGUAUUUCCCUCAGUUUUUGAGAACCAAGGUAUCAAUCCAGUAGGAGGCCACGCUCAAGUCCCUCGCACCUACACAAACAAAUAAAAACCUCGCAACCAACGCAAUAAAGGGGUUGUUAAUCCCUUCACGGUCACUUACGAAAGUGAGAUCUGAUAGAUACGAUAAGAUAAUAUUUUUGGUAUUUUUAUGAUAAAGAUGCAAAGUAAAAUAAAAGGCAAUAAAAAUAGCUAGGUGUUGAAAGAUUAAUAUGAUGAAAAAUAGACUCAGGGCCAUAGGUUUCACUAGUGGCUUCUCUCAAGAGCAUAAGUAUUACGGUGGGUGAACAAAUUACUGUUGAGCAAUUGAUAGAUUUGAGCAUAGUUAUGAGAAUAUCUAGGUAUGAUCAUGUAUAUAGGCAUCACGUCCGCGACAAGUAGACCGACUCCUGCCUGCAUCUACUACUAUUACUCCACACAUCGACCGCUAUCCAGCAUGCAUCUAGAGUAUUAAUUUCAAAAGAACAGAGUAAUGCUUUAAGUAAGAUGACAUGAUGUAGAGGGAUAAACUCAUGCAAUAUGAUAUAAACCCCAUCUUGUUAUCCUCAAUGGCAACAAUACAAUAUGUGCCUUGCUGCCCCUGCUGUCACUGGGAAAGGACACCGCAAGAUUGAACCCAAAGCUAAGCACUUCUCCCAUUGCAAGAAAGAUCAAUCUAGUAGGCCAAACCAAACUGAUAAUUCAAAGAGACUUGCAAAGAUAACCAAUCAUACAUAAAAGAAUUCAGAGAAGAUUCAAAUAUUGUUCAUAGAUAAACUUGAUCAUAAACCCACAAUUCAUCGGUCUCAACAAACACACCGCAAAAGAAGAUUACAUCGAAUAGAUCUCCACGAGAAUCGUGGAGAACUUUGUAUUGAGAUCCAAAGAGAGAGAAGAAGCCAUCUAGCUAAUAACUAUGGACCCGAAGGUCUGAGUAAACUACUCACACAUCAUCGGAGAGGCUAUGGUGUUGAUGUAGAAGCCCUCCGUGAUCAAUGCCCCCCUCCGGCAGGACGCCGGAAAAGGCCCCAAGAUCGAAUCUCAUGGGUACAGAAGGUUGCGGCAGUGGAAUUAGGUUUUCUUGGAUGCUUCUGUUGGUUUGGGGGUACGUAGGUAUAUAUAGGAGGAAGAAGUACGUCGGUGGAGCAACGUGGACCCCACGAGGGUGGAGGGCGCGCCUAGGGGGGUAGGCGCGCCUCCUGCCUCGUGCUCUCAUGGUUGCUUUGUUAACGUAGGGUCCAAGUCCUCUGGAUCACGGUUGUUCCGAAAAUCACGUUCCCAAAGGUUUCAUUCCGUUUGGACUCCGUUUGAUAUUCUUUUUCUGCGGAACUCUGAAAUAGGCAAAAAACAUCAAUUUGGGCUGGGCCUCCUAUUAAUAGGUUAGUCCCAAAAAUAAUAUAAAAUUGUAUAACAAAGGCCAUUAAUCAUCCAAAACAGAAUAUAAUAUAGCAUGAAGCAAUAAAAAAUUAUAGAUACGUUGGAGACGUAUCAAGCAUCCCCAAGCUUAAAUCUUGCUCAUCCUUGAGUAGGUAAAUGAUAAAAACAGAAUUUUUGAUGCGGAAUGCUACUUGGCAUAAUUUUUUAAUGUAACCCUCUUAAUUGUGGUAUGAAUAUUCAGAUCCGAAAGAUUUAAGAUAAAAGUUUAAUGUUGACAUAAAAGCAAUAAUACUUCAAGCAUACUAACUAAGCAAUUAUGUAUUCUCAAAAUAGCAUGGCCAAAGAAAGCUCAUCCCGACAAAAUCAUAUAGUUUAGUCAUGCUCCAUUUUCGUCACACAAGAAUGCUCUCAUCAUGCACAACCCCGAUGACAAGCCAAGCAAUUGUUCCAUACUUUAGUAAUCUCAAACUUUUUCAACCUUCACGCAAUACAUGAGUGUGAGCCAUGGAUAUAGCACUAUGGGUGGAAUAGAAUAUAAUGAUGGGGGUUAUGUGGAGAAGACAAAAAAAGGAGAAAGUCUCACAUCAACGCGGCUAAUAAACGGGCUAUGGAGAUGCCCAUCGAUUGAUGUUAAUGCAAGGAGUAGGGAUUGCCAUGCAAUGGAUGCACUAGAGCUAUAAAUGCAUGAAAGCUCAACAAAAGAAACUAAGUGGGUGUGCAUCCAACUUGCUUGCUCAUGAAGACCUAGGGCAUUUGAGGAAGUCCAUUGUUGGAAUAUACAAGCCAAGUUCUAUAAUGAAAAAUUCCCACUAGUAUAUGAAAGUGACAAAACAAAAGACUCUCUAUCAUGAAAAUCAUGGUGCUACUUUGAAGCACAAGUGUGGAAAAAGGAUAGUAGCAUUGUCCCUUUUUUUGGGCCUUCUUUUCUUUUAUUUGGCCUUUCUCUUUUUUUAUUGGGACAAUCCUCUAUGAAUGAUGAUCAUCACACUCUAUUUAUUUACAAACUCAAUGAUUACAACUCGAUACUAGAACAAAGUAUGACUCUAUAUGAAUGCCUCCGGCGGUAUACCGGGAUAGGCAAUGAAUCAAGAGUGACAUGUAUGAAAAAUUAUGAACGGUGGCUUUGCCACAAAUACGAUGUCAACUACAUGAUCAUGCAAAGCAAUAUGACAAUGAUGAACGUGUCAUGAUAAACGGAACGGUGGAAAGUUGCAUGGCAAUAUAUCUCGGAAUGGCUAUGGAAAUGCCAUAAUAGGUAGGUAUGGUGGCUGUUUUGCGGAAGAUAUAAGGAGGUUUAUGUGUGAUAGAGUGUAUCAUAUCACGGGGUUUGGAUGCACCGGCGAAGUUUGCACCAACUCUCAAUGUGAGAAAGGGUAAUGCACGGUACCGAAGAGGCUAGGAAUGAUGGAAGGGUAAGAGUGCGUAUAAUCCAUGGACUCAACAUUAGUCAUAAAGAACUCACAUACUUAUUGCAAAAAUCUACAAGUCAUCAAAAACCAAGCAUUACGCGCAUGCUCCUAGGGGGAUAGAUUGGUAGGAAAAGACCAUCGCUCGUCCCUGACCGCCACUCAUAAGGAAGACAAUCAAAGAACACCUCAUGUUUCAAAUUUGUUACAUAACGUCUACCAUACGUGCAUGCUACGGGACUUGAAAACUUCAACACAAGUAUUUCUCAAUUUCACAACUACUCAACUAGCACAACUUUAAUAUCACUACCUCCACAUCUGAAAUCAAUCAUGAAGCAUCAAACUUCUCAUAGUAUUCAACACACUCAUAAGAAAGUUUUUACUAGUCUCGCAUACUUAGCAUAUUAGGAUUAAUUUCCCAAUUUAAGCAAAUUACCAUGCUGUUUAAGACUCUCAAAAUAAUAUAAGUGAAGCAUGCGAGAAUAAUAGUUUCUAUAAAACAAAACCACCGCCGUGCUCUAAAAGAUAUAAGUGAAGCACUAGAGCAAAAAACUAUAUAGCUCAAAAGAUAUAAGCGGAGCGCAUAGAGUAUUCUAAUAAAUUCCGAAUCAUGUGUGUCUAUCUCAAAAGGUGUGUACAGAAAAGAUGAUUUUGGCAAACUAAAAGCAAAGACUCAAAUCAUACAAGACGGUCCAAGCAAAACACAUAUCAUGUGGUGAAUAAAAAUAUAGCUCCAAGUAAAGUUACCGAUGGAAGUAGACGAAAGAGGGGAUGCCUUCCGGGGCAUCCCCAAGCUUUGGCUUUUUGGUGUCCUUAGAUUAUCUUGGGGUGCCAUGGGCAUCUACAAGCUUGGGCUCUUGCCACUCCUUGUUCCAUAAUCCAUCAAAUCUUUUAACCAAAACUUGAAAACUUCACAACACAAAACUUAACAGAAAAUCUCGUGAGCUCCGUUAGCGAAAGAAAACAAAACACCACUUCAAGGUACUGUAAUGAACUCAUUCUUUAUUUAUAUUGGUGUUAAACCUACUGUAUUCCAACUUCUAUAUGGUUUAUAAACUAUUUUACUAGCCAUAGAUUCAUCAAAAUAAGCGAACAACACACGAAAAAUAGAAUCUGUCAAAAACAGAUCAGUCUAUAAUAAUAUGUAACUAACGCAAACUUCUGGAACUCGAAAACAUCUACCAAAACAGGACGACCUAGACAAUAUGUUUAUUGAUCUGCUGCAAUUGGAAUCAAUAUUUUACCACAUUCUGGUGAUUUUUAACAAUUGUUUUCGUGAGCAGAAAGUUUCUGCAAUUUUCAGCAAGAUCAAAUAACUAUCAUCCAAGAAGAACCUAUAGGUUUAACUUGGAACAAACACUAAUUAAAACAUAAAGAAAAUCUAACCAGAGGCUAGAUCAAAUAUUUAUUCCUAAACGGAAGCAAAAAGUAAAAAAGUAAAAAUAAAAUUGGGUUGCCUCCCAACAAGCGCUAUCGUUUAACACCCUUAGCUAGGCAUAAAAGCAAGGAUAGAUCUAGGUAUUGCCAUCUUUGGUAGGCAAUCCAUAAGUGGCUCUCAUAAUAGAUUCAUAUGGUAGUUUAAUUUUCUUUCUAGGAAAGUGUUCCAUGCCUUUCUUUAACGAAAAUUGGAAUCUAAUAUUUCCUUCCUUCAUAUCAAUAAUUGCACCAAUCGUUCUAAGGAAAGGUCUACCAAGAAUAAUAGGACAUGAAGGAUUGCAAUCUAUGUCAAGAACAAUAAAAUAUACGGGCACAUAGUUCCUAUUUGCAACAAUAAGAACAUCAUUAAUUCUUCCCAUAGGUUUUUUAAUGGUGGAAUCCGCAAGGUGCAAGUUCAAAGAACAAUCAUCAAAUUCACGGAAUCGUAGCAAAUCACACAAAGUUUUUGGAAUCGUGGAAACACUAGCACCCAAAUCACACAAAGCAUAGCAUUCAUGAUCUUUAAUUUUAAUUUUAAUAGUAGGUUCCAACUCAUCAUAAAGUUUUCUACGGAUAGAAACUUCCAACUCAAGUUUUUCUUCAUAAGAUUGCAUCAAAGCAUCAACGAUAUGUUUAGUAAAAGCUUUAUGUUGACUAUAAGCAUGUGGAGAAUUUAGCACGGAUUGCAACAAGGAAAUACAAUCUAUCAAAGAGCAAUUAUCAUAAUUAAAUUCCUUGAAAUCCAAAAUAGUGGGUUCAUUGAUAUCUAAAGUUUUAACUUCUUCAAUCCCACUUUUACCAAUUUUUGCAUCAAGAUCUAAAAACUCUGUAUUUUUGGGACGCCUUCUAGGUAAAGGUGGCUCAUAUUCAGUCCCAUCAUUAUCAAGAUUCAUGUUGGAAAACAAAGAUUUAAUAGGGGACACAUCAAUAACUUUUAGAUCUUCAUCUUUAUUCUCAUAAAAAUUAGAAGAACACGCCUUUACAAAGCAAUCUUUCUUAGCACGCAUCCUAGCAGUUCUUUCUUUGCACUCAUCAAUUGAAAUUCUCAUAGCUUUGAGAGACUCAUUGAUAUCAUGCUUAGGAGGAAUAGAUCUAAGUUUCAAAGAAUCAACAUCAGGAGAAAUUCUAUCAACGUUCCUAGCCAACUCAUCAAUCUUAGGCAACUUCUCUUCAAGCAAAGCAUUGAAAUUCUUUUGCGAAUUCAUAAAUUCUUUAACACUAGUCUCAAAUUCAGAGGGCAUCUUAUUAAAAAUUCCAUAAGAAUUGUUGUAGGAGUUACCAUAAUUAUUAGAGGAGUUACUAGGAUACGGCCUAGGAUUAAAGUUUCCUCUAUACGUGUUGUUACCAAAAUUAUUCCUACCAACAAAAUUCACAUCCAUAGAUUCAUUAUUAUUUUCAAUCAAAGUAGACAAAGGCAUAUCAUUAGGAUCAGAAGAAACACUUUUAGUAGCAAAUAAUUUCAUAAGUUCAUCCAUCUUUCCACUCAAAACAUUAAUUUCUUCUAUCGCAUGCACUUUUUUAUUAGUAGAUCUUUCAGUGUGCCAUUAAGGGGAGCAAUCGGAGUGCUAGGAAAAUCAUUAUUGUUGGUAUUGGUGAAGUCACAAGAUUUAGUAUUAUCUUGAGCCAUCGUGACAAGCAAGCAAUCCAACACACGAGCAAACAAGAAGCGAGCGAAAAAGAGGCGAAUGGAAAAGAGAGGGCGAAUAAAACGGCAAGGGUGAAGUGGGGGGAGGAAAACGAGAGGCAAAUGGCAAAUAAUGUAAUGUGGGAGAUAAGAGUUUCUGAUGGGUACUUGGUAUGUUGACUUUUGCGUAGACUCCCCGGCAACGGCGCCAGAAAUCCUUCUUGCUACCUCUUGACCAUUGCGUUGGUUUUCCCUUGAAGAGGAAAGGGUGAUGCAGUAAAGUAGCGUAAGUAUUUCCCUCAAUUUUUGAGAACCAAGGUAUCAAUCCAGUAGGAGGCCACGCUCAAGUCCCUCGCACCUACACAAACAAAUAAAAACCUCGCAACCAACGCAAUAAAGGGGUUGUCAAUCCCUUCACGGUCACUUACGAAAGUGAGAUCUGAUAGAUAUGAUAAGAUAAUAUUUUUGGUAUUUUUAUGAUAAAGAUGCAAAGUAAAAUAAAAGGCAAUAAAAAUAGCUAAGUGUUGGAAGAUUAAUAUGAUGAAAAAUAGACCCGGGUGCCAUAGGUUUCACUAGUGGCUUCUCUCAAGAGCAUAAGUAUUACGGUGGGUGAACAAAUUACUGUUGAGCAAUUGAUAGAAUUGAGCAUAGUUAUGAGAAUAUCUAGGUAUGAUCAUGUAUAUAGGCAUCACGUCCGCGACAAGUAGACUGACUCCUGCCUGCAUCUACUACUAUUACUCCACACAUCAACCGCUAUCCAGCAUGCAUCUAGGUAUUAAGUUCCAAAGAACAGAGUAAUGCUUUAAGUAAGAUGACAUGAUGUAGAGGGAUAAACUCAUGCAAUAUGAUAUAAACCCCAUCUUGUUAUCCUCGAUGGCAACAAUACAAUACGUGCCUUGUUGCCCCUGCUGUCACUGGGAAAGGACACCGCAAGAUUGAACCCAAAGCUAAGCACUUCUCCCAUUGCAAGAAAGAUCAAUCUAGUAGGCCAAACCAAACUGAUAAUUCGAAGAGACUUGCAAAGAUAACCAAUCAUACAUAAAAGAAUUCAGAGAAGAUUCAAAUAUUGUUCAUAGAUAAACUUGAUCAUAAACCCACAUUUCAUCGGUCUCAACAAACACACCGCAAAAGAAGAUUACAUCGAAUAGAUCUCCACGAGAAUCGUGGAGAACUUUGUAUUGAGGUACAAAGAGAGAGAAGAAGCCAUCUAGCUAAUAACUAUGGACCCGAAGGUCUGAGGUAAACUACUCACACAUCAUCGGAGAGGCUAUGGUGUUGAUGUAGAAGCCCUCCGUGAUCAAUGCCCCCCUCCGGCAGGAUGCCGGAAAAGGCCCCAAGAUGGGAUCUCACGGGUACAGAAGGUUGCGGCGGUGGAAUUAGGUUUUCGUGGAUGCUUCUGUUGGUUUGGGGGUACGUAGGUAUAUAUAGGAGGAAGAAGUACGUCGGGUCCAAGUCCUCUGGAUCACGUUUGUUCCGAAAUCACGUUCCCGAAGGUUUCAUUCCGUUUGGACUCCGUUUGAUAUUCUUUUUCUGCGAAACUCUGAAAUAGGCAAAAAAACAGCAAUUUGGGCUGGACCUCCGGUUAAUAGGUUAGUCCCAAAAAUAAUACAAAAGUGUAUAACAAAGCCCAUUAAUCAUCCAAAAUAGAAUAUAAUAUAGCAUGAAGCAAUCAAAAAUUAUAGAUACGUUGGAGACGUAUCACGCCUCACGGCGGCCCAAACCUGGGUAAAACUGCGUGUGGGAUCUCUGUCGUGCUGUCUCGCGCUCCUCUGCUCUUUGUGCAACGGGCCAUCCCACCGUCGAACCAGCAAGGGAUUGUUGGUCCCAUAGGUGGCCGUGGUUUCCCGCGACAUCUUUGGCGCGCCAGGUAGGGGGAAUCACUUGCGCGAACCUGCUGAGAGCGUGAGCAGUGUGUCAUCUUCAUCGCCAUCUUCAUCAUCUUGCGGCUUCAUCGACUAUGGCGCCCAAGAAGAAGCCCGGUGCUACAGCUCACCCGUCCACCACGAACGCUCCGUCACCCAUGGCCACCGACGCCACGGGAGGUGCGGAGGCUCACGAAGAUGUGGGUGCUGCGGGAGACGCGUUCGACGCAGGCGGCAUUGUGACCACCUCCCCCGCGGCCAAAACAGGAGCGGGAGGCACCAGAGGAGAGCAGCAUCAGCAUCAUCCAGGGGGCCAUGCUCCACGAGGUAUGAGUGAAGGGGUUAUUCCAUCUGUACCUCUUCCCCUCGCCAAAGGGCACGGCCAUAGUGGUGACACCCGAACUGGGGCGAAUCGCCGCCCUCUGGACGCCCCCGCCACGGGCGCAACCGCAGGACGUGCGCCAUCCCUGGGACGGGUCGACCCGGCCGUUGUGCCCAACGAAGACGCUAGCCCUCAAGCGCCUACGCCACGACACCGUGCCAUCCAAGUGGCCGCCUCGCAAUAGCGAGGGCGCGAUACCGUCGCCACCGGCACCGUCAGAAGCCGGGCGAUGGUGUGGUCUACAUCAUCAUCA
This 101598-nucleotide long non-coding RNA is filed under the name Triticum aestivum (bread wheat). RNAcentral's name for it is "long non-coding RNA (TAES_LNC013351)". The record is from RNAcentral. Lineage: Eukaryota; Viridiplantae; Streptophyta; Magnoliopsida; Poales; Poaceae.